This 117896-nucleotide long non-coding RNA is filed under the name Brassica napus (rape). RNAcentral describes it as "long non-coding RNA (BNAP_LNC005604)". The record is from RNAcentral. Lineage: Eukaryota; Viridiplantae; Streptophyta; Magnoliopsida; Brassicales; Brassicaceae.
CACGAUGUCGUUUUCUGUUCCAUAACAACAGAGGUGACUUUUGAAACAGUCACGAGUCUUUUAUCAAAACAUAAUAAAGCCUUGGCCUCUCCAUCUUUUUUUUUCUCAACAAAUCUUCCAAACCGAUGAUGCAGGCAACGAUGGGACAAAAACAAGGCGUUGAAUCUAGAGUCGAAGAUAUCAUCAUGACGGGUCCGUCACCGUUCGAUUUCUUGCCGGAGGAUUGCAUCUCCAAAAUAAUCUCCUUCACAAGUCCACGUGACGCUUGCGUCGCCGCUUCGGUUUCUAAAACGUUUGAGUCGGCGGUUAAGUCAGAUAUCGUGUGGGAGAAGUUUCUUCCGCCGGAAUAUUCCUCGUUGAUCCCACGAUCGAGAGCUUUCUCGUCCAAGAAGGAACUCUAUUUCGUUCUCUGCGAUUAUCCUGUUUUAAUCGAAGAAGGAAAAAAGGUAUAAAUAUAAUAUGUCUUUUGUACAUUAUAGGGUUUGUCUGUUUGAGAGUAAUAUCUUAGACUGAAUAGAAUCAUCGAGUUUUGAGUUUUGACUAUAUAUAUAAUUAUAUAACAAGUAUGUGUGAUUCAAUCUGAUUUCAGAGAUACUCCAGAGUAAUUAGUGGAAAGAAUCAUUGAUUUAUGUUAGAGAAUUAUGUGAACAAGAGUGUGAUUAGACCUUGGUGUUGGUGGUGUAGUUAUUUCUGAAGUUUUUUAUUUAAAUUUGAUAGAGCUUCUGGUUAGAGAAGGCAAGUGGAAAAAGAUGUAUUAUGUUAUCUUCGAAGGAAGUGUGGAUCACAUGGGGAAGUAGUCCACAAUAUUGGCGAUGGGUUUCAGUUCCUGAAUCUAGGUACGUUACUCCCUUUCUAGCUGUGAAAUAACUCAUUCUUAUUAAUUAUGAUUAUCAGUCUGAUGAUGGGGAAGAAAAAAUCUUGUAAUGUAGGUUUGAAAAUAUAGCAGAGCUACUCAGUGUAUGUUGGUUCGAGAUUCGUGCGGGGAUGCAUACUCGUUACCUAUCUCCAGGAACUCGUUACUCGGUUUACAUUGUGUUCAAGACAGAGGACGGAUGUCCUGGAUUGGGUGAUAUCCCGGUUGAAGCUGGAGUUGGGUUGGUUGGACAAGAAUCUUCUCAAAAGUUGAUAUACUUUGUUGGGCCUAGUGGUCGAAGGAGAGAUAGAGAAAGGAGAGAUGUGACGAGACCAAAGGAGAGGGUAGAUGGGUGGAUGGAAGCUGAGCUUGGUGAGCUGUACAACGAAUCGUGUUGUGAUGAUAUAUCGGUUAGUGUUGUUGAGACUAAGUCUCCUUAUUGGAAACGUGGUUUGAUCAUUCAAGGAUUUGAAUUUCGCCCCGCCAAAACUCAGUAACACUAGCUAUAUGGAGUUUCCUGUUUAUGCUUGUUUUGUUCAGUUUCAUGUCUAAGCAAAGUGAAACGCUUUGUUGUGUUGUAAUGUUUUCGAAACUUUCAAGUUUUCGGAUUGACUGUUUGCAUGGUUUGGUUUUGAUUACAUGAAGAAAUCAAUAAAUAAAAUGUACGCGUUUCCCCUUUUCUUAUUAAUACUCUUGUAUGGUAUCGUAUAUUUUGAAGUCAAAGAUGAAUAGUGUUCCUACAAAGUUUGCCAUCUCAAACCAAGUAAAGUUAUAUUUCAUGCAAUACGGUUUUGUUUACUUCCGGUUCAUAAGGAAACUGUGUAACAGUGCUUCAUUUUGAAAUGAAAUCUUCUCUAAUAGUAAAUUCGUUUACAACUCUGAAAAUGAAAAAAAUGAACAGUAUUCCUACAAAUUUGGCCAUGCCAAAACCCUAUCGGAAAGCUGUUAGGCUUGAUAAGGGUAUUAUCGGAAUAUUCAAAUCUCAACCGGUAUAUAUAUAAAAGACGCAUCCACACCACACUUCGUGUCCAAGACUGAACACCACAUCCGUGUCUGAAACGCAUCAGACUCCAAAAACGCUAUGGAGCAAAGUGAACUCGGCGAUUCGCAUUCCGGCGGAGGGUGUAGCCGGAACGAUGAGAUUAUUUCUGUCGAAGCUCCGGCGCGGUUGGAUACAUUGCCUGAAGAUUGCAUCUCGAUGGUGGUUUCUCAUACAUCGCCGCGAGAUGCUUGCGUUGUGGCUUCGGUUUCGAAAACGGUUAAGUCAGCGGCUGAAUUGGAUUUGGUUUGGGAGAAGUUUCUUCCUCAGGACUACUCAUCUCUUGUUCCUCGAUCGGUGGAUUUCUCGUGUAAGAAGGAGAUUUAUAUGUCUCUUGCUAAUGAUUCCGUUCUGAUCGACGACGGCAAAAAGGUGGAAAUGUGUGAAAAUAAUUAGUCUUUUUUUUUUAUGUUGUGAAAAUUAGGGUUUCGUUUUAAAGUUCUCUGAUGUUUUGACUCAGAGCAUUUGGUUGGAGAAAGGUAGUGGGAACAAGUGUUACAUGUUAUCUGCGAUGGAUUUAAAUAUCAUUUGGAUUGAUCGUCCUCUUUAUUGGAAAUGGAAUACCGAUCCUGAAUCUAAGUAAGUUCUCUAUUCUUGAAGUUGUGCGAUUUGGAGUUUAGAUGAUGUUAUUCUUAUAUACUUAUAUGACUUGUGGAAUCAGGUUUGAGAAAGUAGCGGAGCUUCGUCACGUGUGUUGUUUCAGGAUUCGGGGCAAGAUAAGUUGUGGAAUGUUGUCCAAAGGGACACACUACGUUGUCUACCUAGUGUUCAAGAGAACAAGCGGUGGAUCAGUCGGUUUCGAAGAGACGCCCAUGGAAGCUCAAGUCGGGUUUGUGGGGAAAGAAUCUAGCAAAUCGUUUGUGUUACUCGAACCAAGCCGCCGUGGUUAUCGUUACUCGUGUGUUUGGCGCAGACCGGUGUAUAGAGAGUUCAGGACGGGACGUCCAAGGGAAGGAGUUAGAGGAGAGAGGGAGACUGAUGGGCAUGUGGAGGAGCCCAAGGAGAGAGGAGAUGGGUGGAGUGAAGUGAAGCUUGGGAACUUUUACAUUAGCGAUGGUGGUUGUGAUGAUGAUGGUGAUGAGAUUGAGUUUGCUAUUAUGGAGCCUCGGAAUAGUGAAGUGGGACAAAGGAAAAGUGGUUUGAUUUUCCAGGGAAUUGAGAUAAGGCCCAUGAAAGAAAGAGAAGAAAUGGUCAUUGCCAAAUCAUCAAAUUCUGACAAUAUCUGAUUUGAAGGAUCAACAGAGUUUAAAGCUGUUGUAUUGGCUGCUUCAUGUCUAAUUGUGUAGUUGUUGCUAUGCAAAACAAGAAGUUGAGGACUCUCCCUCUCUCUCUAUUUUGUACCAAUUUUUGAAUGACAAUAACUUUGUGGUUAUUUGCUUCACUUGAACAAUGAAAAAUGAAAAACCUUUUUGUAUCGUAAUGUUUUCAAACCUUUUUCUCUGUGACUUUGAGUUUUUGAAUGUCAAAAACCUAUUUUACCUAGUCAUCUACAAUGAAAUGUGCCUUUCUACAUACUAUUUAGGCGAUAAAAAUAGAUGUGGCCUUUAACAAAGACUAGAGUUUGACAUACAUGUUCGUGCAGAUAUAUUAUAAUUUUAUAAAUGUAUACAUUUAACAUUAUUGAAAACAUUUUAAAUAUAUGAUUUAUAUUUUAGUGUUAUAUAUUUUGUAAACUUAUAAUUUUAUUGUUUAGGUUUUUUAUUCAGCAGUAUUAAUAUAUAAUCAUUUGUUUUAUACUUUUUACUUUGUUUUACACACUAUCUUGUCUAAUGGUAAAAAAACAUGCAAUGAACCAUACUUGUAAUGAAAAACAUAGAGACAUGACUAGUGCCACAACAUAAAAUAUUAAAAUAGAUUUUUCAUUAAUAUCUUUUAAAUUAUUAAUUUUUCUGAUAUCCUAUUUUGUAAAUAACACAUGAACUAAAAGUUAGCUAUGACUAUUAUAUUUUGUAUAUAAUUAUUUUAGAUAAUAUAUUAUUGUGAGUUUCAAAUUAAUUUAAUAAUAUGUAGUUGUAGAUAUAAAAGUUUAACAUAUGCUAAUAUUUUUUGUAUAGAAUAUACAUACUUUAUGAAUUUUAACCCUUUUUAACGAUGAAUGAUAGUUUAUUUUAUUUAUUUAAAUGAAAGUAAUAAUAGUUUAUUUUAUUUAUUUAAAUGAAAGCAAUUUUAAAAUAAAAUAGGUUAAUUUACCAAUUUUAUAUAGUUCUGCUUUAUUUAAUUCAUAUAGUACUUCUAUUUUAUAUAAUAUAUUAUAAAAUCUAUAAAAAUAGAAAAUAAUUUUUAUUUUUUGUUAUAUGAAAAUUUAAUUAAUAUUAAUGUAUGAUCCUAUUAUAUUACUAAUUACGAAAUUAAUUAUUGCAUGAUUUAAAAAAAUACUUAAAACUUUUAAUAAGAUUUGGGUAGAUAUUUUCUCAACAGAUUUUUUUAUAAUUAAAAAUAAAAUUAAAAUCUAUAAUUUUCAACAGAUUUGUUAGACUAAGAAUAAUCAUUAUUGGUUGGAUUAUAACUGUAGAAAAUUUACUUUAGCAUUUUGUAUGUAGGAUUUUUGAUUUAGCUUAAGUGAUGUAGUUUUAAAAUUUCCUACAACAAAAAAAUAGAGCUUUAGAAAAUAAGAUGUUUACAACCAUUUUUUGUGUGUUUUUGCUGUAAUUUUAAUUUUUUGGUUGUAGCUUUAAAAACCAAGAUAAAUCAUGAUUGGUAAUAUUUAAGGUUGUAGAUAAAAAUUAAAGCUAAAGUCACUUCCUACAACCCAACCAAUCACCCAUGUCAUAUUAAGUAAUUAAUCAAAUUGUCCUACUAAAAUUUUUAAAUAAUAGAUAAAAAUUAGGAUCCUAAAUUAAUAGAUUAGAAAUUUAAAUCUAUAUUUUCUCAACAGAUUUGUUAGACUCAGAAGUUAUAAUAAUCAUUAUGUCAAUUAAUCAAAUGAUCCUACUAAAGCUUUUAAAUAGUAGAUAAAAAUUAGCACCCUAAAUUAAUAUAUAAGAUUCAUCAGAUUUUAUGAAUCAUUUAAAUUUUCAGGAUAUAUUAAUGUCUGGUAAGGUAAACACGAAAGAAAGGACGUUAAGCGUAUUAGGGGUAUUACCGGAAAAUCAAAAUCUUAACUCGUAAGUCUUACACGAAACCGAUAUAUAAACAAACCAAACAUCCACUUCGUGUCCACAACAGAACAUCACAAAUCACAUCAGAUUCCAAAAUUUAAGAUUCCAAGAAAAACGAUAUGGAGCAAAUUCAAGUCGGCGGAGGAAGUAGCCGGAACCGUGCGGCGCGGUUGGAUACAUUGCCGGAAGAUUGCAUCUCGAUGGUGAUUUAUCACACCUCUCCGCGCGAUGCCUGCAUUGCGGCUUCGGUUGCGGCUGAAUCUGAUUUGGUUUGGGAGAGGUUUCUUCCGCCGGAGUACUCAUCUCUUGUUCCUCCUCGAUCGCUAGAUUUCUCGUCGAAGAAGGAGAUUUAUCUGUCUCUCGCUGAUGAUUCCGUUCUGAUCGACGACGGCAAAAAGGUGGAGACUUUUAUCGAAUCUGAUUCACUAAUUGUGAAAAAUUAGAGUUUUGUUUUCUUAUCUUGUUCUUGAUUUUGAAUGGAAAAAAAAAAUAAACAGAGCUUUUGGUUAGAGAAAGGUAGUGGGAAGAAGUGUUACAUGUUAUCUGCAAUGGAUUUAAAGAUCACAUGGAGUGAUUGUCCUGCUUAUUGGCAAUGGAAUACUGUUCCUGAUUCUAAGUAAGUUUUUUUUUUUAUUGUAAGUAAGUUCUCUUCUCUUACUUACUUAAAACUCUGUUUCUUGAAUUGGAAUUUAGAUUGUCAUCUCUAUGUGUGGAAUCAGGUUUAAGAGAGUAGCAGAGCUUCGUGACGUGUGUUGGUUCGAGAUUCGGGGCAAGAUAAGUUGUGGAAUGUUAUCCAAAGGGACAUAUUACUCUGUCUGCUUAGUGUUCAAGAGAGCGGGCGGUAGAUCAUACGGUUUCGAAGACACCCCCAUGGAAGCUCAAGUCGGGUUUGUGGGGAAAGAUGCUGCUAGCAAAAAGUUUGUGGUACUCGAACCAAUCGAUAUGGAUCAGCCCAGUGGUUAUCGUUACACGAGUGUUUCGCUCACAUGGGUGUCUAGAGAGGAUAGGACGAGGCGUCUGAGGGAGGUUGGUGGGAAUGUGGAGGAACCGAAGGUGAGAGGAGAUGGGUGGAGUGAAGUUAAGCUUGGGAAGGUUUACAUUCACGAUGGUGGUUAUGAUGAUGAUGGUGAUGAGAUUGAGUUUUCUAUUAUGGAGACUGAGCAGGGAGAUUGGAAGAGUGCUAUGAUUUUCCAGGGAGUCGAGAUUAGGCCCAUGAAAAAAGGAGAAGAAAUGGUCAUUACUAAGUGUGAUCAAAUUCCGACAAUAUCUGAUUUGAAGUAUUGAGAUUAACAUUUUGGAGUUGUUAAAUAUGCAAAAGUAAAAACCUGAGGACCAUCUCUCUCUUUUGUAUCAAUGUUUGAAUGACAAGAACUUAAAAACCAAAGGACAAAUAUGUACAGUAUAUAUGUCAGCAAUAUGGAGUGUUCCAAAUAUGUUUAUACUGUUUUUCUUUAAUUUAGUUUUAAUAUAAUAAUUUUAUGAACUACUUAAGUAAAACGAGAUUGUAGAGAUUUGAAAUAAUAUUUGAAUUUUUGAAUCUUUUACAUAAUUUAAAUGGGUAUCCGAUUCCAGACCAAGCCCGUAAAAAUCAGAAACGAACCUAAACCGAAAUUUAUAAAUAUUUUUUUAAUUUUUACAAUUUUUGGAUCAUUUUAUCCAAUUUCAUCAUUCAAACAUAUUUUUUUACUCUUGAUCCGCUUGAUUCAAAUUUAUACAGUUAGAUCCACUUACUUUAACAAAUUUGAAUAUGAGAUUUUUAACAGUUUUAGUAAUUUAUUAUAUGAUUAAUGUGGUUGUUUAAUUUAUUUUUAAUAGUUUAAAAUUAAAUAAAUAUGAUAGAAGUUACACUAAUUUUUAUCAAAUUUUUAUUAUUUAAAAUCAUUAAUUGUCAUAUAUACUUUAGCCAAAUUAAAUAAUUUUGUAAUUUUUAUUUAAAAAAUAAUAAAGAACAUUAAUAAUAAAUUUAUGGUUAGUUUAAUAAAAUUUUUAUUAUAUAAUUAGAUGAAUCAACAUAUAUUUUUAAUAAUUCUAAAAAUCAUUUUAGUGAUGAUACUUGGCUACAAAAAGAAGUUGAGAUGUUUCUCGACUCAUAUAUAAGAUAUUUUGACUAAUUGUUAUAUAAAAAAAAAUCUUUUAUUCCGAGAAAAAAAUCUUCUUACACGCGUAUUAAGGGUAUUAUCGGAAAAUAAAAACUUAACCUGUAAGUCUUACACGAAACCGAUAUAUAUAAAAACAAACAUCCACUUCGUGUCCAAGAGAGAACAUUACAUCCUUGUUUGAAAGAUACUCUCCAAAGACAGAACAAAACUAAAGAUUCGAAAAACGCUAUGGAGCAAAGUGAACUCGGCGAUUCGCAUUCCGGCGGAGGAUGUAGCCGGAACGAUGAGAUUGUUUCCAUCGGAGCUCCGGCGCGGUUGGAUACAUUGCCGGAAGAUUGCAUCUCGAUGGUGAUUUAUCGCACCUCUCCCCGCGAUGCUUGCGUCGUGGCUUCGGUUUCGAAAACGGUUAAGUCAGCGGCUGAAUCUGAUUUGGUUUGGGAGAAGUUUCUUCCUCAGGACUACUCAUCUCUUGUUCCUCCUCGAUCGGUGGAUUUCUCGUCGAAGAAGGAGAUGUAUAUGUCUCUUGCUGAUAUUUAUAAAAUUAUUUUUUAUAACUUUUAAUAAGAUUUGGGUUGAUAUUUUCUCAACAUAUUUUUUUAUAAUUAAAAAUAAAAUUUAUAUUUAUAUUUUCUCAACAGAUUUGUUAGACUAAGAAUAAUCAUUAUGUCAUAUUAAGUAAUUAAUCAAAUGGUCUUACUAAAACUUUUAAAUAGUAGAUAAAAAUUAGGAUCAUAAAUUAAUAGAUUAGAAAUUUAAAUCUAUAUUUUCUCAACAGAUUUGUUAAACUUAGAAUAAUCAUUAUGUCAUAUAUUAAGUAAUUAAUCAAAUGGUCUUGACUUUUAAAUAGUAGAUAAAAAUUAAGAUCCUAGAUUAAUAAUUAGAUUCAUGGUUUUAUGAAUCAUUUAAAUUUGCGGGAUAUAUUAAUGUCUUUUGGUACCUUCAUAGGUAAGAUAAACGCGUAUUAGGGGUAUUAUCGUAAUACCUCUUUUCUUUCUAGCCUUUGCAAGUCUUACACGAAACCGAUAUAUAAACAAACCAAACAUCCACUUCGUGGCCAGGACAGAACAUCACAUCCUUGUCUAAAAUAUACUCUCUGUCUCUGACUUAAAAUCACAUCAGAUUCCAAAAUUUCAAAUUCGAAGAAAAACGAUAUGGAGCAAAUUGAAGUCGGCGGAGGAAGUAGCCGAAACGGCGCGGCGUGGUUGGAUACAUUGCCGGAAGAUUGCAUCUCCAUGGUGGUUUCUCAUACAUCGCCGCGCGAUGCUUGCGUUGUGGCUUCGGUUUCGAAAACGGUUAAGUCAGCGGCUGAAUCGGAUUUGGUUUGGGACAAGUUUCUUCCGCCGGAGUACUCAUCUCUUGUUCCUCCUCGAUCGCAAGAUUUCUCGUCGAAGAAGGAGAUUUAUCUGUCUCUUGCUAAUGAUUCCGUUCUGAUCGACGACGGCAAAAAGGUGGAAAUGUGUGAAAAUAAUUAGUCUUUUUUUUUUUGGUAAAAUGUUGUGAAAAUUAGGGUUUCGUUUUAAAGUUGUCUUGAUGUUUUUUUGACUCAGAGCUUUUGGUUGGAGAAAGCUAGUGGGAAGAAGUGUUACAUGUUAUCUGCGAUGGAUUUAAAGAUCACAUGGAGUGAUUGUCCUGCUUAUUGGAAAUGGAAGAAAGAUCCUGAGUCUAAGUAAGUUCUAGCAACUGUGCAGUUUUGGAGUUUUACAUGAUGAUCUUUUAUUUUAUUUUAUGUUUUGUGUGUGUGGAAUCAGGUUUGAGAAAGUAGCGAAGCUUCGUCACGUGUGUUGGUUUGAGAUUCGGGGAAAGAUAAGUUGCGGAAUGCUGUCCAAGGGGACACAUUACUCUGUCUACGCAGUGCUCAAGAUAGGAAGGAGUGGAUCACGCGGGUUAGAUGACACGCCCAUGGAAGCUCUAGUCGGGUUUGUGGGGGAGGAAGCUGCUAGCAAAACGUUUGUGUUACUCGAACCAAAGGGUACGUACCCGCGCGGUGGUUACUCAAGUGGUUCGUUUAGAGAGGUUAGCACGGGGUGUUCAUGGAUUGAGAUUCCGGUUGAAGAAGUUGAAGAAGAGAGGGAGACUGAUAGGAGUGUGGAGGAGCCAAAGGAGAGAGGAGAUGGGUGGAGUGAAGUUAAGCUUGGGAAUUUUUACAACGGUGAUGGAGGUUGUGAUGAUGAUGGUAACGAGAUUGAGUUUUCUAUUAUGGGGACUGAGCAGGAAGAUUGGAAGAGUGGUUUGAUUUUCCAGGGAAUCGAGAUAAGGCCUAUGAAUGAAGGAGACUGAAGAAAUGGUGAUAGCUAAGUGAUCAAACAUCUGAUUUUAAGUAAUCAACAGAGUUUAAAGCUUUUUGUAUUGGCUGCUUACUGCUAGUAGACUUUAUUUUAUACAGUUUGGAGUUUUUGAUAUGCAAAGUAAGAAGUUAAAAAUUAUUUCUUGUGUACCAAUGUUUGAAUGACAACAACUUAAUGUCAAAAAAGAUAAUUAAUAUAUGUUCAAGCUCCUUCAAAAUUUCUCAAUAACGUCUUUUAAUAUAUUCGAAAUUGAUUAAAUCUAAGAAACACAUUUUUAACCUCAUACUUGGGGAGAUUCCAGGCUUGCGUGCCAAGUUGGAAGGAUUAUUGAUAGCCACUACCAGACUAUUGGUCAGUCAGCGGCUGGACAAAGGGUGAGGCUUUAGGCUAUGUAGUUAUUUUGAUUUGUGGACAAAACAAAUUUCGGGCUUCUUGUUAUGAUUAUAACCAGCGAAGUAUAAGUAUAAAUAUCUCAUUAUUCAUAAAUAUCUCAUUAUUUUAAUGGGCUCUAAUUUACAACUUCAAGGCCUUUAUAAAAUUAAUUAUUGGCUAAAUUGGUCCUUACAAAGAUAUUCUUUACUUGUUUUCGCGAUUUAAGAAUUGUGCUCUGGUUUAAGUUGGAUUGCGUUGUUUGGUUCUUUCAAAUCCGUAUAUUACAUGUUGUGAAAUAAGUUAUUUAAUUUGUAGUAUAUUAAAAGACAACAAUAGAAGUAAGAACCAAUGGAUAUUGGCUCAACCACCCCCUUUGAACAUUUAUACAUGUAUGAGAGAAAUAUACAACUAAUUUGAACAUUUAACUCCUUUCUUAAUUUGUGUUUAAAAAUUUAGAAGGACAACUAAUUGGAAUAGAGAAAGAGAGUAUCUAUUAGUUUAACUGAAUUUCUUUGCGAUUUCAAAACCUAAUAAUUUAAAAAUGAUAUCUGAGAGAAUUGACAUUUAUACAUGUAUGAGAGAGAGAUUUUUUUGUCCGCAUCAUAUAUAAAUAUAGUGAUAAGCAUGAAAAUUACCAAGAAAUUAUUUUUUUUUUUUUUUUUUUUUUUUUUCCUUCUUUCUUCCCCCAAAAGAAGUACCGUUACAACAACAAGAAAUUAUUUUCACUUUCUCAUACAGUAAACAUCACACCAACAAAUGUGAAACAUAGAUCUGUUUUAAAAUUUAACAUGCUGAGGUUACCGGUCAUUCUCAUUCUGACCGAAUAAACUAUAAACUGAUAUAUAUCAUACAUUUCUUUACAUACUAUUGUCUCAAAUUAAAAUAAUAAUUUAUCACAUAUGACAAGAAAUAGUCUUACCAUCAUAUGUAAAUAGCUUUUAAGAAGACAAAACUCAUUGUUUAGGCACGAUCCAAUGAUGUUGGAGCCCCUUUGCUUUAUUAUUUUUCUCUAAGUAAAUUCCAUCAACUCUAACAAUCCAUGAACGUUUUUCACCACAUCGAAAUGACCUAGCUCCUCUGUAUGCGCGCCAUAUAAUUAGAGAAUUUUCCACUUUUUCUCCAUACCGUAAGAGGCAACGCCAUACAAUUCUUUUUGGUGAUAUUUUCUCGUUUACUAGAAUUUGAUAUAUAUCAUUGACUUUUACCUCAUGGAGACGUUCAAUUAUGUUUGUGUUGGUUGAGCAAUUAACUUUGAGAAUGCUACCUGGAUUAAGUUUAUUUUGAAACUCUAAAGUGUUUGGUUUACACGAAAUACCUUCAUUCAAACCAAAACACAUAGCAAUAACUAGCACAAAUAUGAGGUAUUUCAUCUUUUUAUCUAAAAUAUUUGUUGAAAAGGAUCAUUUCAUAGACGUUAAAGUGGAAUAUAUUUAUAGAUUUUUGUAAACAUGCUUUAAUAUUUUAUUAACUAUUAAAUAGUAGUGGCUAAAAUUAAACACAUUUAUGAACCAAUCAAAUUAUGUGGUCGGAAAUACAUUUGAGAUCGAUAAAUAAGGUGAAUUAAAUAAUAUUAGACCAAUUAAAGUAAGCAUGCAAAUUAGUGCUGGCCAGAAAAACUAAAGAAAAUCAAACAAAAAAAUAAUACACACACGGUAUUUAAUCUAAUUAUUUUCAAAGUAGAAAAUAAAAAUUUGAUAUCUCUGUCUAGCACGACAAUAUUUUGAGCAUUUUUAAUUAUUUAAUUUAUAAUUAUGAACAUUUAUUGUUUAUAUUAAUAUUUUAUCUAAACUAGUACUAUCAAUAAAAAAGAAUGUAAUAAUUUCAGCAAGAUUGCAUGUAAUAUUUCAAAUUUGUAUUUUAUUAAAAGGUAUUUUAUAGACAAUAAAAUACAACAAAUGUAGCUAAAAUAAAUAAUGAAUUUCAUGUCUAAUGAUGAUAAAAAAUAUAUUUCCUUCGUCCCCAUAAAACAAUUAUACAAAAAAAUGUUUUCUUCACGCGUCAUCUUCGUUUUGUUCAUAGGGUUAGUAAUUUAGGGCUUCCGUUUCCAGAUAUCUUUUAUCCGCUGGUUUGGUAUCCCACAAAUGUAUUUCAACUAUGUAUUGAAUUGAUCUAUGAAAUUAUAAUGCGUCAAAAAAAAAUUAUAAUGCGUCAUCAGUGUUAUAAAAAGAAAACAGAGGUAAAAAUAUAUUUUAUUAUCUAUAAAUUGGUAUUUAUAAAUUUGUUAUUUCCUUGGCUUAUUUUAGAAAACUACUUGAAAAGGGAAUAAGACAAAAGAAAAUCUAGACUUUAACUUACGAUCUUAGCUUAAUAAUGUUUUUCUUCUUUCCAAAUGAGUAUGUUCUUCACAAUAUUGAGUUAAUGAGUUCAGUAUGUCAAAACUAUUAGUAAUAACGAUGUUAUGCAUGUCGUUUGUUUGUUUGUUGGGGCUAGACAUUGUCCACGUAACAUAUUAGUUUUUCUUUCUUACCAAUUUAAUUUGGAAAGAAAUUAACAUACUAAAUAUAGAUGUUUAUAUAAAUGUAGUUUUUAUUCAGAUAAAAAUCGAUUCUUAUUUUCAACAUUUUUCUAAAGGAUUUUAUUCAGAUUUGUUAUUGGGUGAAUCCCUAUGGUGAAUCUCUAGGUUCACUAAUCAAUAGUAUUUUGUUAUUUUAUAUUCCAUAUCAUUUAAAAAGAAAUAAAAUAAUAAAAAUUUGUAAUUGUUAAGAAAUAAUAUAAAAUAUUUUUAACGCCGUCAGCAAAACACUAAUCUCUAAACCCUAGGAUAAACCCUAAAUACUAUUUAUUUUGUGUUUAGGGUUUACUGAAGUUAAGAUUUAUGAUUUAAGAUUUAUCCAAAGAUUUAUGCUUUACCCAAAGAUUUAUGCUUAUCCAAAAGCCUUGUUUAGAAACUCUCUACGCGCUACGCGUGCAACACACACAGACCUAGCGAUUUAUUGAAAAAGCGGGAAAAAUCGGAGAGUACGCAGGGAAGAAUUUUUUGUACUUUUAUAUAUAAAUAUCACAUUUUAUAAAUAUAAUACAGAAAAAUUUAUAUAGUAAAUAUUUAUUAAAGAUACAUCACAUAUAACAAAAUUCAGAGAAUGCUUACAAUAUCCCUUGUUCGAAAACUCGCUAGGCGCUUCGCGUGCGGCAUACACAGGCCUAGCGAUUUAUUGAAAAAUCAGAAAAAAAUCUUUCUCUAUGCAAAUCACAGUAAACACAUAUAUAUAAAGUAAAUUUGCAUAGAUUACAAAGUGCAGUAGCUUUGUCUAGUUGUCUGAGUCCCCCUAAAACUCGUUCAUGUCAAAAUUUUGAUUGUGGGCAAGUGCACUUUUGACAUAUAAUUACUUUUUAGCUUUAAUGAAUGUAAAAUGACCAAUACAUCCUCGUUUUCAACCUUGCGAUUUUUCAGACCUAAUACGCAGCCGUCUUCAAGUUUUCUGCGAUUUCACCGUUUUGAAAAGCUAUUCUAGUGGGAUUGGGAUUCAACUUCAUAUAGAAGAUCUAUAAAGGUAUAAUCUGAUUUCUAACUAAAAGCUUUGAUAUUUUCAAACUUUUUCAAAUUUGGAGAUUUGGACAAAUCGGUUUUUCAAAAUUAAUCGGCGAUUUCUUCCAUUUCGCCACGAUAACCUUCUGAUUUAUGUUUAAUCGGACGAGUAAUCGGCAACUCGGCCGAGUUUUAGAACAAGGCCCAAAAGUUUAGAGUUUAAUGUUUUGCUAGCGGCGUUAUAAAUAUUAAAAAAAUUAUUAUUUUAACUUAAUUUAUUUUUACCUUUUUAUUUUGAAAAUAUAAUAUAACUUAAUAAAUUUUUAUUAUUUUUAAAAAUUAUUAAAUAUAAAAUAAUAAAUUACUAUUAGUUGUUGAACUUAUAAAAACUCUUUUAUGAACCAGAGAUUGGAAGAUCAUUAAAUAACUAACCAUCGUUUCCUUUGUCUCUCUUCUUUUUUCUUCUUUAUCUCUUUUGACAAUAGUUAGUUUCUUAAUUUAAAUUUUUUUUAGUUAUUUCACCAAUUCUCCCAUCAUUAAAUGAUGGCAAUAAUAAAAAAGUUAGUUUUUUUUUUCUCUCUUUUUUCGCAGAGAGUUCAGUUUACUCAACUAAAGGCUUUCCAUCACUGUGAAUCUUUGAUGUCAGCUUAAAAAAGAAAAAAAAAGAGAGAGAGAGAAGAGAGAACAGAGUGUAUCAGUCACUGUACUUCCGCAAGCUUCCAAAGCUCUUCCAUCACUGUACUCUCUCUCCCCACAUUCAAAUAAUGGCUCUGAGAUAAAAAUCUAAGAUUAUAAUUCUUCUAUUAUUUUAAUCAAUCUUCUUGGUAUACUUGUGAUUGAGAGAGACACGAAAAAAGAUUCUCUCUUUCGAUGGAUUACGAACGAAUCGGAAAGACCCAGGUGAUCAAAAAUGCUUCUUCCUUUCUCUCUUUCUCUCUUUCUCCCCAUUCACUAACCUUUGAGUGUUUUUGUGAUAGGUUACUACUAGCGGCGGCGGCGGCGGCUUGUCUCCGAGGAAGUUAAGGAGUAUGCUUCUUCUCGGUGCUGAUAGAAAGAAGAAAGAAGAUAUGAUUGAACCAACUCCAAUAAUGAGAUCUGGGUCAAAUCAAAGUGAUGACCUUGGUACACUUUUUGUUUCCCCCUUUUUGAUUAAUCUAGGGUCCCCCUCUUAAUCAUUUUCCUUAAUGACCCUUUUGUUUUGUCCCCAUUUGCUUAAUGGUAUCUCUCUCUCUCUCCUUGUGACCGACCUUACUUUAAAUAUAUGCAGUUGCUAGUGGAUCAGAUGAUUGCAAAGACGUUGAUGUUGUGUGUGAGAUCACCACUGAUUAUGACAACGUGAGUGAAGAAGUCAAGAGUGUUUCUGCAUCCCUCUUUGAGUUUCAAAAGACAGAAAAGGCUGCUCAAAGACUUCCCACUAGAUCCUUCUCUAAACCUGCUCCUUCCAAAUGGGACGAUGCGCAGAAAUGGAUCGCUAGUCCGACAUCUUCUAACCGACCAAAGACAGCGGCAGGACAGGUUCAUGUCUCAAAGAAAGGGCCUAGCUUUGGUCGGCAGUCUUCUAUGAAGAUUCCUCUUGCUGCUGAAGAGCCUGAUACAAAGCGAAUAGAUGUAAGCCAGGUGAAGAAGGAGACAGGACAGAAGUUUGUUAGCUGGGAAGUUGAUUCGUAUGUCAAACCUGUUCUCACGGUUGACAACUCCAUUGCAACUGAAGUUAAUCUCAGCCGUCAUGACUCAUCCAUUGCAACUGCGUUUGCGCAGCCACCUUCAACAGCGAGGUCUGUGUCAAUGAGAGACAUGGGAACUGAGAUGACUCCAAUAGCGAGCCAAGAACCUUCUAGAAACGGGACUCCGAUCAGGGCGACAACGCCAAUCAGAAGUCCUAUAACUUCUGAACCUUCAAGUCCUGGGAGAAGACAAGAAUCAUCAGCUUCUCAGAUGAGUAACAAGGAGCUCUCGGAGAAAGAGCUUCAAAUGAAAACGAGGAGAGAGAUAAUGGAGUUGGGAACACAGCUUGGGAAGUUGAACAUUGCUGCUUGGGCUAGUAAAGAGGAUGAAGACAAAGAUGCUUCCACAUCAAUGAAGAACAAAGCUGCUUCUCUGCAGACUUCUAAGAGUGUUUCUGAAGCUCGUGCUUCUGCGUGGGAGGAAGCGGAGAAGGCUAAGCACAUGGCUAGGUAACUCAGAACUUGCAUUGUUUGUUUGAUCAUAGUGGGGUUUAACUUCAAAAUGUUUUGUGUGUAAUCUUUAGAUUUAGACGGGAAGAGAUGAAGAUACAAGCAUGGGAGAAUCAUCAGAAGGCGAAAUCUGAAGCUGAGAUGAGGAAAACAGAGGUAAGUAAAGCAUGAAAGCCUCAAGAAACAUAGUGAAAGUUGAUCAUAGAAACCAUGGCCUCUGCUUAUAAGUCUGUGUUAUUGCAGGUGGAAGUUGAGAGGAUAAAGGGACGAGCGCAAGACAGGUUGAUGAACAAACUAGCUGAGAUAGAGAGGAAAGCAGAGGGGAAGCGAGCAGUGGCUGAAGCGAAGAAGAAUCGCCAAGCAGCUAAAACAGAGAAACAAGCUGAACAAAUUAGAAGAACAGGCAAAGUACCUUCAUUGAUGUUUUCUUGCUUUAGCUUUUGUUCUUAGUAACAAACAUAAGAAGAGUUCCAAUCUUUGUAUUAUUUUGUACAAUAUAAGUGUUUGUCAAAGUACCUUUUUUUUUAUUAUGGUGAUGUAUUCAUCUUAGUUGCUUUGUAGAUCUAUCACUCGGUUUAUAACUUUUCUGGUUCAGACUCGGUUUAGGCUCGGUUAUGUUGGGGUUGUGGAUAAAUCUAGGAGUAUUUGGUUUAAAUAUGGUUUCUCUAUUUUUUUUUUAAUUAUGAUUUGGCUUUGUUAGUUUGUUUUUAGAAGUUUUCUUUAAUUUCAGAAUUUUCUAUAAAUUGGUUUGGUUUGUUUGGUUCGGUUACGAUCUAGGUCAAGGAUUUAUAAUUUUGUUUCGUUCAAACUCGGUUCUGUUAAGGUCGGUUUAAGUACUUCAUCACCGUCCGUUUCCAAAAAUACUGUCUGCCAAUAAGAACACACCACGUGUGUACAUCUGAUGAUAAACGAUAGUAAUCUCCCAAUCGCAAAAAGGAAAAAACGAGCUGUUAUGAUGACUUUGGUCGCAAGUUUAAAAAAAAAUGGAAAGGAUUACUAUUGCCCCCAAGCCAGAAUCAAAGAGGUUAUAAAUACAUGUUUCACGCAAGAGUUUUCUCCACAAGUUGCCUCCAUGGGCAAGUAUAAAGAUUGUUUGAAGACCAGAGCGAAUCUAAAGAAGCAGAAGAAACAUGUGGCUAAAGUUGAAAGAGUGACGAGAUUUACCGAUCUUCCACUAGACUUGGUUGGUGAUAAGAUACUCUCCAAGGUUCCAAUAACCUCUCUCCGAGCAGUGCGAUCCACUUGUAAGUUAUGGAACGCUUUAUCCAGAGAAUGGAUCUUGAGUAACACACCAACAUCAAAGCGGCAGUUUUCGAGUUUCAUGACGAUGGAUUACAAGGUUUAUUCAUUGAGAUUUCAUCCCCACAAAGACAAGUAUAUGGGAGUUUAUCAAUCUAGAAAGCAUAUAGAUAUACUUAAUCAAGUUGAGAUAUCCAAAGUAUUUCACUGCAACGGCUUAUUGUUAUGCGUCCUCAAGGACAACUCAGGACUCGCCGUGUGGAACCCUUAUUUGGGGCAAACAAGGUGGAUUGAACCUAGAACAAAGUUUCACAAAUGCGACAUGUAUGCUCUCGGGUAUGACAAGAAGCGUAACCACAAAAUCUUGAGAUGUUUUGAUGAUUAUGACAUCGACAGCAGAAAACACUCUUUUCAUUGUCGAAAUCUACGACUUGGGAUCUCAUUCUUGGAGGGUUCUUGACGUUACUUCGGACUGGGCAAUAGAUUUUGAUGCUAACGGAGCGUCUUUGAAAGGAAAUACUUAUUUUUUUGCACAAGAGGAAAUACCACCUUGUGGUGAUGGAAGUAUAGCGGUAUCAGACCUUGAAGAUUUUUUAAUCUGUUUUGAUUUUACAAACGAGAGAUUUGGACCGCGUUUGCCUCUUCCGUUUCACUCUAGUUUAAAAGAAGGUGUGACACUCUCUUGUUUUGGAGAAGAUCAGCUCGCGGUGCUGCAUGAACGGUUUUAUACAUUAGAGACAUUGGAGUUUUGGGUUACUACUAAGAUUGAGCCCAACGUGGUGUCUUGGAGCAAGUUUUUGAAACUGGAUAUAACACAACAUGAAGGUUAUUUGUCUCACGUUGGGAGUUUCGUCAUUGACGAGGAGGAGAAAGUUGCAAUGGUUUUCGAUGGAGACAGAGACGACCAACCCUCAAACACACGUCGGUACCACAAGGCUUUGGCCGUUGGAGAUGGAUAUGUUGACUUUGAGAGUCUUAGAAAAUGUCCGACUGAGUCUCGUCCCCCACUGGUGUGCUCGUCUUCUUAUCUCCCAAGCUUAGUGCAAAUCAACUAACUAGGGCAAAAGGAAAGAAAGAGAAGAUUUUUAAUUUCUUGGUUAGUUUUGACUCGAAUAUGUUUGGGGUGUGGAUAAAUCUAGGAGUAUUUAUAUUAUUAAAAUUGAAAUAUAUUUAAUAAUUGUUUGGAAAUAUGAAUAACAAGUAUAAUGUUUGGAAACAUGGAUAGCAAUAAAAAAAUAGUGUCAUUUUUGUAAUUACACUUAUAGAACUAACCUUAUUUUCAAUAGAUAAUACAUUUUUUUAUUUCCAUAUUUUCGUUCAUCUUAACUAUUUUAUUAAAUAUAUUAUUUUAACAAUACUUCACAUCAUUAAUUAUAUUAACAUAAUAAUAAUAUUGCAGAUUUUUAUUUAUUAGUUAAUCAACAUUAACUUUGUACCAAUUAAGAAUCAAAAUAUGAAAUAAUCAGAUUUUGCAUAUGGUUAAAAGUUUGAUUUAGUCUAUUUUACUAUUUUUAUCUUAAUUUCAAUCAGUAAAAAAUUACGUAGACAAACACUUAAUUAAAAACAUAGUUUAUGUGAACAAAAUAAUAACUUAAAUCAAAAUAAUAAAAAAUAUUACAUAUUGUCAAUUAAUUUUUCACACCAUAUAACUAUUUUACUAAAUAAUUUUUUUUAUUUGACUUAAUUUAGCCAGACAUAGAAUUAAUUGUUCAAAAGAUCGGGUAAUAUACUUAUUUUGGUUCUUCUUAGGUUUAUAUGGUUCGGUUCUGAUGCAUAGGAACCUAAAAACAUGAAAAUAACCAGUGUAUCUGAAACGGAUUUGGAAUAUUUGUAUCACAAAAACUAUAUUACCCGAUAUUUUGAAUACAAUUAAUUAUAUAGCAAUACAUCUAAAAUAUAUAACACUAAUAAUGAAAAAUAAAUAAUUUAUAAAAAUAAAAUAACCAAUACCGGUGCGGGCACGGGUCAAGUUCUUGUUUGGUUUAAAUAUGGUUUCUCUAUUUUUAAUAUGAUUUGCCUUUGUUAGGGUUUGUUUUGGGCAGAAGUCUUAUUUAAUAACAAAACUAGUGUUUUGACCCGUGCAUGUUUUCACUUUAUAAAUUUUGAAUUUUCUUGUUGUUUAGAAUAAGUUAUAUACUUCUAUAACACUAUUUACAUAUAUUAUUCUACAUUAUUAAUAUAUAAUAUUAAUAUUUUACAUGUAAUGUAUGUAGUCAUCAGAAAUGAAUAUCGAUUUAUUUUUGUAAGAUUUAGUAUCAGAACUUUUUAAUUUAAAGUAAUUGGCUGGAACAACAUCCUCUAAAAAUGAGAAACUGAACAUAAACUUUUAUAGUUUCCAUACAUUAUUUUUAUAAGUUUUGUUAAUUUUAUUUCAAAUUAUAAAUAAAACUUAUAUGUUAUCUUGAUAGCAAAAUGUGAAUGUCCUGGUUCAAUAUGGUUAUGCUUAAGCAUGUUAUCCAACCAAUUGAGUAUUGUUAGACUUUAAAUGAAAUAAAUACUAAAAUAUAAAUAAAACACAAUAUUGAUCAAGGUUUAGUUUAUAGCUAAUAAUAAAUUUGAAGGAUCUUUUCUGAUGAAAUAUUAAGUUUAUUGAUCAUCAUGAGAAAAAAAUUGUAUGUACAGAGAAUGAGUUUGUAUAAAACUACUCCAAAAAAGCUUUAAAACUACUGCAAAAAAAAAUUGAAACUAGGAAUGAGCACUAAACCAUCUCUGCAUCAGUCCAUAUAGCUUUGGCUUCAAGUGGUACUUUGUAGAAGAGAUCUUGUUCAUAAAUCUGAAGGUUUGAUUUCUUGUAAUUAUGUGGUGAUGCCCACUAUUUUUUUUUUUAAAUUAAUUUGGAGGUAUUCCGGAUUUAUGGAAGGGUCCAAACUAAUCAUUAAAGGGAAGUGCAGCUAAUAGAUAGACCAUCUCUCUGAGUAUUCAAAUGGACUGAAAGCAAUAAUUCAUAUUUAUGUUAGGUGUCCAAAAAAAAUAUGACUUAGUUUCGCAUAACAGGUAGAUCAAACCUGAAACAUGUUGGCGUUCCAAAUCCUUUCCUUUACCACUUGACUAUAAGCUUCCGAACAUACUAUUUUUAUUACACGUUGGUUUAUAGCUUACCAAUAAAUCUUGAAGUUUUUGAUACCAUGAUUUCUCGUGAGGUAAAGUGAUGGUACUACAUGAUUUCGUGGUUAAUUUGUAGUUAAUAAUAAAUAGUGAUUGCCAAAACAAUAUAUGUGAUGCAAUUUUAUUGCUUUUUAUAGUUACCAAUAAUACGUGUAACAAAUUCUGGUUAGAUAGCGUGAUAUAUUUUCAUGAUUUUAUGGUUGAAUUAAUUUUGAAUAAAAUAUCAAAUUACCAUUAAUGAAGAUUUUAGGUUUAGUUAAAAUUUGAGUGGCAAUUUAUGUAAUAUUCCACAUGGAAGCAAGGUUAUUUCUACAGUGUACUUUUCUUUUACCAGAGAAGAUUUUCUGUGAACCGGUUUGUUUGGUUCGGUUACGAUCUCGGUUAAUUCCGACCAACGAUUUAUAAUUUUGUUUCGUUCAGACUCGGUUCUGUUAAGGUCAGUUUAGAUACUUCAUCACCGUCUGUUCCAAAACGCUGUCUGCCAAUAAGACCUUACAAUGUGUUUACAUGUGAUUUGAUAUACGAUAAUAAUCUCCCGAUCGCAAAAGAAAAAAGGUAAAAAACAGAGCUGUUAUGAUGACUUUAAUCGCAAGUUAAGAAAAAAAAAGGAAAGGAUUAGUAUGCCCCCAAACCAGAAUCAUAUAAAAACAUGUUACACGCAGAGUUUGUCUCCACAAGUUCUCUCUCCAUGGGCAAGUCUCGCAACAAACCCGCAUCAAAAGUAAUAUUUUUCUCCUAAUGACUUUUCUUCUUCCUCUAUUUGUCUUAAACCCUAUGUUCCUGUCUGUUCUAAGAACCUAACUAGACUUUUGUUUGUGUUUUUAAUUUUUCAGUUUGAAGCAACUUUGAAGAAACCUAAGAACUUAGGUAAGGCAGAGUCUAAGGAAUGUUUGAAGACCAGAGCGAAUCUAAAGAAGCGUAAGAAACAUGUGUUGAACGUUGGAAGAGUGACGAGGUUUAGCGAUCUUCCACUAGACUUGGUUGGCGAUAAGAUACUCUCCAAGCUUCCAAUAACGUCUCUUGGAGCGGUGCGUUCCACUUGCAAGUUAUGGAACGCUUUAUCCAGAGAAUGGAUCUUGAGUAACGCAGCAAAAUUAAAGCGGCAAGUUUUAGGUUUCAUGACGAUGGAUUACAAGAUCUAUUCAUUGAGAUUCCAUCUCCACAAAGACAAGUAUAGGGGAGUUUAUCAAUCUAGAAAGCAUAUAGAUAUACUUAAUCAAGUCGAGAUAUCCAAAGUCUUUCACUGCCACGGCUUAUUGUUAUGCGUACUCAAGGACAAGUCGAGGCUCGUGGUAUGGAACCCUUAUUUGGGGCAAACAAGGUGGAUUGAACCUAGAACAAAUUUCCAUAAAUGCGACAGGUAUGCUUUCGGGUAUGACAAGAACCGUAACCACAAAAUAUUGAGAUGUUUUGAUGAUUAUGACAUCAUCAACAAAAAACUCUCUUUCAUGGUCGAAAUCUACGACUUGAGAUCUCAUUCUUGGAAGGUUCUUGACGUUACUUCGGACUUGGCAAUAGAGUAUGAUGCUAACGGAGCGUCUUUGAAAGGAAAUACUUAUUUUUUUGCUCAAGAGGAGAUACCACCUGGUGAUGGAAGUAUAGUGGUAUCAGACCUUGAAGAUUUUUUAAUCUGUUUUGAUUUUACAAACGAGAGAUUUGAACAGCGUCUGCCUCUUCCGUUUCACUCUAGUUUACAAGAAGCUGUGACACUCUCUUGUGUUGGAGAAGAUCAGCUCGCCGUGCUAUACGAAAGGUUGUAUACAAUAGGGACAUUGGAGUUUUGGGUUACUACUAAGAUUGAGCCCAACGCGGUGUCUUGGAGCAAGUUUUUGAACGUAGAUAUGACACCACAUGAUGGCUAUUUGUCUCAUGUUGGGAGUUUCAUCAUUGACGAAGAGGAGAAAGCUGCAAUGGUUUUCGAUGGACGCAGAGACGACCAACCCUCAAAGACACGUCGGUACCACAGGGCUAUGACCGUUGGAGAUGGAUAUUGUGGAUUAUAUGAGGGUCUUAGAAAAUGUCCGACUGAGACUCGUCCCCCACUGGUGUGCUCGUCUUCUUAUCUUCCAAGCUUAGUGCAAAUCAACUAAGGAAACAAAGAGAUGAUUUUUAAUUUACCUUUGUUUGUUUCUUGCAUGCUACUGUACUGACUUAUUCUACUUAGUUUUCUAUUCGUCUUCUAAUACAAUGUUCAAAGACCGGCCAUUGCAUGAUUUACCUUAUCCUUUAAUGCUUGUUUGACGUCAUAUAAUUUAUUUGGGUAAAAAAAAAAGGGAUCUAGCUUAUAAGGACAUGAUGACAUGAUUAACCCUGGGUUUUUAGUUGGGAUUUUUAACUCAUAAUUUGACAUUUUUUUUUACACUUUUCGAGACGGCUCUUAUAUCUCUUAUUUAAGAAAAGGUUCUUAGUUUUUCUUAGUUAAAAUUAAAAAAAGCUAAGAACCCUUUCUUAACCGUUUCUUAACCGAAGCUAAGAUCCUAAUUAAGAGAUUGGGGUUAAUCAUAAUCUAAGCAUGCAUAAGAAUCGACAUUGCAUGUAGAAGUUGAGAGGAUGAAGAGACUAGGACUAGACCGGCUAAUAAAAAAACUAGCCGCAAUCGUAGACAAAGCAGCAGCUGAAGCAAAGAAUAAUCGUCAAGCAGCUAAAAGAGAGAAACAUAAAUCGGACCUCGUGGUCUGGUGGUAAAGGAACCUCGGCUGAGGUGCCCGCCAUCACGAGUUCGAGCCCUGGCUACAACGGAUUUAACAUGGUUUCCGUUUGGCCUCCAGGACCUUCCUCGCCAGUUCCGGUUGGACGCGGUGGGAUAAUCGGAUUAAGUGAGAGGUCCGGAUACUUAGAUUAUAAAAAAAAAAGAGAAACAUUGAACAAAUCCGAAAAACAUGCAUAGUGCCUUCAUUGUUUUUCUUAUAACGACUAUUUUAUUGAUAUUAAGCUGAAUGUAUAUAAUCCUCAUACAGAGAAUUAUGAAUCAUUGUUGGUACAAAAUAAUGAGAUACAAAUAGCCUAUUGUUGUUGUUGUCUUAACAACAUUAUUAUAUGAAUUGUUUUAUAUUCACAAUAGAAUUAUCUUUAUAUUUUUUAACACUUAAUAUAUUUUGAUGAGAUUUUAUAAUACUCUAUCUAAAAUCACAUUUAAGUUAUAUGCAAUAUAUAUUACAUACACCAAAUAAUAUAAUAAAAUUAAUAUAAAUGUCAAAUUUCAAAAAAUAACAAUUAAUGUCUAUUCACUAAAAUCGAAUAUUUUUUUCAUCUUAGAAUAAAUAUAUCUUAAAAUGAGAAAUCUAAAUAAGAAAACUUUUGUAAAAUUAAUAUCUUUUUAUAAAUCAAUAAAAUUUUAAAAUCCCAAUAUUACUAAUUUAUAGAGACUCUACUGUUUAUUAAUUACUAUUUCUUUUCGUGAACACUUAAAAGUAAUCUCACUGAUCCACUUACAAUAAUGACCUAAUAAUAAAAAACCAUACAUUGGGCCGGUAUAGCUUGCACACAAAGGCCCAUUAAGAGUCCAUAACUUACCAACUAAACAAAAAGAACAGAAACGAAACAGCAAAGUUAGUCCUAAGGGAAGACACAUCAACAAAACCCAGAGAGUUCGUUCGUUCAUAAACCCUACUUUCCUCUUCCUCCUCCACCUCCUCCCUCCUCUUCAGUCGAAUCGAAUAUCUGAGUAAUACAAUGUCUCCGAGCUAAAACGAUGAGGCUCAUUGUAUUCCCUCUGCACUUCCUCCUCAAAAUGCUCUGCUCUCUCCGCAACUUCAUCCACGUUAAUCGCAGGUUCCCUCGCCGUGUAAGCCCUUGUUUCCCUCUCUCUUCUGUCUCCUGCCCUUUCGUCUGGUUCACGAGCUUCCUCUGCGUCAUUCGAUACCCUUUCGUCACCAAAACACACCCUCUAGAUUCCAACAGAGACUGGAUCCGUAACGUCGUCAAGAACGAUCUAUGGGAAGAUCCCCAAAUCAACAACCUUUUUGAUCCAGUUCAUGUCCCAAGGCUCCUCCUUGAUUUGAAACAAGACCCUAGAUUAGCCCUCAAGCUCUUCAAAUGGUCAACGAACCGAACCGGGUCUAACCACACCGUUGAGUCAUACUGUAUCAUAGCGCACAUUCUCUUUUGUUCUAGAAUGUAUCACGAUGCUAACAGCAUCCUUAGAGAGAUGGUUACGUUACAUAACUGCGAUGCUUUCGAUGCUCUUUGGUCUACGAGGAACGUCUGUGUCCCUGGUUUUGGUGUCUUUGAUGCUCUCUUCAGCGUUUUGAUUGAUCUUGACAUGGUCGAGGAGGCUUUGCAGUGUUUCUCCAAGAUGAAGAGGUGUAGGGUUUUCCCAAAGACUCGUUCUUGCAACGGUUUGCUUCAGAGGUUUGGGAAGUUAGGGAAGAGGGAAGGGAUGAAGAGGUUUUUUAAGGAUAUGAUUGGUGCUGGCUCGAAGCCGAGUGUGUUUACUUACAAUAUAAUGAUAGAUUGUAUGUUUAAAGAAGGAGAUGUUGAAGCUGCGAGAGGCUUGUUUGAGGAAAUGAAGUUUAGAGGUUUGGUUCCUGAUACUGUUACGUAUAACUCUAUGAUUGACGGGUAUGGGAAGGUUGGUUUGUUAGAUGAUGCGGUUUGCGUUUUCGAGGAGAUGAAGUGUAUGAGUAUUGAGGCUGAUGUUAUAACGUUUAACUCGCUGAUUAAUUGUUUCUGUAAAAAUGGAGUGUUGCCUAAGGGUUUGGGGUUCUACAGGGAGAUGAAGCGGAGUGGGGUUAAACCGAACGUUGUUACUUACAGCACUUUGGUUGAUGGUUUCUGUAAGGAGGGUAUGAUGGAACAGGCAUUGAAGUUUUAUGUUGACAUGAGAAGAGUUGGUCUUGUGCCUAAUGAGUUUACUUACACUUCUCUCAUUGAUGCCAAGUGUAAAAUUGGUAAUCUAACGGAUGCUUUUAGGCUGGGUGAUGAGAUGUUGGAGGCGGGUGUGGAGUGGAAUGUGGUGACCUACACUGCAUUGAUCGAUGGUCUUUGUGAUGCUGAGAGGAUGCAAGAAGCUGAAGAGCUUUUUGGCAAAAUGGUUGCAGCUGGUGUGGUUCCGAAUCUUGCGAGUUACAACGCUUUGAUUCAUGGAUUUGUAAAGACCAAAAACAUGGAGAGAGCGUUAGAGCUUCUGAACGAGUUAAAAGGGAGAGGUAUUAAACCGGAUUUGCUCCUCUAUGGAACUUUCAUUUGGGGUUUGUGUGGUGUAGAGAAGAUAGAAGCAGCUAAGGUAGUGAUGAAGGAGAUGCAGGAGGAUGGAAUCAAAGCGAAUACGUUGAUCUACACAACGUUAAUGGACGCUUACUUCAAGUCUGGAAACCCCAAAGAGGGAUUGCAUUUGCUAGAAGAGAUGCUACAACUUGAUAUUGACGUCACUGUUGUUACCUUUUGCGUUUUGAUUGAUGGAUUGUGCAAGAACAAGUUAGUUUCCAAGGCUAUUGAUUAUUUUGGGAGGAUGAGUGAAGAGUUUGGUCUACAAGCUAAUGCAGCAGUGUACACAGCGAUGAUUGAUGGUCUCUGUAAAGUGAAUCAAGUUGAUGCCGCAACGAGUCUUUUUGAAGAAAUGGCUCAAGAGGGUCUAGUUCCAGACAGAACAGCAUACACAUCGUUAAUGGAUGGGAACUUGAAGCAAGGGAAUGUGUUAGAGGCUUUGGCUUUACGAGACAGGAUGGAUGAGAUUGGUAUGAAGCUUGAUUUGCUUGCUUACACUUCAUUGGUCUGGGGGUUAUCGCAGUGCAACCAGUUGCAGAAAGCGAGAUCCUUCCUUGAGGAAAUGAUUGGGGAAGGGAUUGUACCUGACGAGGUUUUGUGUGUUAGUGUCUUGAAGAAACACUAUGAGCUUGGAUGCGUAGAUGAAGCUGUAGAGUUGCAGGGUUAUUUGAUGAAGCACCAGCUUUUGACCAGUGAUAAGAAUAACGCACUUCCAGACAUGUGAAACUCAGGAAGAUGCAAUCUUUAUGCUCUUGUCAGACCGGUUCAGGUUUUCGGAUCCAAGCCUUGUCUCGUCUGGAGAAAAUGAACGAAAAUGUUGAAUCUUCAGACUGAGCUUCUCCUGAGAAUCUAUCAGCUAAUCAUCCAAGGAGAAGCUGUAAGAGCUGAGGUAUGAAAACAAAUCUAGUAUUGGGGAUUUGUGAUAUUAAACUCUGAGUUGUGUCUGUGAUAAGUCUUUUUGUUGCAGACUUUGAGCUCUGCUCUGAAGUGUUGAGCUAUGCAAAAGAUGAGAGAAAGAGAGUGAAUAUGAUUAUGAAGUUGAUUUGCUUACAGAUAGGUUAAUGUCCUUGAAGGUUCUUCAUUGUUUAUUGUAUUUGUUGCUUUGAGGAACCAAUCAAAAGUCCUAAUUUUUGUUGUGUACAUUUCUUUUUUUCUUCUUUUUACCCCAGAAUGUAAUUUCUUUUAUUGAUGAUUUAAAAGUGAAAAACAAAUUCUAGUUUUCCAUUAUGCAGAAACGGUGAAAACUAUUUUCAUGUAUGUAGUCACAGAGAAGGUUAAACAAAUUUAAGUCUUUACAUUCUUUGUUUUGAAGAUUAUGAAUGUGUUGCCAAACAAAAAUUGAAAGCUUUCAGAUUCGUAUACUACUUUGUUUACAUAUAUUUCAAUUAAAUCAUCAGUUUAUACUAUUUUCAAUUGUGUGUGAAUUAUCUACACACAUCAGCAUAUAAUUCGUUACUGCAGGUUUAAGUGACUAAAAACAUCUUCAAUAUAAUACUCUAUUUUUUCCUCCAAAAAUGAGUAAAAUUAAUAUGGAGUAAAAAUGUUCUAAUCCAAUUCUAUUUUUCACUCCAUAAUGAAGUGAUGAACAAAUAAGAAAUAUAUUAUUUCAUUUAUGGAAUAAAUUCUAUUAUGGAAUGAGAUAUGAAAUUGAGUUUUUACUCCACUUUAAAAGAAAAAAUGAAAUGGAGUUAGAGAUGUUCUAACAGGCCGCAGUAAGGUAGAUGUUUCUACUAGAAAAUAAAAAUUCUAUUCACCUAGACAUAAACAUAGAUGUGUUCAAAGUUCUACAUCCAUUACCUCCAACAAUUUAUUUCGAUUUAGUAGAUUUACUUGUAAUAAAUAUUGUUUUACAGACAAGCUAUAGAAGCUUGCCCGUAAAACCAAUUAGUGAAAUAAGUGCAUACUCUUUCCAAAACUACACUUUUUUUUCUUCCAAAACUAUACACAAUGGCACCGUUUCUCCUAAUAUCCUUACUUCAAGUUCUAAUGGAAAUGAUCUUGAGCUCAUCGACUUGAUCAUCUAUCUUUUGACAAUUGCAUAUCAAAAUCAACAACACACUCCUUCCAAACACACAUGUCAGAUCGUUGCCACAUCAGUUUCCCCAGAGCCACCACCACCACCAUCAUUAAUCUAUUUACCGAAGUCAACACGCAGCCGUGCAUUUUUCCUGUCACAGAACCAUCAGUGCGACCCUAAACUAUCUCACACCCACCAGUCACCAUCUAUUUCGCAGCACAUGGCUUUGCUAGCAACCCCUCACCGUAGGCUAUGUCAUAGCACAGAGGCUUGGGAGUUGGGAUAUUGUAGAGAGAUUUGUAAUUGUAAGCUCAUGUAUGUGGUUUUAGAAAAUGAAGUAUCCAUAAUGAACCCAAAAAUAAUACUCCCUCCGUAUUUUUUGAAUAAUUGAUGUUUUAAAUUUUGGUUUUGUAUUGAAAUGAUUGACGUUGUAGAGUAUAAUUAAUGUAUUUGUUUUUGAAACUAAAACAUAAAUUAGAAUGUAAAAGUAUGAAUGAUAAAACUUUAAUCAGAAAAAUAAAUAAAUAAAUAUCAAUGCCAUGGACAGAUACAACAUAGCAUGUUUUUUCCUGCAGCAUAUUAUCUCCUGCAGCGAAAAUGUUUGGGACGGAUUGCGGUGUAACAGAUGGAUCGCAUCCAAUGAUCUUUUUAGAGAAAAGAAUAUUUAUUCAUAAAAAUUGAGAGCCGCAAAAAAAUCUUACAAGACCAACAACGAAGUGGAAAAAAACUAGCGAAUCGGCAUAUUCUACGAAUGCGUUAGGAAGCAUCGAUGUUUCUAUUAAAAGUUUUUUUUAACAUGUUUUGUAAAAUUUUGCUUUAUGUAAUAUGUUAGAUUUGAUAUCAAUAAAAUUCAGAUGUUAUUAAAAAAUAAAGAUUAGAAUAUAUUUAAUUUUUCUUAAUAUAUAUGAAAAGAUUAAAACACAUAAUUACAAAAAAAAUAUUAUAUGUAAUUAUGUAAAUAUAAAUUGUGAAAUGAUGGUUAGUACGUGGUGAAACUGUAUAACGUAUUACCAUAAUUGUCCCUUUUAAAACUAUAUCCGCGAACUGUAAUCAGAAUGAUGAAAGCGAUAAAUAUGAAAGCUUUUGAAAAAAAAAAAUAUUAAACUUUUGAUAUAAAAGCAAAAGAAGCAAAAACCAUCUACAAAAUCAUAUUUUUACUAUUGUGAAAAUUCACAUAAUCAACAAGAAAUAAACUCAUGCUGCUAAUCAGUUUUUCUACCAAAUGGAAAUGAACAGUAAUAUAUUAGAUUCAAAUAGGUUAAAAACAAAAAUAUAAUUAAAGUAACUAUGGGUCGUAGUUGGCAUAUAUAUCAUAUUUUGUGGAAUCAAUUUGACUAUUUGAAUGAUUGAAUUAAUACACAUAUUUCUGUGAGGGGUAAAAUACUAAAAGGGAAAUUUGGGAUCAUGUACAUAGUGGAAUAAAAACCAAGUGUAUAACCAUAACAAAAAAUAGAUUAUGAUAUUUAUAUAUUAUUUGUCAUAUUACACUUUCUCAUUUUCACAUCUCUUUUUAAUUAACUUUAUAAGUUUGAAAAAUUAUAAUUUGAAUUUCUUAUAUACUUAUAAGAAACAUAGAUUUUUUUCGUAUAUGACAUUUUGAAUUUUGUAAAACUAACAUAUAUUUAUAAAAUUGAAUAUAUACAAUAAUAAUAAAGUUUUGUUCUAUUCUAUUACAUAAAGUUAUAUAGAAUAGUAGUGAUAAAAUUCAUCUUUCCUCAAUCUCCCUCCCCAAUCUCCAUCCACAUAUCCCUUUUUCUUUUCCUUCUCCCUCUCUCUUUCAUUUCUUUUUUCCUUCUCUCUCUAUAAUAUAUAAUGUUCAAAAAUUAUAUUAUUGUAUUCUAUUCUAUUUAAAAGUAUAAAAUAAUUUAUAAAAUAAAAAUUGCACUUUUUCUUUCUCCUCUUUUUCUCCUCCCAAAUUCUCUCUCUCUUCACUCCUACCCCUCCCCCGCCUCUUCUCUCCUCUUACUUCCCUCUCUCUCUCUCUCUCCAUUUUCCUCUUUGUACUCCUUUCCUCUUUUUUUUCAUCAUCUCAUCAUGUUCUUUAUACUCUUCUAUUUAUUAGACAUUAUACUUUUUUCCAGCUUCUUGUGUAAAAUCUCUUUUCAUUUUUUAUCAUUUCCGUCUUCGCUUUUCUUCCUCUCCCCUUACUCUCAAUAUUUUUUUUCAUAUAUAUAUUUUCACAUGCUAUACUAUAUGAUCAUCAAAUAUAGAAUGAUAUAUGUUUAUUUUGUAAUAUAUCAGCUAAUUAUGUUAUUUCACAUAAUUUAUUUUACAUUAAACACUUGUCCUACGAAUAAAUAUGCUUGUUCAUAUUGUCUACUGAUUAAAUUGCAUUGAACCCUAUAAAUAAAUAGUACUAAAGAAAUUAUAUUAUUCUCUAUUGUUACAUUUAUGUUUGAAAUAAUCCAUUAUAUAUUGACAACAUAAAUAAAUAGUAUUUGGUUGUAACGUUUGAUAUACACACAUUCACGCACUCGUAAAAGAUUAUAAUGUCCAAUAAUGUGGUAAAUUGACACAUUUCUCAACACAUGGCUAUAUUCUUUGUUUUUUUCUUAAUAUGGUUAUACAGCAAAAUCACCCAUACUAAAAUUGGUAAGUUUUUGACAAAAAAAAUUCACCAGCAGGCAGCACCAAUGGGUAAACUUUACAGUUACGAAAUAGUUUACUGUGCCUUAACUUGUUUGCCUUCUUUUUUACGCGGUGAUGAUAACAAUUCUUUAGUCACAGUGCACAUAUAUACAUAAUUAUCUUUUGAGCGUAUUAUUAGACGGAGAAUCCGAUUUUUUUUUCGUUGUCAAAUGGGCAAGCCAAAAAAUACACAGACUUGAUUGCUUACUAAAAAUCCAUUAAUUAUGUUGAAAAGAGAAAUAGUAGAGAUUAAGAGAACAAAAAUUAACAAAGCUUUUCCCUAAUUAACGUACGAUAUAAUCUCGACAUAAUAUGUUAAUUUUUUUGGUUCAUGCUAGAUGGAGAACUCGAAUUUUUUUUUGGUUGUCACUUGUCACAUGGAUCAUCCGAAAGAUUAACUAAAAACACAGACCAGAAUCCUUACUAACAUGCCACUAAUUGAUGUAUAGAUAAUAGAUGAGAAGAUAGUAGAGAGAGAACAAAAAUUACAACAAACUGUUUCCCUAAUUCACGAUAUAUCGCGAAAUAUCAUAUCGCAGAGCUUCAUUUUUCGGGGGAAGAGAGAAAGAAUAGUUGAAAGUAAGUGUUGUAUAAGAAGCUAAUGGGGGAACUUAGAAGAGGGUGGCAUUAUAUAUACGCAAGGACUCAAUGUGUAUGUAAGAACGAUAGAGAAGAAUAACUCAUUGUCUUCAUAUUUACUUGGACUAAGGAAACUUUUAGAGAAUAUUACUAUUAGUUGGAUACUUUUUGUUGUAUUGCUUAUAAUAGCUGCCACGAAAGCUUUACUUCUUCAUCAUGUGUUAGUAAAAUAAGUAAAAUUUUGAACAAUGUUCACCGCCUUAAUUACCCUAGUUUAUUUUGGUUAUGAAUAAUGAGAGCUUAAAUAAUCAAUAAUUUAAAAUAUCCAGAUAUAAGACUUAUAUUGACUGGUUAUAGACCUAAAUCUUUGUAUCAAAUAUAAAAUUCUUCAAAAGGUAAUUAUUCCUUGAUUUUAUAAAUCAACAUAAUUUAAGAAUCAAAUAAUAAGAUUUUAAUCAAUAUCUGAAAAUUUGCGACACAAAUACGUAUGUAAUCUAACUCUCUUUUUUUUUUUUAUAAAAGAGAACAUAUAUGCAAGCAUAAAUAAGUAUAUAUAUUAUAGAAUCAUUUUUCUGGUUUUGAUAUAAGUUACUAAGUGUACGUUGAUAUUCAAGCAUACGAUAUCUAAUUUUGUAUCAAUAGUAUGAUUAAAGACCAAAAAAAAAUGAUUUUUACACACAAAAAAAAAGAUUUUUACAUUUUCGUGACAUUUUAUAAAUCUAGCAGGUUUUGGUGCAGUAGCACUUAAGACUACUGCAUUGACCUCCUGUGAAUCCUUCGCCAGUGCAAACACCGGCACAGUUCUUUGCAUUGAGACACACUCCUUGAAACUUGGUACUUGGUGACUCACACGUUCUGGCUUCCACUGGAAUCAUUCCUAGAUCACAAAAUUAACCCACCAAAGUAUAAAACAUUUUCAUUUUGAAGCAUAAACAUAAUUAUUUUUAUUUUAUUUUUUUUGUUAAAGGCAUAAACAUAAUUAACUAAGAACAUUCAUAAAUGUUAUUAUAUAUAACAAAAAUGUGGAAUACAUGCAUCAUGCAUUGGCUUGUAAGUAAAUUAUUUUCAUACUCACGUAUAUGUUACAUGCUUAUAAUUAGAUCCAGGGCUAGUCGAAAGAAUAAGAUAUUCGAAGCCAUAUACAUUGGGAAACUACUGUAUAUAAAUUUUAAGGAUUUUUAGUAAUAUAUUGUAUAUAAUAAGUUUUCUCGGUUUCCCAUAAAAUAAUUUAACAAUAUAGUUUAGCGUGUUUAAAAUGUUUAGAGUUUUUUUCUUCUGAAAAUUGUUUUUAGGUAGCUCUCAAAGAAAACCUAAAGAACCACUUUUUCUUCGUUUAUCCCUCUGAAUAUGUGCAUUGAUCACUAAAAUGAUAGUUAAUAAAAAUUUAUCAGAUCAUAUUCUAUUUAUGAAUAAAGUCAAAAAUAACAAAAAAGUAGUAUUUAGUGCUGAAGUUUUUUUUGACGUUGUUAACGCCGUCAACAAAAAAUUAAACCUUAAAUUCUAAACCCUAAUAUUUUGAUUUUGGGUUUUGGGGUUUAGGAUUCUUAGUUUAGGAUUUAGAAUUUAAGAUUUAGAUUUAAGGGUUUUGCUGAUGGUGUUUAUAGUUUAAAGUUUUGUUUACAACGUUAAUGAUGUUAAUGUUUUUUCUUCAUUUUUCAGCAAUUAAUACUAUUUAAUUUUAUACUUUUUCAUAAAUAAAAUAUAUAUUUGCAAAUUUUUAUUGGUAAUAUUUUAGUGGUGAACAGAAGAAAAAACUCUAAAAGAAAUAUAUUUUAAGUAGGGGUUUGAUCCGAUUCGUUUCGUUUGAAUAAUCAAUUAUUCGAUUCGAUUUGAUCCGUAGCUAGUUGGAUAUUUGGUGUCCCCAAAAAAUUUUAGAUUUUUGAUUAGAUAUCCAACUCUAUCCGUAAAAAUAAAUUAAAAGAUAAAAAAAAAAUUCAAAAUAAUAUAAAAUAAUAAAGUUACUUACUUUUCAAAAUUCAAAUAACUAAUAUCCAACUCUAUCCGUAAAAAUAAAUUAAAAGAUAAAAAAAAAAUUCAAAAUAAUAUAAAAUAAUAAAGUUACUUACUUUUCAAAAUUCAAAUAACUAAUAUAAUAAAUUUAGUAAAAAAAAUACUGUAUAACUUUUAUAAAAUAUAAUAUUUAUAUAACUUAUAUAAUAAAUAUAUGUAUAUAUAUAUGCAUAUAAAGGAUCGGACCGGAUAUUUGUUCUAAAAAUAUUAGUGUUUGUGACAAAAAAAAAACGUUUCUUUCCCACGAGGGUAUUUGUAUUCUCGACGUUGAUUUCUUUUUUAUUAUUAGUUGAAUUUAGAAGUUUUAUACGUUAUCAACCAAACUAAAUGAUGAAUAUUAAGAUAUGGAGUUCACUAAUAGAUACAUACUGCAGAAGAUGAGUUAUGAACCUGCGGCAAGGAGUAGCAUGAACGAGAGGAGAAUGGUUGAGACCAAACGCAGAGAGAGUUUCAUUUCAAGAGAGACAAAUAUACAAAUGUUUCAAUGGGAAUUAAGAAAAUGAAAAAAAAAGUAGGCACUAUAUAUAAGAGGGGGGGGGGGUUGAAUCUUUUUGUUGGUAAACGAAUUUUUCUUUGACUAAUGAAAAUAAAUAGUUUAAGGCCUCAGAAAAAAUAGAAACGAAACGUGAACCAACUAAACAUUUGCACAAAGGAGCAGUCGUAAUUAAAGGCUCACCAAUCAACUAUAUAAUCAAAUUAAUAAAACCUUACAGUUUACUUUAGUUUUUUAUUUAUUCUUAGAAACAACAGUUUGUAUUAUUUUGAGAAACAACCUUACAAUUUAUCUUCCAGCUUCAAAAAAAUAUUGUUAAUUUGCUUUAAUACAGUAGUUUAGUGCACAAACUUCUAUACAAAUACGUUAAGCACAAUCCACUAUUCCCUUUGUUUCCGAAAGAAAGAUUUUCUAGAGUAUUCACGCAUAUUAAGAAAACAAUUAAGUUUUUACAAUUAAACUUAUUAUUUAUUUUACUAUACAUUUUUCAAUAAAUAUCAACCAAUAGUAUUCAACCAAUUCAAAAUUUUCAAUUAAUGUUUCUUAAAAGUAUACAACUUUUCAACAUUUACUACUAAAAGUACUUUAAAAUUUUAGAAAAUCUAUCAUUUUGGAACAAAAAAUAAAUCUAGAAAAUCCUACUUUCAGGAACAGAGGGAGUAAAAGAUAUUGAUACCCUGCCAAAAUAAUCCAAUUAAUGCAAGGCUUCAAUCCCAUAAUCCGUUAAUGUAAGGCUUUAAAGCCACAAGAAUACAUGUACAUCUCAAACAUUCAACCAAAAAAGAUUGAUAAAGACGAUUUCCACAUUCAUUGUUUAUACCCCACUUAGCCGCGGAUACAUUCAUAGAACCGAAGAUCCGAACCAAUAAGAUUUAGUGCAGAUUUAAAUCGUAUCAAUUAUACUAGUGGAUCUUAUAUUCCAAAUACACUAAGGUGUAUCUCACAUCCUAGUGUGUGGGUGAAUCUUUGUCAUUCGUGGUGGUGCAGAAGACUUAUCUGUGCAGGUUCGGAAGCGUCACCAAAUUGGUUGUAGUGGCGAGUUCAAGCCGCUCUUUUGGUGGUUGCGGGAUUGCCAACUUGCGUUCAUGAUCGGAUAUUUGUGUGCUCAGUUUCUGUUUGUCUGUGGCCGGUUGGCGAGGCGGUAUAGCUUGCAGUGGCUCAUCCUUAGGUAUUGUUUCUUGUAACUCUUCCCUCAAUUUCUCGUCCUGUGCUUCAUCGCCAAUGGAGAUUAUAGGCCUUGACAAGCUCUCCGAGACCAGCUAUUUCAGGUGUUGAACAUGGAAGACCGACAUCCGAGGAAACAAGGUUAAACCCACCGUUUCCAGAAUCUGCGACAUUGAUUGAGAAUAAAAACUGAAUCAUUUGGAGAUUUUAGAAUAGUCCAGCGGAAUGUGUCUGUUUAGGUGGUUGAUGCGAAGUCAGUGCUAUAAUAUUUGAACUAGAUAAGCUUUGGUUGAAAUCAGAUUGUAAUCGAAAUUGUACUCCCGUUUUUGGGUUUUAUAUAAUAUUUCUAUAUUAGUAAAAAAUUGGUAUUAUAGAAAUAUAUCUUAGUGUUUAUCUCUAGUUAUUUAAGCUAUUACGUGGAAAAUAACAUUUUAAAACAAUGUUAAAAUAGUUGAAACAAAAAAUGCAUUUUUUACCAUGUAUAUUUUUUGUGCUGAAAUUUGAAUUUAAAAGAAUAAUCUACUUCUUGGUAAAAAAAUAAGAAUAAUCUACUUGAGAAAAAAUAUGAACUGUCGUGUAGUAAACCAUGCCUCCAUCGUAUGAUGUCCGCUAUUUACCCGGGACUGAUGAAUAACGAUUUUUUUUUGUCAACUAGAGGACCAUGCCACUUAUGAGUGUACAUGUAUUUUCUUGCAUUUUAAUUUGAAAUCCCUUUUUCAAAAAAAAAAAACUAGAGGACCAUGCCUCCAAGCCUCUCAUCGGUGUAGCAAACCAUGCCUCCAAGCCUCUCAUCGCUGCUACUGCACCAGACAUUUCUGAUGCUGAACGAUAAGGACCCGUUUAUCUAUCAAUUUGAACUUGGAAAAUAGCAUCCCUUUCUGAAAAAAAAAUUAUAUAUCACAUGCCAACAAAAGGGAAUGUAGGUCUUGUUCAAAGAAUGAAUGAUAACACAACAAGCAGUCUUUCUCUCUCCUUUCGCUCUGUCUUCUCUCUAGAUCUGUCACAGAGGAAGGAUUGAAAGGAGACUUCUACCGGAGUUUCCAACUCAUUUCCGGUUAGUAAGCGCGAUUCUAGGAAGCGGUGUGUCUCUUUAUACCGCUAUCGCCAGCUUCUGUUUCCGGGAAACGGUGGCUCUGAUAGCACCGAUUCCGCCAGCUUUCGUCUCCGGGAAAGCGGUGGCUCUGAUAGCACCGUUCUUUCGCCGGCUCUUCUCCGGUUUGUUCCGGUGAUAAGUUCUCGAUCUACGCUUUUGCUCUUCCCCUGUCCAAUCGACUCUCGAUCUGAAAAUCUGUAUGAUUUUUCGGAUCGAUCGAAGAUGAUUGUUGUUGUUUUUUAAAGCAUGGAUCGAUGGUGUUUGUGUUCUAUAGGUCUUCAUCGGUUUUGGGCUCCAUGGUUGAGUCGAGUCGCGCUUUUGCUCUGAUCCCGGCAGAAGCUGUUGUAUUCUUCCGGUGGUGGUCCGAUUAUUGCGGCGGCGGAGUAUGCAUGCCGAUGAAGAGCUUUGUGACGUGGUCAAGACGUGGCGGCCUGGUGACGCGUGUCCCUCGCAGGGAGGAUUUCGACACGUGUACUCUUCACGCAACUCGCGGGGAGAAAGAGGCGCCUUUGUGGGUUAGAUCGUUUGGGCUUAGGGCCCAAUAAGUUUUACGGUUUCGGUAGCCCUACUGUGUUUGGGCCUCAUAGUUGUACUCCUGUUUACGUUUUUGGGCUUGGUCUUCUGGCUUUGUCUUUAAUAAACUUUAGAUGGAAAAAAAAAAAAAAGGUCUUGUUCAAAGAUCACGAAUGUAACGUAUAUAUAUGUAUCAUUUUUUUGUCGGCAUAUUAUUAUACGUUUUGUGUUAAAGACUGGGGUCAAGCCAGAAGUGUUUUAGUGUCAAAAUAAUGCAAAAGAUAUAGUAAAAUUGUUUAAAUGACUUUUGAAAAAGGCAGUAGUACAUCUGUACAUGUGUACAGCUCCUGUAUAACACAAAGGACACGCGUUGUAGGCUUAACGCUACAUUUGCUACUAGGUACACUGCGAAACAAUAUCAGUAAAUAUAUUUAUUUUUUGUUUAAAAGGGAUCAGUAAUACUAAAUAUAUUUAUCAAGAGUGAAUUACUUUGUGAUUAUUUCAUAAGUAGUAUUAUUUAAACUAUUAGUACCAAGACCUAUCGCCAUAAACGUUUUCAGAGUAACUGUAUGAUUUUUCUUUCUUUUCUUUUGGUAAAAAAUGUAUGAUUCUUUUUGAUCGACCUACAACUAUUUCAGAUUUACCGUUCACCUAGUAUUAACUCUUAAUAACCUUUAACGUAAUUAAAUACCUCGGUAGAGGCUUCUUGAUAAAGAAAACGAUAAAACUGAUAUAACAUUACAUGAACUGAAAACACUUGCGUUACAAAAAAAAAACAAAACACACAAACAGAGACUUAUUCGAAAACAUAUUACACACACAUGUACGGUACGACAUGGUGUUGUACGGAAUAUUAGAUAGAAAGGAACAACACCAGACGAUGGAUAUGGUAGAUUUGAGUUAUGAGAAUCGAUCGAUAGAUCAGCAAUGUCUGGUGCAGUAGCAACGACGACGGAAACCACGGCAUUUACCUCCGCCAAAACCUUCGUUGUGACACACGUUUCCGCAGUUUGUUGAGCUCACACAUGUACCCUUGAACCUAUGGCUCUUCGACUCACACGUGCGUGCCUCCACUGUGACUGGACCCAUCCCUACACACAGUUUAGACCAUAGCUUAGUUUCAUCUUCUCAUGCAUGGUGCGUUAUUCAUCUUAAGAGUUAACGGAAGAACGAGUCUUUUUGCUAAACAUAUACAACCAAAGCCCACAGGCCACAGCCAGUUAUAGUCAGAAUUGAAGGGGAGAAUGAGAAGCCACGAAAAACCAACUUUCUCUACGAAGAUUCGCAAGAGCAGUCGCUAGAAACAUAUAGAUCCGUAAAAAUGACAAUGAUAUACUAUUAUGUAGAUUCAUAUAUUUUCAUGCAUAUGUGCAUAGUUAGAUAUAAAGACUGGUUAGGAGAGUAAUGAACCUGUGGCAACGAAUAUCAUGAACAAGAGGAGAACAGCUGAGAUCAAACGCAUAGAGAGCUUCAUUUUGAGAGAGAGAAAGAAACUUUCAGGGAGAGAGAGAGUCGGAAGGAAACAAGUGUUAGGUGUGUAGGGAGCUAACGAGGAAGAUGGCACUAUAUAAAGAGACUCAAGUGACAAGUGGUAUAAGAACGAUCGAGAUUAUUGAUUAUUUUAUUACAUAAUUGAGUAUUUUAAUAUUUAAUAGAUUUUUGAAAUUUAAAUCUUUUUGAACCAUGAUGAAAAGUUUUGAUAUUCGCUAUCGAUUAUUGCAAGUGUGGCGUGGCGACGAUUUGCUUUACCGACACUGUAAAUUGAUCCUUAUUGGAAGUGACACGACAAGCAGAGAGAUCGUAUAGCUUCGACAAGUCAUUCUCGAAAUUUAUAAAACAAACUUUCUUUUUCAGAAUUUUAGAAACGUUAAAGCGUAUAGACAAGUAAAAUAAUUGAUUUGUCAGAUACUGUGGAGUCCACACAAUGCGAUAGUGGCCACGUGAAAAUGUAAGUAAACCAAGUGACGUUGUAUUUAUUGUAUUUAUCGCACCGGAAAAAGGGUUCGUAUAAAACGUGAAAUUUGAUAUUUUCCCUACUCUGUUUAGCAAAAAACCCAUUUACAGGAAAAAGGAAAAACCAACCCAUUUACAGGAUUUAAGCAAAUUAGUUUAUUCAUGCUACUUCGAUCCGGAUAUUUAUAAUUUUAUUUUAAUAUGCAAUAUCUAUGAAAUGAAAUAAAUUGUAAAUAAUUAUUAUUUUAGAACAAAUAUCCAUUUCGAUCUUUUAUAUACAUAUAUAUAAUAUUUAAAUAAUUAUAUACCACAAGAUAUCUUCCAGGAAAAAGAUAAUGUUAAACUUUGAUAAUAUAGAUAUGGCCAUUGUGGAAGUUACCAAUUUAUCCCAACAGUUGGUUCGUUGGUAUUUUACUGAUGGCUCUGGAAAAAAAUUAUUCGAGAUAUGGCUGGUAUAGUAUUUCGGUGGGAUUUGACGGAUUUAUGGGGGCAAAAAAUGCAUGUCAAAGUUUCAUUUGGCUAUGAAAAUCAUAAAUAACUUACAACAUCUCUAUGUAAUUUUUGCAACAGACUGUUCUUACAUGAUAAAGAGGUUUCGGAACCAGAAAAAUUAUAUGCAUUGCAAUUUACUUGGAAGAUAUACGCAUAUUGGAGAGAAGUUUUAGUCACUCGGAGCUUCUCUAUCUACAAGAAUACAUAAUAAACGGAUAGACAACUUGGUACGCAAUGUUUGAAAGCAAUUGCCCUAUGUCAUUUACAUUGAAUCAGAAGUAAUAGUUCAUAAAAUCUUAAUUGAGUUUGUUAAGUUGAUGUCAAACAAGAAAAUAUUCAUAUAAUACAAAUUCACUUGAUAUGUAACACCAUAAAACUAAAAGUAAAAGUAGAGAUGAAAUUCAUUUAGAAGAAAAAAAGGCAACAAAAUGUUUUGUGUAUAUUUAUAUAAAAUUUAUGUAUCAUUAUUAAUUUAUAAUUUUACUAAGAUUAUAUAUUUAUCUAAUUUUUUAAAUAUUAUAGAGUUUUUACUAUAUGUAGUAGUUAUGUGAACUCUAAUUCGGGAUUACUUUACUUAUACACAAAAUAUGUAGAAAUAUUUCCCAAAAAAAAUAUAGAAAUUUAUAAAUGUAGAAAUAAAAGAAAUGCAUUUGUUAACCAAAAAAAGAAUGAAAUGCAUUUAGCUAAAUUUAAAGAUGGUAAUGCACUGUUUUUCAUAUGGGAAGUGGCAGACAAAAAGUGAAAAUUUAUAAAUUAAAAAAGUGGCAGGCAAAAAGUACUUAAGUUAUCGGUCCUCUUUAUGUUUUUCACUGUAAAAUUCCAACAUUUGUGAGUAACAUGAAAAGUGAAAAAUCAAAUAACGCAUCAAGAGUACUUCAAAGUUGUACUUAGUUCGCUCAAACAAAGAAUCACACUGAAUGGUGGUGGCUUCUCAGCUUUUUACAAAGAAUUCAAUCCUCUCGAGUAUGCUGCUCUUGCAGCACCGUGAUACUGAAGUAUAGUAAACAAUGUACACCAUUUUCUAAGUUUUCUCUCUCAAUUUUCCAGGACAGAGGCAUGGCAUACAACCAAAUGAGGACUAGGGUUGUUGUUCAAGUGAUUUUGCCUGAUAAUAAGAGCAACACCAGUCUCUGUUAUAAGAUAAGAUACAAAGACCACUUGUAAAUGUAAACCCACAACACAAGUGCACAUGAAUGGUCUUUCUAAGACCCAUCUAAUCGGCUAGAAUGGCUACAAGAAGUUGAAAAGGUCGGUUACAAAAUAUUAUAUAUAUAUAUAUAUAUCAAAUAAAAAUCUAUCUAUCUUAUUAUAGUGGAAGUACCAUUUACAUAUGUUUGGAAACAUGGAUAAGGAUAGUAAUAUAAAAAAAAAUAAAAAGUUGUUUGAAAAUACUGAUAGCAAUGUAUUAAUUUAAAAUUUUAUAAUUAACUUCCUAAAUCUACAUACUAUACGAAUGAGUCUAUAUAAAAAAUCAAACAUACACGAAUGGGCAUGUACUUUUGUAAUAUCUUUAGACAUGUUUUUGUGUUGGUCAAAUGCUAAUCAAACAAGAAAUAUGACAUACAUAUAAAAUGUAAACGUGAGAUUAGAGAUCAAACCAAGUCAUACACACCCAAAACCAUAACUGGUCAUAAGAAUGCAAUUUCAUACAAACCCAAAACCAUAUAAAUUCACUAGAGUUAUGUAUAAACCACAUAUAGAUGUUUAAAAAAACAGAUAUACAAUACUAGCAGAAUUACCCAACAUACAAAUCUUAAUUUUUUAUGGACUAUCAAACCGGUCAUUGUUAUAUUGAUUAUUCAACUGAUCAAAUAAUUUUAAAUGCCAUUGAUUUUACCGUUCACCUUAAAAUUCUUACUACAAUGUUUAUGGCUCACAACAUUUUACGAACGUCCCUAUUACAUGACACAAUGAUGAAAUACAUAGUUUAAACAAUAAACAAAAGUAGUUAAGAUGAAAUCGUUAAAUUUUUCGUUUUCUAAAGUUUGUAUAUAUUGUAAAACAUGCACCCGUGCGAAGAUCUAGUCAUUCCUUACAUAUCAUAACUAGUAGAAUAUAUAUACCUCUUUCAAAUCACUUCUUACACAAGAUAAAAAUAAAAACCAAAUUAACUGGUACAACUUGUGUGUAGGCUGAAAAUCAGAAUCCUACACUUUCUAGGCUUCAUCAAUAUCAGUAUGUGAUCAUCACAAAAUCAACCACAAAAGCAAUUGACUUUAGUUAGCAAGACUUACAUUUAAACCAAUCAAAAUCAACUAUUGCAUCUAAUAGAAUCCCAUUUUCCCAAAUCAAGCAGAGGAGUUCAGAAAAGUUGUAUGCAUUACCUUCAAAACCCAGUAAAAAGAAGUUUCAUUUCAUCAAAUUCGAGCAAACCCUCCUUGGGAGAUAAAAGAUUGAGAAGAGUAAUAAUACUUGUAUGAUAAUCAUCACAGUAUAAGUUUCCACUUCAUAGUACCUAUCAACAAGUAGUAACCCUAUAAGAGCUACCAGGAGCGAAUCUAGAUAUUUUUGUGUGUGGGUGCAUAACUUCAAAAUAAAAAUACAAGCAUAAUGAGAAUCAAAUUUGACUUUUUGUGGGUGCACGUAUGAAUAUUUUACCAUUAUAUCUGCAGAAAUGUUAAGAUUUCACAUACAAAAUCAUAAAAAUAUUUAUUACAGAGAAUGCACAUGUCCCCAUAAUCUACACUGUGGCUUCGCCCCUGAGAACUACCAUAAAGAUCCUAAUGAAGGUCAGCUGAGAUUUUGCACACUCGUGCAGUGCUUCUCAACCACAUCCUCAUUUUCACUCACUUUCCUAGUCUUCAACCACAAAUCUUCCACCAACUCGUACGCCUCGCAUCAUAACUUUUGCAUCUUCCUCAUCAUUAGCAUUGGGCAUUCUGAUUUUUGGUUCGAUUAAUUCAGUUUUUCUAAAAGUAUAGAAUUCGUUUGGUUAUUUAUAAAAUUCAGUUUGAGUUUGAUUCAGUUAUUUCGAUUUUUCGGUUUAGGUAACAAAAUUGAAAACAAGCUAAUAUCCUGAGAAUAAAAGUGACGGAUUAGAGUCAUCUCCCGAGUCUAUAGCCAUUUAAAAGAAUGCUGCAACCAUUGCAUUUCAUUAUGGAUCCUGUAUGGCAAAUUCAGAAAAGAAAGGAAAAUCAUAUGAAACUGAAACCCCUAGAAAAUAACAAUAAAGUAAUUAUUUCAUUCAAUUGAAGAAGAAAGAGAGGAGAUGCGACAUUUGUUUGUUCGAAUCAUGUUUCUAUGUACUUUUCAAAUGGACUGUAACAAUUCUUUAUAUUUGUCCUAAUUUAUAUAUGAGCCAGCAUCAAUUUAUAUAAAAAGGCCCAAUAGCCUAGUCUAGGAUACGAAAAAGACUAGUCGAUGGCUCGAUGGUGGGAAAGCUUUUUCCAUUUUCAUACAAGUUUUGUUUUAAACAUAUCAGUUUCUAGAAAAUAAAACGAAGAUUUAAACAGUUGGGCUAAUCCUAAAUAAUCGGGCCUUGGCUGUAUGUUGUAUCUUUUUAUUCCUUGGCAACCAGCCCACAAAAAGAAAAAGAAAUUGAAAGAUAUUAGAUCCUCUUUUUUUUUUUAACAACAAUUCACAAUAGAGCCUUGUCGUGUUUUCUUUUUGUUCAAAAAAAGUGUGUACAAAUGUAAUAUUCGAGAAUCUUUGUAAAAAAGGCUAAAGUAUAAGUAAUCUUAAUAUUGACUGGAUAUAAUAUGCAAGCUACCUCCCCAUACAAAACUUUUCAUAUAUACCUCUACUAAAACCAUAAGUUUACAUCGUAGGAAUAAACAAAAAAGUUUACACAUCCAGUUAAUAAAUAAUAAAACUGUAGUUAUAAAGUGAAUUAGAAAUACUUGUAUAUAUUUGAAAUACAAAUAUUUGAGCCGUAGAUGAAAGAAUCUAAAACCACCAAAUGAUAGAAGCCAGAAGGGAUAUGAAACACAUUUGAAGCAAACACUUACUUCCAUUCCGAGAUGAAGACACUCCUCCAUGAACUUAAACCAUGUGUAGACAUAGCUAAAAGCCUAAAACAAAAGCAACAUAUUAAUUUUCAUACAAAAAUCUAAAAUUCUUUUGUUUAAUUUGUCCAUAUGACAUGCCCUGUUAUUGGGAUAUGUAAAGAUCCCAUAUACUAAGAUUGAGUCAUAUUUUUAUUAUGUAAACUUUCCUAUAAACUCGAAAUUGCAUUGUAUAUAUACGAUCACCUGUUCAAAAAUACAACUCCCAAGAUUGUAUGAUCGGCAAUUAAGCGUUGAUUGAAGAACCGUGGUGAUUUGCUCUAAUUUGCUACAAAAUCGGAUCUAAACAAAAACAAUUCACUUUUCUAAAUUGUUAAGUUUAAAAUCAUUGUUAGGUUUAAACAUAGUAAAAAAAGAAAGUGAAAUGCUGUGGGAAAUGAAGAUACAUCAUUCUCUUUUGGAACCUAUGACCUGGAAAACUGUUAAACACCCACAAAUCACUAGACUACGCUAUGUGUUUUAAGGUCUUUAUACAUUUUUUUUGUCAACAAGGUCUUUAUACAUUUAAUAUAUACUAUAAAAAUAGACAAAAUUAUUGGGUCCGAUUGGUAAUGGCUGUAGCUUUAAAUAUUUUGCUGUAGAAAAAAAUCUGUAGACUUUUUGCUGUGGCUUUAGAUUUUAUUGCUGUAGAAUUUUAUUGAAGCACUAAAAAAUUGCUUUGGAUAUUUGGCUCUGCAGAGCACUUGUACAGCUGUAGGAUAUUUUAAGAGCUGUAGUUUCAAAAAAGAAUUUAAAGCUUGAUUGCUCUGAAUUUGGUGCUGUGGAAAUAAAUAGAGCUGUGGACAGCACCUACAGCAACUACCAAUCACCCCCAUUAUUAUUUUUUUGACCGAAGGCAUUCUACAGACAAAAUUAGUCUCCUGAUGAUUCCGAUUAAACUCCACUUUUUACAACUGGCUAAGUUCCGAACAAUCUGAACACAUAUUUGUGUGUGUGUGUAUAUAUAUAUAUAUUAAAUUAUAAAACAUUUUUUAGAUAAAAGAAAAUUUUAGUACAACAAAACCUAAUCAGUUAAAUGAAGAGAAAACGAGGGUUUUGUCUUAAAGCCCACCAGAAAGAUACGAAUGAGAAAAAUUAGGUCCCCACACCACACCCCGCAUGUGGACACAUUUCACCAAUUUAACAGUGACACCCAAACCGUAACCAUCCAUCUUCUUAAUUGUAAAAACAGUUUUUUUUUUUUCUAAAGUUUAUUUAUUAAAAUAAACUAUGACAGAUAAGGACCUCAGCAACACAAAAAAUAAAUCAAAACUAGGUCUCGUCGCUCUGCCGCAAGAAAGAAAGAAAGAACAGCCGCAAGUUCUGUAUUUUCCGGUGACCGGCGCGUGGUGGCUUUGUUUGCACCACCGCCGGUCUAGUUAGCCUUGCCGUCUCUAUCCUUUGUAGAUCUGCUAGUUAAGUGUUGUUUUGGGAUGCGAAUCUGGGUCUGCGUUUGGUGACGAAGCGGACAGUCCGUGUCUCUUCGAGGUCUCGUCGGGACUCGGUGGUGGGGCGGGUGGAGACAGUCCGUGUGGUUGGUUGUGCGGAGGUCUCCGCUAGGCUUAAGCUUCGUUUCCUCUUCUCUCUUGUUUUCAUCUUCUCCUCUUUGUCUCUCAGCAAAUCUGGAUUACUAGGGUUUUCAUUUCGUUUUAGAUCUCUAGAUCUUGAUUUGUCGCUCUGGUUUCAAUCCAUCUCAGAUGAUGUUGUUUUGGGUUAACCUUGUCUGUGUGCUUCAGAUGGGUUUGUGCUUCAUCCUUUAUCCCAUCUGAUGUUUGUUAUUUGACAUAGAGGUUGAAUCCGAGGCAUCCUUGUUGGUUUGUAGUGUUUGUGUUCUGUCUGGUUUCAUCAACGGUAUAAGUGGUGGUGUGAUGGUGGCAGUUGUGUGUGAUGAGCAGAGCAUGCCUUUUAUUCUUCAGAAGUUGCAGGGUUCUUUUCACCUUUCCAUCUCUCAGGCAUGAAGGAGUCCUUCUCGCGGCCUUAUAAUAAGUGUGGUUUCCGGAUGUUCUCAUGAUUCUCUCGUUCUUCGGUGGCUUCGGUGAAGCAAUUUAAUGAAGUUGAGGGUGUAGGCUUUCCGAUGAAGGUUCGCUUGAGGAGGGGACUUUAGUUUCGGGUGGUUGUCUCUUCUAUAUUUGGAGUUUGUUGCAAGGCGUUUUGGCUCUAGUUUGGUACCGUGAACGGAUGGUUCAGGUUUGUUUGGUCCGGUGUUGUUGUGUUGGCCACUACUCCGCUUACUCUCUCUUGUGCUUGGUUGGUUCUUGGCAAGAGUGCCGGCUGUUUCUAUGACUGGACGACUUAUUUCUAUUAGCCUCUUCAAAGUUUGUCUUCGGUUUUGGUUAUAAGAGUGCAGUCUCAUCUUGUGUCUGCCCUAGUUGUUGUAUGUGUUGCCUUUUGUUUGGGUUUGAGAAUCCCGUUUGUGGGCUAUGUUUCCGGGGAUAGUAAUGUGUUUCCGCCGGCUUUUGGUUAUCAUGCUUGUAUGUUCUCAGUUUUAUCAAUCAAUCAAAUUCAGAAGGGAAAAAAAAAAAAAGGACCUCAGCAACAUACUUUUCAAAAUCAUAUAUAUGACAUUAAAAAGAAAGUAGAAAACACAAAACCGGAGAGAGAGAGAGAGAGAGAGAAAGAGGUAGGGCUUUGUGUUAUAUACCAUACAAUAUACAUAUAUAUAUAUAUAUAUAUAUAUAUUAGAAUAGUGUCUUCUUCUUCAUCAUCUUCUUUACCAUCAUCAUCAUGCAUGCAUCUUCUUCUUGGUCCUUUCUUUAGUUCCGAUUUAUAGCUUUUUGACUAUUUUUCCUUCUUCUUCUUGGUUGCUUUCUCUUGAUCUCAGGUACCUAAAAAAAUCACAACUUACAAAUCUCUCUUCACUCUUUCAAAAGCUUACAAACAAAAAUAAACAUAAACAUAAACCCUUGAUUUGUUUUUCUUUGUUCCCUUUAUGUCUUUUAGCGAAUUGUAUUUUUUAAAUUCUUCAUGUCGUCAAUCUAUAUGGACUCUUCCUGUUCUUAAUUACUCUCUUCUUAUUCUUCCCAAAAGAUAAUUUGAUUUCUUUCACAAUUUUUUAACUCUAUUGUAUGGAUUAGUUGUAGAUUAUUACGUUCUUCCACGCAAAGAGGAAGAUCUAAAGAUGUCAUCCUCAUCAUAUAAUACAAGCGUUGUUCCUUCAUCAUCCUCGACUCAGCCGUUCUUCAUCACCGGCUCCAGCGCCGGAGAUAACGCCUUUGACCGGAAAGAUACUUUUAUGUCAAUGGUUCAACAACCUAACUCCUCGGCUCCACAACCCAAGAAACGAAGAAACCAACCGGGAAACCCAAGCAAGUACCUCUUAUUGACAUACAUAUAUAUACAUCACUGAGUUUUAAUAGAUAAUUAGAAGAACUAAUAAACAGAAACCCUAAUCAUUUAUAUUCUUGUAUCAAGAUUUCAUUAUCAUAAACCUUUUAGGAAAAGAAAGAAAAAAAAUUCAUUAUAUUGCUAGCGUUAGAUCAAAUUAUAUUAUGAGUGUGUGUGUGUGAUUUGGUUUACUUCUGUUUGUAAUUGUGUGUCUUAUUGGCUUGAUGUAAUCCUCAUAUAUUAACAUCUUGAAUCCGGAUUGGUGAUUAAGCUUAAUUGAUCAAACAGAUCCUGAUGCGGAAGUGGUAGCGUUGUCUCCAACGACACUAAUGGCUACAAACAGAUUCAUAUGCGAUGUAUGCAAGAAAGGGUUUCAAAGAGAACAAAAUCUACAGCUUCACCGAAGAGGACACAAUCUUCCAUGGAAGCUCAAACAGAAGUCAACCAAAGAAGUGAAGAGGAAAGUGUAUAUUUGUCCGGAACCCACGUGCGUCCACCAUGACCCCGCACGUGCUCUCGGAGACCUCACCGGAGUCAAGAAGCAUUACUAUCGUAAACACGGAGAAAAGAAGUGGAAAUGCGACAAAUGUUCUAAGCGUUAUGCGGUUCAAUCGGAUUGGAAAGCUCACUCUAAGACUUGUGGUACUAAAGAGUAUCGAUGUGACUGUGUGGUACCAUCUUCUCUAGGUACGUAACUGAUCUCCAUCCAUUUCAUUUAAAUAAUUUGUCUGUAUAUGGGCUAAGUGAUGAAACGUAUAAUAUAUAUACGUGUGUGUAGUAUCUAGAUAUACCCUCUUAUCUAGGUAAAGGAUAUGACAGUGGACCAUCAUUUCUUUUGUAUUAUACUGAUACUAUUCUAAGUAAAAAGAUGCAUUCAACACUGCAUGAAAACUUAGCUUAUAUACUAAUUUAAAUGAAAAUAUAUACCAACUAUAUAAAAUAUCAUCUGUAACUGAAAUCUUAUAUAUUCAGCCACGUAAUUUGAACCUCGAGUACACCGUCCAUAAAAUGUUUAAAGUGACUACGUACAUAGAAUCUAUCACUGAUUCACAGUAUUUUUUUUUUGGUUAUUGUUUUCUGGGUCAACUAUUUGUUUGGUUACUGAUGAGUAGUGAAUAGAGAAAGACAGUGAAGAGAAAGUAAGAAAGUUUAAAAUAUGCUAAAUUUGGUCAGAUGUAUGAGUUGGAUCUGUUUUUCCAUUUCCCACUUUUGUUUUCUUCUUCUUCACUUUGCAGGUUCCCCUUUUUAUGAGACUCCUCUUCUUUUGUGGACCCUGUCUUAUCUCUUUCUCUCUCUAGACAUAUACAUACAUAUAUAUUUGGUAAGAGUGCGUUACUAAUUUCAAUUUCAUCACAGUGUUCUGGUGAAGACUUUAAUGCCGUUCUAGGGUUUCUUUCUUUAUUUUCAUGGUUUGUGUUAAAUACGUUGUCGUAGAAUGUCACUGACUUGUAUAACAUUCCUGGGGUUUGCAUUAAAUGAGAAGCUCUUUCAUUAAAGUAGCAAUUGACUCGAGCUAUAAAUUCUUCUAUCAUUCUUUCCUAAUGGUAGCCACAAUAACUAUAGCAUUCAUUAAGAUGAUUCACGUCAAUAUAUAUAUAUUGCAAAAUCAUAUAUAUGCCAAUAAUUUUACAUCCAUCAUUUUCUUGUUUACAUAUUUGUGUGAAUUUUUUUUGCUAAGUAUAUUUGUAUGAAUUUUGGGUAUUUAUUUUGCAGACGCGAUAGUUACAUUACACACAGGGCUUUCUGUGAUGCAUUGAUACAAGAAACCGCUAGAAACCCUACCGUGAGCUUCACGUCAAUGACAGCUGCUAGCAGUGGCGCCGGCUUCCGUGGAUUUCAUGGGAGACUCGAGGGUGGCAACGCUCUCUCCCACCACCAUUUGAGUGACCAUCCUAACUCCGGAUUUUCGUCUUUCGGGGGUUACAAUCUAAACAUUGCAUCUUCUGAAAAUAGCAGAGACUUUGCUCCGCAAACGUCAAACCCUAACUUCUUAGUACAGAGCCAAGGAAUGCUGACUCAACCGAACAACAACAACAACGAUCAGAGUUUCAUGAACCAACAAGGUCUGAUCCAGUUUGAUCCAGUCAACAACAUAAACCUCAAGAGUAGCACCACCAACAACAGCUUCUUCAAUCUCGGAUUCUUCCAAGAAAACACCAAGAACUCAGAGACGGCUAUUCCUUCUCUAUAUAGCACGGACUCUCUUGUUCAUCACCGUGAAGAAAGCUUGAACGCGGGUUCUAACGUGUCAGCCACGGCACUGCUUCAGAAAGCUACUCAGUUGGGUUCAAUCACAAGCAACGAUCCUUCUGCUUUGUUCAGAGGCUUAGCUUCUUCGUCUAACUCGUCAAGCGUGGUUGUUAAUGACUUUGGAGGAGGGCAGAUUAUGGGCAACGAUAAUAACGGUAACCUUCAAGGUCUAAUGAACUCACUAGUGGCCGUAAAUGGCGGUGGUGCCGGCGGAUCCGGUGGCAAUAUCUUCAACGUGGACUUUGGAAACAAUAAUGUAAACAUGAGCGGCUCGGACAACUUAACUUUAGAUUUUCUUGGAGUUGGAGGAAUGGUGAGAAAUGUAAAUCGCGGAGGGGCUGGUCGCGGCCGUGUUCGUGGAGACGUUUCUUUGAAUGGUGAACUAAAGUUUCCGGAGUAAAAUCAUCCGUUUGUAAGAACUUAAUAAUGCCUUAUUAUUACAGACUUUAUCAUUAGGUGAUAACUUUGCUACCGUCGUUUGUUGUUUUCGUAAUCUAUAUAGUAUAUAUUAUUAGAUCUUUCUGAACUCUUUAUGUAUGAUUUUGAUUGGACUCUGUCUUUGUUUAGUUGUUAUAUAAUAGAAAAAAGGAUGUAAAUUUCGAGGGUUAACGGAAUAGAUAGAGUUAUGGGGCAAAAUGGUGAAAGGUUAGUAGCUUCAAACGAAACUUUUAAUAUGUUAGAAUGUAAAAAACAUAUAGUAAGGCCUGGGCAUUCGGGGUCCCAAACGAGUUUCGGUUUUAUCCAAUCGGGUUUCGGUUUUUCGGGUUUAUCAAAAUCAGCCCCAUUCGGAUUAUAUGAAAGUUCGGUUCGGGACCGGUUCGGGUUCUAUCGGGUUCGGAUCGGGGUUAGUAAAUCUUCAAAGAACCGGUACAACCCAAUAUACUUUCGGGUUCGGGUCCCAAUCGGUUUUUCGGUUUAAAAGUACCUGAUUUUUUACCUAUUUUAUAACCGAAACAUGAGUAAACUUUGUUUUUCUGUUUUAAAAUACCUGAUUUGUACCUAUUUUGUAACCAAAACUUAAGUAAAAAUCGAUUCAAAAAUAAGGAACAUCAACCGUGAUCAUUCAAAAUCAAACGAAAAGUAAACAUAUUUACUGAUAAAAAGAAAACCAAAUAAAUAAAAGCAUAAAAUGAAAACCAAGUUCUCAUGAAAUGAAAAACAUUGUUUAAUGAAAACAAAAUCAAAAUCUAAAUACUUCAAGAUUCAACGGUCAUCUUCAACCAUCAACCUUCAUGUAAUAGAACCACCAACCUUCAUGUAAUAGAUAAGUAUUUUAGAUGUUCAAUAUUUCUUAGUGUAUUUUGGAUACAUAUUAGGAAUUGAGAUCAUGUUUGGUACAAGAUCUUUUCGAGGUUUUGAAUGUUUCGGGUUCUAUCGGAUAUCCAUUUAGAUUCGGGUUCGGUUCGGAUAAUACCCAUAACCCGAAAUACCACAAAACAAGAUCCAUUCGGUAUUUACGUCGGGUUCGGAUCGGUUCGGAUUCAUUUUUAUCGGAUCGGAUUCGGUUCGGGUUUUCGGGUUCGGUUUAUUUGCCCAGCCCUAUAGUAUAUCGUGGCCGAAAGUUUUCGAAUAUUCAUUCGUAUGCAUGUAUAUUUAAAUUAACAUCCUUGUUAAAUACUUAGUAAUGUUUUGAACGUGAUAGUGACUGCAAAAGUUAACUCCGCGGAUGAAACUGGUGAAGACAUCGCAUUUUUACACAUUUAAAAAGGCUAACUAUGAUGGUCGAUGGCCAAAUUUCAUAAAGGUUUGAUUGGUAGCCCAAUUUAAUACGGUUGGGAGAAUUAGUUUAGACUUCAGUUUCUUAUGUAUAUCAUUGAUCCAUGUUUCACUUUCUAAUAACAUGUUUGUGUGUCGAUAGUAAGUUCGCAUUAAAUAUUUGUUUGUUUAUGUAGACGAAGAUAUCUUCUCUUUACUUUUUUCUGGUGUGUUUUUAGAUGAAGGUGCUUCAAGAAUCUAGAGGCGUGGAUCUCCAUUCUUGUUGACUAUUUUGGUAGCUCAGUUUUUCUGUCAGCGGCUUAGUCUGCGUAUGAAGGGUGCAGCUGAAGGCGGCGGCGGCUGUUUAUGUAUAUUGAUAUAUACUUUAUUAGAAAAUAUGUGUAUAUAGUGUACAUGUUAUUAUAUCUAAAAAGUAUAAAUUUAUGUUUUUUAAACCAACAUGUAUAUCGACUGUGUAAAUUAUCGUUGCACCCCGUUUUGUUUUACAAAUCUGAUUAAAAUAAUUCAUUUAAUUAAUGCGAAAUUGAUUAUACGCAUCACUAGAGUAUAACUAUAAAUAUAAUUUGAUUCAUAAACUAGAUUCACAUCCCACGCUGCACAUGCAACUAUAGCACAUUCAAAGUAAUAAAACGCCAACCGUAUCGGAAAUAUUCCAAUAUAAAGUCCAAACAGAAGCAUCCAAUAUCUCCCUCUUAUUCAUACUAGAGGUUUUAUCCGGGCUACGCCCGGGAUUAUACAAAUAUCAUAGUAUUUAAUAUAUAUAUAUAUAUAUAUGUAUAUAUAUAUAUUGCAUAUAUACUAUAUCUAUGUUAUAAAAAUAUAAAUAGUAAAUUGAAUUAGAUAUGAAUAAAACUUACAAUCUAUUGAUUACUAUCUAAAAUAUGUAUGGAAUGAUGGUCAAAUGUGAAAUGAAUAAAGACUUCGUUAAACCUUAAUUAUUAUCCAAAAUAUACUGUUAAAUAUUUACGUUACUAUGAAAAAAAAGAAAAAAAUACUGUUAACCUCAAUUGAUUCUUUUUUUUUACUUUAAAUCACUAAGCUUAUAAUUUUUAUUUACAAUUUAGUUCAAAUUUACAGUAUUAGAAAAUAUUUAUGGUUUUUAGAAUCUAUAUGAAUUGAGGCACAUUACCUAAAACUUGUAUUACCUCCACAAUUAUUGGCGAACUGUUGACCGUAAUCUAAGAGGAGGUAGUUUGGUUCAGUGUUAGGGUCUUGUUUAAAAACAUUAUCUAGAACUUGUAUCACCUCCAUAACUAUGAUCUUUUUGAACCCAGUGUGAUUGUAAACAACUAAACAUAAGCAUAGUAAUUAAUCACAAUUUUUUGCUAUGCUUAUCUGAGGACUCUAUUGUUUUUUACUUAAUUAGACCACAUGCUAACUGUAUUCAUAAUGUUUUAUCACGUAUAUAGACAAAAGUAAAAGUCAAAGAUUUUCUUGAAAGAAUAAGAAAAUGAAUUGUCUUUAAUUUAUCUGAUUUACCUAUUUUCUUCGAGACAAAUAAUUUUCUUUUAUUUCAGAGAGAACGAAAGGACAUGUUCAUUAGUAAACAUCUUAUAAAAUAUCUCAAUAAUAAUAAUAAAUCAAAAUAUCUGAAUUAAAAAAACAAACAAAAUGAAAUUGAGAAGAAAAUGACGAAAGAAUGAAAGAAUUUCUACUCUAUUGAUAAAAAACAACUCAUUUAAUAUUUGUCAAAUGUUGUUAGUAAAAUUUAAAAAAUAUUAAAAUUUAUUAUUGAGAAAUUCUGGAGAGUUUCUUAUUACUGAUUGAUUGUCUUAUGCUUUCAUACUCCAUACUUUUUUUGUGAUUGUCAUAUGGGAUAUAAACAACAGUUGUUAUAAUCAUUCAUAAAUUUAGUUCCCUGUAAUUGAUUUUUGUUAGCUACCGAAAGUUGGAAAAUAACAGUUGUUAUAAUCAUUCAUAAGUAUUCAUCAAUACUACCAAUAGUAAUAUAAAAAGUAACAGAAAAACAUAUAAUAAUUUAUAGAGUAUGUUUCAUAAUAUUUAGUUUAGUCUCAGUGAAAAGUGAUAUUAAUAUACAUACACUAUUUUUGUUAUUCUUCUUAUAAAUCUAAGAAAUCAUAUAUUAUGAUGUUAAGAUCAUGUCCGGAUGUGCCACAUGGAAGCCAUAUUUGCCGGAAGCUGAACUCGUUCUGCAGCUAUAUCUUUGGCUUCCAGCAGUGUUUUGAACCGGAUCCGCUGUUGAACCGGUAAAUCCGGCGAUCCAGAAAAAAAUCUGGUUUGGAUUUUGUGAAAAACUCAAUAUUUAGAAAUCCGCAAAAACCCACUAAAACCCGAAACCCGAUAUCGGUUUGACCGCCGGUUGAAUCAAUAAAUAACUUUUACUUUAUUUUUUUAGUUUUUAAUUAUGUAUUUAGAUUAUGUUUUAUAUUCUAAGUUUCCAAUUAAGAAGUUAGGUUUUUCCUUUUCAGUUUUAUAUUUGUGGUUUUUAGAUUUUGAUGAAAAUUUCACAAUACCACCUAAAGAAAAUAACGUGAACGAUAGUAAAAAGAACCAAAAUUAGUUGAUUUGAUUUGGUGUUUGUUUAUUUCCGUUAUUGACAAUUUAUUACAAUGAUCUUUUAUUUUUGAUUUAUUUUUUAUUUGAAGUUUAAUUUAUUAUUUACCUUGUUAGAGAAAAUUUUAAAUUGUAUAAAGUAUUUUUUGAUAUUUUGUAUGUCAAAUGAAAAUAAAAAUAUAAAAACUAAAGUUAAUUAUUUUCUAAAGGUUCCAAACUAUUAUUUUAUGUUUAAAAAAACAUUUAGAAAAUAUUAAACUUUAGUUUCUAUAUUUAUAGCCUCUUUAGUUCCAUAGUACUCCUUUCAUAUUAAGUAUGGCAUGCUGCAGUUCAAGAAACCAAAAAAACACAACUCAUAUAAAGAAACCAACAAAAUAAAAAGAACUUUCACUCACCUGGUGAUCACUUUGGUUGAUGAGGUCAGGUUCUGCAGAUUUAGGAAACUGGACAGUUUGUAUGCAUCUUCUUGACAUAUCACUCGGGUAUCCAACCUCCAACUUUUUCGUGAAUUAUGUAUAUAACGUUAACUAUUUGCUAUAGUGGCCUAUGAGUUAUAUUAAAUAACUUAGUUCGUCUAGUUAUAGUAUGAUUGCUUUUUCGUUCUUUUACCACUUUCUAAGCCACGUAUAAGAGAAAGUCAUAGAGAUUAUACAACAACCAUAAUCUAAGAAGCUAUGUAUCAAACUAAAAUCUGGGGAAAAAAAUAAUAAUAUAAGUUCCAAUAACAUAUUGAGAACUUGAUUGUCAUUAAAACAAAAGCGGUUCCUCAAGUUCUUCUUCCGAGACAUCUCAUUUUCUUUCAUUGUUGUGCAACUGAUACUUUAAGUGAUCAUUGCAAAUUUGCAAUGACAACUGCCCGUUAUCAAGAUUGUUUCUACAAACCCUAGGUGGAACUUAGGUUCCAAUCAAAACGCAUGAUAUCAAAUGUGUAUAGCUCAUUCACAAACAAACCCUAGGUGGGAUAUACUACCAGUUUGCUAUUGAAGCAAAAAGUUCUUGUAGCAAAUUUGGUUGAAGAUGUAAAUAUAGCGCAAGAGGUACUUGUCUUUGCUGCAUAGUGUUAGAGGAACGUAUAUAGUCUCCGUUUAGAGGGCUAUUUUAUAUUCAACGUAGUAAACCGGCCAAAUUUUAUAUAAUAGAAUCAUAGGGAAAGCUUUACGUAUUCAGAAUGGUUGUAAAAAGUGAACAAAGAUGGUGGAAAUCAGUUAAAUUAUUCUAAUCAAAGAUGCAUUUCUCUAUUACAAAACAUCCACUUCAAGCACAAUGUGCUCAACUCGAAUUGGCUCUAACAAAGAGAGAGAUAAACUUAUUUCCUUACUUUCUCAAUGAAUAAUCAAGCAAAAACGUGUUGUCUAUGUUACAUAAAAUCAAUAAUAGAUGAAUUAAUACGUAUAGUUAAAAAUGUCGAUUGUGCCAAAUCCACCAGUUGAAAACGCGUUACAUAGAAUACGAAUGAACUCUGACGUGGUCCAUCUACCAGUUCAACAUACUGUGCUCUGCCAACUACCACUGCAAUGACAAACAGUCCAUCUUAAUAUCUACGCGUUUGUUUCUAUUAUGCAUGUCUGAAUGCAAAGAUAAAAUAUAUUACAUUGUAAGAAAAAGUAAAAGAAGAAUCCAAGUUGUAGCUUGAACGGAUUUGCUACGCAUUUGACACUCAGACAGAUUUAGUUGUCACUGUAUAGCUCAUACCAACCGUGAAGCUGCUUUUUGUAGCACACGUGUUCAAAAUGUCCCUAGUCAAAUGCUUCGUAUCGUCCUGAAUAAGUCCGAGCACACGCGUUUGUUCCUGAAAAUAUCAACAACCAUAUGACAUAUUGAAGGUAUAUAAAAUGGCUAUUUCAAAUCAAAUGUUUGCUUGCAGAGUUAACUUAGAGUUACCUUUCGUCUCACUGAGCAAAAUUUACAGUCGGAUUCAGAAUGAGGGAGAAGCUGAUUAACAAUAAACCUGUGAACUGGCACAUUUUCUUUUCUUAAAAUGCAUGUAAUCCCGAAGACUCAGUUUAUUGCCAUGACCUAAAAGGAAAGGUAAUAGCCAAGUAAAUAUGCCAGAAGGAGAGACCGACUUCUAUUCAAAUUUAUCCUUAAUGGGGUAGAAGAAUAAAGCUACGCGUCUCAGUAACCACAUGUAAACUAAUGAUCUUAUGAACAGGUAAGAGAAUGGUGCUAUGGUUACAAUGACAAACUCAGUAGUGUCCACUUCACGGAAAACAUUUAGAACUUUCUCCAUUCUCUCUUUCAGUUGGUCCAACUCGUUGGACUGUUUCAAAAGAAAAAGAAUCUUUAGAAGAAUUAAAAAAAAAGAAUUGAUUCAAAAGAAAAUGUCUAUACUUACAGGUCCUUGUUGUUGUAUCUCCUUUUUUCCAAAGACAGACGUAAAGGCUAAAGCUGCUGCAGUGAUCUUCUUCUUGAGCUGAAUAUCAAAUACAGCUAAGCUAAGCUAAGCUAAACAUAACAAAAGGAUUAAAAAAACUGAAUGCUCAAACCUUUGUUAUUUUGCCAAUUGAAGAAUCAUAGAAAUUGGACAGAGAAAGAAGCCGCAAAAUAUGUCCCUGCAAGAACACUAUUCAAAAAUUAUAAAAGAAUCCACCAAGUGGAAACUCCAGACUUAGAAUAUAUAUAUAUACUAACCGUGGGAGCAGUAUCGAGGACUAUAUGUGUAAACCUAUUGUAUUCUGGUGACUCCAUAAAUUGAAGAACCUGUCAAGACUCAAGAGAUCUCAACAUUAGUUAUAAAAAAAUAAAGUUCAUCUUCAAGGGAUCUCAACAUACGUGCCUUGGAUAUAACUGAUAUUUCGUCAAAUACCAGGUGAUGCAGCAUUGAGCAUAUCUUCAAGAUUCAAGCUCCCUAACUACAAAAAAAAUGGACAACGCAUCUCCAUGACAUUUACAAAGUUUUCCCAAACCAACAAAAGUAGAAAAGAAAAGAGAUCUGAUUUCAUCCUUUCAUUCACUGUACCAGUCAAUAGCUUGCCCGAUAAUCAGAAACGGCAUCGAGCACUUUGACAAACGAAAUCCAAGGUGUAAGAUUUAUUAUUUGAAACAGAACAUAAUUCACAGAGAAAGACAUAAAAAAUACAUGUAGAUAUUUCAGAUAAUAGCAUCCAAAUAGAAAUCAACGACACAAAGCCCUAUCAAUCAGAGUUAUGGAAGUGAAAGUUUUAUGAGAUUCCCAACAUAUAAAUCAUCAAUAAAUAAGUUUUCUUUGCUAUUUUUACAGAUCCAGAGAAUGAUUUCAAGGGUAGGAAACUAACCUUUUUAUAGGUUUAAAAACACCGACUUGGAGAAGAGAAAGAUACAUUUAAUGUCAGAUUGUGGUUGAUGGAGUUAAGAAGGCAAUAAGAGGAGACGAAUCUGUAACUCGAAACGUUUCGAUGAUUGACUAUACCGGAAGAUUAAACGUCGCGAUUAAAGACCUAGAAAGAGAUCCCACACGUCUAUUCUAGCAUCUCAAUCUUUGGAGACUUCAUUAUUGGUGUCAGCGAAGGUAUAUGAAGGUCGUCAUUGUCAGAGUUUGUAGAGGAGGAUGAACCCUAAAACAUGUUUGCAACUGAUGAAGACGAUCAGUUUUGUCGCUAUUGGGCUGGAAUGAAGUAAAAGAUAAAGCCCAAAAAGGAAGUCUAUAGAACGGUAAAUAAAAAACUGCGUUUUGUUAAUAAAGCCGUGCUGACGUGUCCGAAUGCAGGCUUCCUAUUGGACGAUUUUUUUUAUCCUACGUGGAUGGCCUAACUGAGGCUCAUAUAUCCCUUUUAGUAUUAGUUAGAUCUUGUCGUAAUGUAUAUUCAUGCUAUAUAAUAUUAAUAACUAACGAAUUCUAUUCUAAUGUUUUAUAUUAUUUUAUCUGUCCGGUUGGUUGCUUACUUGGUCAUGACCAGUGUUCAAGAAAGUCUUAUGCGCUAAGCAGGCGACUAUUCAAUUAUUAUUCAGUGCCUAGCUCCUAAAACAUUUAAUCAGAUGCAGAUUAUUAGUUAGAUAAUUUAGGUUUGUAAAUUAUAAUAAAAUAUUAAAUAUAUUAUAUUAAAUAUCUAAUUUACAAAUUAUAAAUUUAUAGUAUUUACUUUUAUAAAUUUUAUACUAUAAUAUAUUACCUAUAAGAUUAUAAUAAUAAAAUAUAUAAUCUAUAAUAAUUUAUAAUAUUAUAAUAAUAAAAUAUAUAAUUUCGUAUUAAAUUACAUUUUAGAAUUAAAUGAUUUUAUUAUUUUGUGGAAAUAUAUUUAGAAAAAAAGUUUAAUAAUAUUAGGGUUUGACUAGUGUAAAUGUCGCGUUUGCGGGUGCGGCAGUGCAUGUUUGCGGAUACAUAGGGUUGCAUUUUAAGCUUUAUCAAACGAUUUAUACGACUGAUACAUCAACUGAAAAUUAAUGCGUUUGUGGGAUACUUGUGACUGGUUUGAUUAUCAAACACAUCAACGGCUUAAUAAUAAAUUAACACCACUAACAUUUUAUAUAAUUAAAUAAUAUUAAAAUCAUAUUAUUAUAAUAAAUAUAAAUAUAUUUAUAAAUCAUAGUAUUGAAUUUUUAAAAAGAUUUUUUUUGGGUUUAUAUAAGUAUAUAUAUAUAUAUAUAUAUGAAUGACUAAAAAAUUACAUCAAAUAUUUUUGUUUUAAAUUUGUAUAACAUAAUUAAAAUAUAAUGUAUAUUAUGAGUAUUUAUAUUAUUUCAAUUUGAAAAUUUUUAUUAAAUACUUUUAUUUGUAUAUUUAUAUUUUUUUUAAGAAAUAUUUUUCUUCAUUUUCUACAACCAUUUGUAACUAGACGUUAGCUAGAAUUAGCUUUUUAUUUCGAAAGGUUUAGAACAGUGAAAAAUAGUUUAUAGAUUUCUUAUAAUUGUUGUAAAAUGCUAAGAGCCGCUAUCACCCACAAACGUAUUAUAUGUAUGCUCUAAUUUAAACGAUAAUAUAUCAACUUUUGGUUCUCAGUAAAAUAUAUAUUAUCCGCUUUUAGUAAAAUAUAUUAUGAUUGGUUAAGUAUUUUAGUUUUAUAGAAUAAUGGUUACAAUCUUUUUUUUUUUAAGUAUAAUAUGUGACAAAUUUGACCUAAAACCUAGCUACGUGGAAAAGGCUAUAACCUCAUGGGUAAUAAAAAAGUCGGCUUGGGGCCUUCAUAUUCUGAGGACCAGUCUUCUCUGUACGCUUUAAUUUUACCAACAAAAAUUAAGUUUCACAUGUAUAAUUUGUUUAAAGAUUAUAUAGCUAAUUAGGUUGCAGGAUAGAACAAAUAAAAAACAAUAUAAUGAUAUUGCCUAUCAAUAAAAUGAACAAAAUUAAUUUGGCGGAUACUUAUUUUAAAUCUGUCAUAACUCUCAUAUUAGACAUUAGUAUCUUAUAUUUUUAAUCUAUUAUGAAGAAAAUUUUCUAAUAUAUAAUACAUUUUCUGUUUGUACAUUUAAAUACAGUAUAACAUCUUUAAAUUAAUAUUCUAUAAAUUAAUACUCUAUAAAUUAAUAUACACUAAAAAUCUCUAUAAAACAAUAUAAUUUUAUAGUCACAAAUUGAUUUUUUGGUUCAGUUAGUAUAUCGAUAAAUUAAUAUCUCUAUAAAUUAAUAAAAAAUUAUAGUUUUAUUGUAGUUCUAAUAUUAUUAAUUUAUAGAGGUUUCACUAUAAAUGCGCCUGGACUAAAAAAUCCUAAAAUGUCUAUGGUAACUGGAUAUCUUCAAUAAAAUUCAGAUUAUAUUACAAUAUAUUCAACCAAUUGAAACUCGGUAAGAGAAUAAAAAUCGAUCCCACAAAGAUUUUAAAUAGUAACCAAAUGAAUAAAGAUGAACAUUGUUUUCUUAACUUUCAUAAGAAAUAAUACUAUCAUCUAUAAGAACUAUUUUUUUUCCUUCACACUCUUUUGUAUUCUUUGUUUAGAGUAUUACAUUGCAAUUUUUCACUUAAGGUCUUUAACCGACAAUCAUAACAAGAAUACUAUGAAAAAAUAGGGAAAAAAGUAGGAAAUAACGGAUAAGAAUAAAUUAGUAAAAAUGCAAAAAUGAUGGUUUCUUCUUAAAUUUAAUGUAGAACAAAUUUUCUCUUAAUACCUUAUAAAUGAAUGAAAAAAAUGAAAAAAGUAUUCCUCAUAAAUAGUGUUAUUUAUUAGAAACGUUAAAAAAUUAGGAUUUGAAUAGAGAAGGGACGAACCACAUGGUUCAGACAAAAAAAAAAUAGACUAUCCACUUUCACAUGGCCAUUCACCCAAAACACUGAUACACUAAAAUUACAUAGCAUAAAUAUUUAAUAAUGAACUGUACAAUAUUUAGCCGUACAGAUUUGUGAAGAAAACAUAUAAACAGUAAGUGAUUUUUGAAGUUUGUCAUUUUUGUAGUGGUUUAAGUAUUUUUCUACGUAUCAGUUAUGUAUGAUUACUGAAAAAUAUAGUACUUAUUUAUUAUAAAUUAACUGUAUGGUUAUCUUUUUUUCUUUUUAAUGAUGUGAUAUUUUCUUAAUUAUAUCACAAAUUUUUUUAUCACCAUUGUGUUAUUUCUUCAGAAAUGUUAAACUAUUUUACCAAAAAUAUAAUUUUAAGGCAUCUAAAAUUAUAUAUAUAUAUAUAUAUAUAUAUUCAAUUCAAAAUCUCAAAAUAAUUAUAUAUAUGCUUAAAUUAAUUUUCUAUGAUACUUUGGAUAAAAAUUAUAUUUAUCCCAUUUAUAAAGUAUUUUUAAAUAACUAUUUUUAGUCGUGAAAAUAAAUAGAAAAUAUGUUUCCGCUAAAUCCAUUUGAUCCAAAUUUGUACCGUUUGAUCCAUUAGAUUCACUCUUUUGCCACUCGGUCCGUUUAAUCCGCUAGAUUCGCAACGCUUGAUCCACUUUUUCAUUCGGAGCCUUAGUUUUCUUCUCCGUUCAUUUGGUCACCCAUCAUUCGAAACUUAAAUUUGAGAUUGAACAAUCAUUCAUUCUCAUUUCUACUAUUUUUUUUUAUUCGUUCCUAGUAUUUAUUAGUAUUUAUGUGAUGGUUCCCAGUUAAAAUCUAAGUCUAAUACAAUUUGAUUCACACUGGUUGUUUCUAAAAGGAAAAAGGGUCCGAAUCGAUAUGAUAUUGAUCAUGCAAUACGUCUUAGUUUUAUUUUCUAGCUGGUACAUGAUUGCGUGUGGAAUUACAACCAUGAAAAACGGAUACAGCAUAUAUGUUUCCUAGGGAAAUUUUUUUGGUCCGGAUUACUUACAGCGUUACAGAUAAAAGUAAAUAAUUGUUGACAAAAAAGUAAAUAAUUAAUUUUUCAUGUUUGGGAAUCAGAGAAAAUUAUAUAUAUAUAUAUACACAUAUAUAUUAGUAAACUUAUAUUGAUUAAGAUGGAUAAGGAAAAAAAAGAGAAAAGCAUGUGAAUGGCAGAGUUGUCGCUCAUGUGAAAGUUAGAAAAAAAAAUAAAAAAUUGGCCCGUGAUGAGACUGUCGAGUAGAGUUUAUGAAUAGUACAAAAAUUAUUCAGAUUUUCUUCUGCGUAAUCUUGGUCCACUUCAUUAUGGGAUAGCAAUAUAUAUACAUACUGGAAAGACAAUUGGAGACGAUAUUUGGAUAGUUAAUCACACCAUGGUAUCUGUGACAAAAAAAAAUUUAAAAAAUACACCAUGGUACAUAUAUACAGUGUCAACCAAAACUACAUAUAGCAAGGCCAAAAAGUGAUGAGAUCUGAUCAGGACGUCAUACAUCUACGUCCCAACCGGCAAAAAUAGCUCUGUAAACAAAGCAUAUUAUGUCGUCUCUCGCAUAUGAUUUCAGGAGAUUGGAUUUACUAUUUUUUGUGGGUUCGAAUGUCUCAGUUUUUGGGUCCAUCAAUUCUUUCACACUGCGUCUACCACAUGCAGACCGAGAUUCUAAGGAAGGACGCUUCGCCAAUACUUUUUUUAUGGACAUGUCGCGGUAAGGCAUUAAUUUAUCAAUUUUGAAGAUCGAAGUUCUUUCUACUUGAUUCUAAAAGAUUAAAGACUCUUAUUUUUUGUUCUUUAGUGUUAGAUAUGUUUUGAAUCUUGUAUGACGAGCCCAAACGAUAUAGGAUCAUUCAUAUAUAGGUUGCGCAUUUUCAUCUAGUUUAUCUUUAUUAAGUUUAAAUCCGUAAAAUUUUUAGUGAGACAAUUUUCGAACCGGGAUACUUUUAUUUAUAUUUUUCCUUGUGUAUUAUCAACGUAAUCUAGCUUCCAUUUAAUAAAAUUCGUCUUUCUCCAUAGAUGUAUCCAAUUGAUGAUGAAUCACAUUAAAUAUCUAUGUAAUUUACUUUCUUUUGUUUAUUCAUCUGUUUUUGCAUUAUUGUACAGCAACCAUUAUAGCAUUUAGCGCCUAUUACUCUUAUCUGAUAUUCUUCAAGGAACAUGAUCACCAUAAUCUUCUUUUUUUUUAAAAAAAAAAGAAGAAGAAAAUGAACACCAUAAUCAUAUGGCCGGUUCCUAAAAUCGAACUUGAACAAAAUUCAUGUAUUUUUUUUUUUUUGUAAAUGAAAUUCAUGUAUUUUAUUUUUAGUAACUUUUAUCAAUGAAUUGAAGGUUGCCAAUUUUAGAGGUGGAAUAUAAAAAAAUGUAAAAGCAAUAAACAAUAAUUCUAUUAAAAAUCAGUCUCUUGGUUCAAAGUUUGACUGCUACCUUCUCAGGACAUAAUUUGUAAUAUUCCAUUUUUUGCAACGUAAUAUUCCAUUUUGGAUAUGAAUUUCUGAUCAUAAACAAACUAUUUUAUCGUCGAUGGUAACGAUAUGAAUUGUUCUUCAAGUGUAUUCAACUUUGGAUAUGAUGAAAUUAACAUGUAGUUAAAAAAACAAGAGAGCGUUUUUUACAUAUGGAUUUGAUUAACCAUUAUAUAUACUUUGAACGCUUUUGAUUUUUUGACAAAAUAUAUAUAUUCAGAAUGAAAAAGAAGAAAAGAGAUGUCUGUUUUUGGUGAGACAACGGUACCAUCUCUCCCUCUUGUUGCACGUCGAUGGGCCUCCUUACUUGCAUGUAUAUAUGUCCUACAUUGUAUAUAUGAUAUUAUCGUUAUUGUUAUUCUCCAUUUAAAUUAUUACGACAAUGACUUUAUAAUGCUAUUAUUAAUAUAACUAACUAUUCCAAUAAUUCUAGAUAUUGUCAACAAUAAUGUAUUUUUUUGGGCCAAGAAACAAUAAUGUAUUUUUUGGUCAAAUAACCAUAAUGUAUUUAUAAUAUUCACACACGCACACCAAAGUAAUUCAAUUUUAAUAAAACAAAUUCUAGAAAUGGAUUAAAACUUCAUAAAUAUACAUCACUCUCCCGGUCUCCCUUUCCACAAAAAAAAAAGAAAUAUAUAUUAAAAACCUAACAGGACAGACACCAAAGAGUUAUCUGUCUCAGGGAUUGGACUACACAAAUGUGUUUCGAAGCUCUUGUAGUUCAGUCCGCGGCGGAGACGUCUUUGUACAGGUCAACGGUCCUAGAUUUUGCGUUACAAAAAAGACGAUUGUCUAUGAACUGAUGAAAGAAACCGAUCAAAUAUUGAACGGGUUUCAAAAUGUUGAACGGGUUAUGCCUUCACUCAAACAAAAAAAAAAAUUGAACGGGUUUCAAAUUCAAUUACAUAAUUUUAAUUUCUUAGAUAUUUGAAAAACUCAAAAGAAAUCUAGAUCCAAUGAAAUCAGAAAAAAUAUUAUUUUUUGUAAGGACAAAUUAUAUAUUUUAAGGAAGACAUGUUUUCAAACUAAAAUCGGAAUCAUACCAAAUAGAUUUGCAUUAGAAUUAAUUUUAUAUUGAUGCUACUUUUUAACCGAAAAAUUAUAGCAUCAAUAAUGCAGACUCGUGAACGUUGAAACAGAAUUGUUCAUUUUGGACCGCUAAAUUUAAAAUAUGAUGGGGACAACCCUUUAGGAUAUGGUAGGAAUAUGUUACAUACAAAGGCACAUAUUUAUGCACAUGUGACAUGUAUGUAUACAUGUAUCGAGAUAUUUAGAAAGGGGAUCAGAGGACAUACACUCGUGACAUUGCCAGCUAGUGAGGAUGACAAAUGAAAAGAAAUUGAAGAAUAAAAAGGCAAAUAAAAGAAAAUAAAAACAAAAAGACAAAGAAACUUAGCAAAGGCUGCUUGUACUCUCCAACUCAUUGACUGCCCCAUGCAAUGAUAAGACGAUAAAUGUGUCAGCCAAAUAUAAAAAUCGAAACUGUUAUUUUAACGAAAUAAAAUAAUACUAAAAGCAGUAUUCACAUCCAAAUUAUUUGACCGUAAUAUACAGAACAUAGACUUAGAAUUGACUCCACAAAUAAUUAAAUUAUUAUUUAUCUGAACUACAUAAGCCAUUAUAAAUAAUAUUAUAUAAUCUUCAUAAUCCAAGAGAAUUUAGAACUGCAAAACUAUGUAAAAUAUUAUUAUAUAAAAAAUUCUUCAUUAUGAAACAAUAAACUAUAAACUCUGAAUAUUGUUCAGGAGAAAUCCAUUUAUAUAAAACUAUAAAGGCAAAAUAUUUUACAAAAAGAGAGCUGAGUUUAGAUAAAUGUAACUAUUUAUUAUUACUUUUCUGAUAAACUUAAAUACUGAGAGACUACUUCAAAUGGGAUUUUGAUGACGACAUGCAUACCUGAAAGAUAUAGCAUGGACGUACUCGAUGAAUUCAAAACCUUUUAAUUUUUUCCCUUGGCUAGAAACUUGCAUGAUGGAUUCCAUACGGUGGUGAGCUUGUCGAACCACCACCACCAGGAUUCACAUUCAUGCUGUUUCUAUCAGCGGAAUCCGACGAAGAGCCAACUCUUUCUCUACCACCAUUCCCAUGUUGCUGCUGCUGUUGUUGUUGAAACCCUGCGCUUCCACUCAUGCUUCUUACGAUCUGUCCAACUCCAAGAAAGUCUCUAGUCAUGUUCUGCUUAUCAGCGCUUAGUCCUUUGUUCACUCCUCCGUACGUACCAAACUGAGAAUCUACUCCAUUAGCGCUGUUUCCAGUUGCGCCAGGGUUGGAGAAAGAGUUCAUCAAAUCGUGAAGAUUACUCUCGUUUUCUCCGUACAUUCCACUCCCAAAGCUUCUUAGAAUCGACGAGGCAUUGUUUGUAUUGUUGUUGUUGCUGCUUGAGGUUGAUGAACCCAUUUGAGCAGCUUUCUGAAGAAGAGCAGUGGCUGACAUGUGAGAUGCUGAAUUAGGGUUUUGCAUUGACGAGCUAAAGAGUGAAGGCACUGCUCCUGAAUUGAUUCUGCCUGCUNNNNNNNNNNAAGGCACUGCUCCUGAAUUGAUUCUGCUUGCUGAACUCAUCAGAUUAUUAGGGAAGAGACCAGUACUUCCUCCUCCGCUUCCUCCAACAGCAUUUUCACCACCAAAAUGGUUUGAAAGCAUAUGGUUAGCCGAAGGAACAGCAGCAGCAUUAGGGUUGCUUGUACCAGAAGCAAUUCCGUUGUUUCCAGAUAGGAAGCUUAGAUUGAAGAGAUUGGAGGAAGGAGAAUUAUGGUUAUCAUUUGAGAACUGCAUCAAACUCUGUUGAAAAUUCAUUGGAGAUGGCUUGAUGUUAUUGCUUGCAGCCAAAAACCCUUGUUGUUGAUGUUGAUGAUGGUCUUGCUGAUCAUGAAAGCUAGGGUUUUGCUCUUGCAUGAAGUAACCUGAAGCAUUUGCAGCAAUGAGAUCAGAGGAAGAUCGUGAGGCGCCCCCUCCACCUCCUCCGCCGCUUCCAAGUCGAAGAACGUCACCGGACUGAUGAUCAAGAUUUUGUGGGUUCCCAAUGUGGGGCAAACCAAGGAUCAUGCUUGGCGUGUUGUUGUUGGAGUUGUUGGUGGUUUGUAAGGAUCAUGCUUGAAGUAUUGUUGGAGUUGUUGGUAUUUUGUCCGUAGGGAAAGUGGUGACUUGGCAAAGAAGUCAAAGAAGUUGGGUGUCUCGCACUCUCUUGAGCCAACGCGUCACAGAAGGCUCUAUGUGUAAUGAAACUGUCUCGCCUGCGACACACCAAAAACAAAAAGAAGAGUAAUGUAACAACGGAGUCUAUUGGAUCGUCAGGUAUAUUAAUCAAAUGACGAAAUAAGAAGACAUAUUACAGUUUCAAAAAAAAAAAAUUAAGAAGAUAUAUUUCAAAAAAAAAGACAUAUUUUGGGAAAGGUGAGAGACAAAUAUUUAUAAAUAUAGAGAGAGACUCUUCAUGUCACGUAGCUUCAAAUAGAUUCGCGUGUAAUUAUUGGAUCUUGAAAAAUAGAUAGAUGGCUAGAAAGUCACUCUCCUACUCUAUGACACAUCAUAUUAUUAUUUCAGCUAUGUAAUUUUAAACAGCUUACACAAUACACACUCACAUGCCUUGAUUUAUUUACGAAUAAUGCACGUAAAUACAUAAAUAGGAGUACAAUGUUGUGUCACACUUCAACUACGAUGAUGUAUGUCCGUGUCUAUAUGAUUAUGUGUACGAGCAACAUGUAUAAAUCAGUAUACAUGCAGUAAGUAAUGAACAUAAAUAUUAUUCAAUUCCGACCAAAUAUUAUGCCUAAGAUAUGCUCGUCAAUGGAAACUAGUAAUUUAAUGUGUAUGUAUAUGUUAAUGUAUAUAUAUAUAUAUAUCUAAAUGAAUACUCAAAAGAAUCAAAUAGGUAGGUGAAAAAAAGUUAAGUUUCACAAUAGUAGCAGUAUAUGGAGAGAAUGAUUGUCAAAUGAAUAUCUGAAUCUGUCUUAAUCCUAGAUCCUGUAAAUCCAAUAAAUGCAACUUCAGCAUAUAUUCAAUGAAGGACUAAUAUGUUAUGCAUAAAUGGUUAAAUAACUAAUUAUGUAUAUAAUUAUCUACCACCAUAUUUUUAAUACCUUCGUUCCAUUUAUAGAACUCCUCUUUACUGACGCGCGCACACACAAACAUAGCAAUGCCAACCAAGACUGAAAAAUACUCCUAAUUUGAAAAUGUUUUUAAUAUACUAGUUUUUGUUAAAAUUUAAUAUAUUAGUUAUCACUUCUAUGCAGUUUGAAGCCAUUUUGUGCAAAAUGUAUAUAGUAAUUAAUCAAAAUAAUUAUGCGGUGUGUGGUUAUAUAUGGUGCAGAUUACACCCGAUUCAUGAAAACGAGUAAUAUGCUAGUAAAAUUUGCACAUAAGAGAACAAACACUGUAGCAACAACUCUCUAGAGAUAUUAUAUGGUUUAGCAGCACGUGAAUUGCCCAUAUUAUAAGAAUCUUUUUAAAUCUAAGAAAAAAAAUUUAAAAAUAUAUUAAUAAAUUUUAUGACAGAAAAUCUGGCGGUGUUUCCAAGGUAAAAUAUAUAGAAAACACAAUAAAUAAAAAAAAAAGAAAUUAAAUUGGUCCUCUUUGGUUUUGAGUUUCUGCCAGAAAGCAUCUUAUGAAAUAUGGCAGUUUCAGUCAUAUACAUAUAUAUAGGUAUAUGCACACACAUUCACGUGUGCUCAUGUAUCCAUUUUAUUUUUAUAAUUUUAAGUUAAAAGGAAAAAAGAAAGAAAUUACUGCACGAAAGAAAGCGAUAAGAGCAUCGAAGACUUCGAGGCGAAACAGAAAGCGAACCUAAGAAAAAAAACCCUAGUCUAUGAAGAAUGACCCAGACACACAUUCACACCCAUAUCAUAUAGGAUUAAUUAUAAUUUAAAGAGUUCAAAAGUUCAGAAUAUUUACCUGGAGAAGAGUGUACCACAAUCGCAACGAUAUUCUUUGGUACCACAAGUCUUGGAGUGAGCUUUCCAAUCAGAUUGAACAGCGUAACGCUUAGAACAUUUCUCGCAUUUCCACUUCUUUUCACCGUGUUUACGGUAAUAAUGUUUCUUGAUUCCGGUGAGGUCUCCGAGAGCACGUGACGGGUCAUGGUGGACGCACGAGGGCUCCGGACAAAGAUACACUUUCCUCUUCACUUCUUUGGUCGAUUUUUGCUUAAGUUUCCAUGGAAGAUUGUGUCCUCUUCGGUGAAGUUGUAGAUUCUGUUCUCUUUGAAACCCUUUGUUGCAUACUUCACAUAUGAAUCUGUUUGUAGCCAUUAGUGUCUUUGGAGAUAAAGCUAUCACUUCUGCAUCUGAAUCUAAUAGAAAAGAACAAAACAUUGAGGGUAAAAUUAUUAAUUAAUUAAAAGAGAUUUUAUAUUGCAUGGUAUGUAACUAAUUAUAAUCUCAAUCUUGGAAAAUCAAUAACUUGUGUUUGCUAAUUUGCUUAUUUCAAGAUUUGGAAACUGAGAAAAAGGAUAGAUGAAAAAGGGAUCUCUAUUUUUUACUACAUAAUGAUUUUAAAAAUUGAUCACAUGAUUUUAUAAGAUUAAGAUGAUAAGAUUUCAAUUAAGGGAUGGUAAUUAGCUUACUUGGAGUUCUUGGUUGGUUUCUUUUCUUUUUCUGUGGUGGAGCUUCAAGGGGUUGCUGAGGCUGCGGUGGCUGGUGGUGAGGAGGAGGAGGAGGAGGAGGAGGAACGGCUGCAGAGGAAUUAGGAGGAAGCAGGUGAGACUGUUCAUCUUGUCGAACUCCAAAGAAGGAAGCAGCAGAGGAUGAAGAAGCAGCCAUGGAUUCUUAUGUGUUCUGUGUGAUGGUGAGAGAGAGAGAGAGAGGAGACAAGAAAAAAAAAAAGAAAUGAAAUGAAACUAGAGAGAAGAAACUCUUUAACAUUAAUUUUUUUUUGACUUCCACUGAUAUCUUAUCUCAAUAAAGCCCUAAAAAUGGGAUAUUCCAGAUUUUAAAAUAAUAAUUAUUAAAUUUUCUCAGCGAUUUUUUUUUUAAAAUAAAUAAAAGUAUAUGUCAGGUAAUAGAAGAGAAGAUGAAAGUGACAAGUGAAAACGAGUACUAGGCUAGUGAAAAAAUGUUCACACCCAACUCAAUAGCCUAGAGUAUUAAGAGUUCAUAUUAAGUUUUUUAAGGGAAUCUAUAUAAUCAAAUUAAAUCAAUCUACCUUUGUUAGUUUGGUGUAGGUUUAAUCUCUUGUGUAUAUUGAUCUAUAUUACAUAGGAUACUAAAACUAUAUACAUGUUAUGCAUUUAAGAAAAAGUUUGUUUUGUUUGUUGCGCUAUUGAACCAAACUAUUAUAAUUAAUUUGGGUGUCGAAUAUAGACACUAACACCAAUACAGAGCAAUUGAUUAUUUUCUUCUGAAUAUGUAAAUUUUAGAAAGGAAAAUGAGAACUACAGAGGUCGGUGGACCCAAUCCUUUUGCCACAUAACGACAGUGGAUGGUGCGUGAGACAAAGCCUCAACAGCUCCUCUCCCUCGCUAACAUAUGUGAAUAAUAAAUUAAAAGUGAAAUCGGAUCUAAAAAGUUUUUUAUAAAGCAGAUUACCAUAGUGUUUGACACUAAUUAAAUAAUGUAGAAGAGCAAAUCAAAAGGUUGAAAUGAUCUGCGUACGUGAUUUCAAUACUGGAGUAGAUCCAACAUUGUAAAGUUUUCGAGUUUGAAAAUGAACUAGCUAUUUAAAUUAACAUAAUGUAAGUUUUCUACUUCUUCAUUAGCGGUUACUAAAACUAACCACUAUAUUAUAUAUAACUAAAAAUCACUAGUACUAAUUCUAAGAAAAUUCUGAUUUAUGGGUUACACUUUGUUUUUAUCCUUUUUUGCCAAAGUGCAUCCCAUCUAGUCUAAUUAUUUUUGUAAAGUUUUACAAACUCUUCUCAUAUUUAUAUGAAAUUCAAAUCCUUGGCAAAAAAAAAAAAAUCGACAACUCUGUAUUUUUAUCUAACAUAUAUAUAUAGACAGGUCUCUCGACUUUCCAAAGGUUACUACACAAAGCAUCUAAUAUUUGCUUAUAUUCUUAACAAAAUAAGAUUAUUUGUCACAAUCGUAAUCAUCAUCUCAUAUGGGUCUCUUCUUUUUGUUUUAAAAUGUUCCUAUCAUAUCAUAUUACACUUUUAUGAAUGUAUGUAUAUCUAUGUGUCAUGGAAGGUUAAAAAGAGCUAUUCCAAAAGGUAAAAAGGACAAAAGGAAGAAUGAUUGUAUAUAUUUUUCAUGUAUGUGGAAAGUAAAACCAAAAAGGAUACUCCAAAAUUUUAACUAUAUUUCGUUAUAUUCUCCCAUAUAUAUAUUCAAGCAAUUGGGUAAAAACAAAUCAAACAACUCUAUAUUAUGAUUCCCGAGUGAUAGAUCCAAACAUCUUUUAUUUAUUCAGAUAAAUUACAAAACAACUAAAUUCACACAUAAUUUUUCAUAACGUUGCUGUUAAUGUCUAUUAGUAAUAUUUGUCUUAAAGAUGAUAUAGGUUUACAGCAACCGGUAUAUUGUGCAGAAAAUUAAUCUGACAUACUGCUAUUUAAAAAUAAAUUAGUUAAGAAAUUAUUAUAAACUUUAAUUUGCUUAUAUGUAUGUUAAGAUAUUUACAGUCUUUAACAUAUUUAUUUAAAAAUUCAGUCUAUUCUCAAAAGAAAGAGAUCAAGAAAAUGAAUCCAUUGGUAAGAGUUUUAAUUGAAUAUGUUUUUUUUUUGAUGAUGAUGAUGAUAUGACGUUAUGGUUUUAUUUGAACAAUUAUUUUUGCUAUGCAAAGAAUUUUUAGGAAAAGGAAUAACAAUUGCUAUUCCCGAUAACAAUGACACUUGAACCGUAACCUUUCCUCUCACAUACAGAUUCGAACAUAAAUUCUUUCAAAUCAACAGUAAGUACAUCUAAAAAUAUGAAAACAGUGCAAGAUUUAAUUUACGAUAGAAAAAGAACUCCACCUCUUUUAGCUCGUCGAGUUUGAGGUAAGAUUUGGAAGCGUUGCUAUCAGUUGCGUGCUUCUAAGUAGGGAUUAGAGGGCCAUAUAUAUAUAUAUAUACACACAGCGUGUAAUAAAUGGGUAUGAGCAAAUUUAAGAAGAGUUAAUACAGUUUUGCUAAUCAUUAAUUACUUUAAUAAAUCACUUUCAAAGUUUUCAUAUUAUUAGCUAAAUUUCGAUUUGAAUAAAGUUGUUACUGUAACUACCAUUCAUAAUUUCAUUUAUUAAAAUUACUUUAAGAAAACAACAACAAUAGGCUCUUUUUAAACAAAAAAAAACAGGCUCUUUAAAUAUUUUCCAUUCUAGCCCCCCACUUGUGAGGAAAUUAAAAAAAAAAAGACAAAAUGUUUUUUUUUAUUCAAUCAAUUAUUAUAUUUUAAAAAUUACAACUCAACUUUUUUAACCAACAAAAUCACCCUUUGUUAGACCAUCUCCAAUAUCUUACUCUAUUUUUUACUCUAAAAUAAAGUAACUCUAUAACAGAGUUUGAGUUUGUUCCAAUGGUAUUCUAUUUUAGAGUAAAAAAUAGAGUGAUGAACAAUAAAAACAAAUUACUCUAUAUUUGGAGUAACCCUAUUUUUCAUUCUAUUAUAGAGUGAGAAAUAGAGUACCAUUAGAGCAUUUUUUACUCUAAACUAUAUUUGAGAGUGAAAAAUAGAGUGGAGUUGGAGAUGCUCUUGUACACGACGNNNNNNNNNNNNNNNNNNNNNNNNNNNNNNNNNNNNNNNNNNNNNNNNNNNNNCGCUAUUCGACCAAAAAAAGAAAUAUAUACAACGCUUAAAUACGAAUUUGGAUGUGAAUUUCUUUUUUUUUUCUUGGAUGUCAAAUUUCUUAAUAUAUGACAUUAACGUUGAGAUGUCAAAUCUUUUGCUAAAAACCCAAAACUUUAAAUCUAUAUAGUCCCCGGUUCCAAUUGCAAACGAAAUUUACACCAAUGGGUGUCUAUGACAAUAUUAUGCUGUUGAAAUAAGAUUUUUUGAAACCAUAAUUAUCUCGAUCUCUAUGAAAUUUAUUUUUUUACCACAUAAAAUUUUGAAAAUGAUGAAGUUAAAUGAUUAAUUUGGGUCCUAUGUAAGGAAAACAAAUUUUUGAGGCAGUAACAUAAUUCAGAUAAAGUUAUGUAAUUUUAUAUAAUUUUCUGAAAACAGACUAAUAUAUGGGUAUUUUGUCAAAUUUUAUUUUGGAAGUUUAUGUGUGAUUAUUACCAACAAGUUACAACAGUUAAUGCCACGUGUAAGUCAUGGAGAGCCUAUAAAAUUUUCAUAUCUAUCUAAACAUAUGUUUUGCCACUUGUAAGUUAAUGAAAAGCUAUAAGUCUCUCAUAUCUUUUUAAGUAAAAUUUAUAAAUUAUUAAGAAAAAAAUUGUGCCGGGUGUAAGUCAUGGAGAGCCUAUAAAUCUUUCAUAUGUAACUAAGAAAGCAUAUGACCGCGUGUAAGUCAUGAAGAGCCUAUAAACCUUUCAAAGAUGGUAUCUUGAAUAACAAUAUUGUCGCGAACGUUACAAAAAUUGCCUUUUAAUGCUAAACUUUGUUCUUCACUCUGAGUUAGUUUGAGCUUAAUAUUUCACUUUUUGUUUGUUCUUUUCUUUAAUUGACUUAUCUUUCAAGGUCAGAAUCUUUAUAUCAACAAGAAAUUGAGCAGAUAUUACAAUAAACCAAAAACUAGUAGACCUUAAAAUGCUAAUUAAUUGGCUGAUUACAUGAACUCAUACCUCGAGAUAUUAUAUGGGAAAAAAAGAGAUAUUAUAUGGGUUAUCAUUACAUAAAAUGGAGGGAAUCUUGUAUCUGACGUUCAAAAGAUUGCCUAUCGUUUUAAUGUGAAACAUAACUAUGCAAAGGCACUAAACAUUACAUUAAUUCAGAAAGAAGUACAAAAUUAAAUUCGCUAAUGUAUCAAGCCGAAUGCAUAUAGUGUCCUGUAGUUUGAAUUUUGUUCAAGUAGUCUGCCUUGGGUUCGAGAGUUUAACUGAAAUGUACAUAUAAGAGUGUUGUUGAUGUAUAGAUCGCACGAAACAAAGAGUGCUGCAGAAGAAUGUCAAAUAAAUCUUUAAGAGAAGUUUGAUAUCUUCAAUCUAGGAAUGUUCUUAUUUACCUUCACAUAUAUGGUUUUGUUGUCGGAACUAUCUAUGCGAAUGAAACAAGUUCUUAUAGGACUAUCAUAGACAAAUCUUUUUUUAAUAUACCAAUGAUCGGUUUAAUUAAAACAAAUGCCCGAUAUGUUGUUAAUAUUUGUUCUAGUUUAUUUCGAUGCUUCUAAUUCUUCACAUUUAAUUUCAAAUAUAAAAUAUUCCCACCGGUUUGGAAUUGUGCAGACAUAUUAAAAACAUUUAAUUUUAUACAUUUUCUUAACAGAAACAUCAUAAACUAUAUAACUAACCAUAAUUAAACUAAUAAAAAUCAAGUUGCAUAAUAUAAGAAGUCAUAUAGCAUACAAUCAUUAAAGUUAACAUUAAAUUUGAAAACAUCAUGUAAUUUGAAACAAAAAGUUUUCUUCAAAACAUCAUCUAUUUAAAAACAAGGGGAGGGGGUAUAGUUUUAUUUUAGUUAAUUAAUGUAACCAUGAACCAAGUUAUUCACUCUUUUCUUCAGAACGUCAAGUUAUUAAAUAUAUGUGUAUAGGCUGUUGACAAAAAAAAGGUGUAUAGGCUACGUGCAGGUUGUUGCGGCACAUGGUGGUUUCUUCUCUUGGACUAGGGACGUAAAUUUGUUAGUUCAUAUAAUUUGUCAUCACAUAAACGUGUACCCACUUCAUCAUUUUACAUGUAACGAUUUCCAGUAGAUCACUUACAUGAGAAACUUCUUAUUUUAUAACUCUGUUUACAUUUCAUAUUUCUUUCUGCCAGUUUUUCAAUUGCAUAAAACAAUCUGGCAUUAACCGUUUGUAGUUUGUCCACCAAACGUCAAUUUAAAUCUUGCAUGUUGAGAUUACACUUUGAACACAUAAAUGUGCUAGAAAAUAUUUGUUAAAAAUUGCAAAUAUUAAUGAACAAGUACUCCUCAUUACUAGAGAAAAUGGGCUCUUCUGGCACAACAAACAAGACAUUUGCAUUAUGUGUUCCUCUUUGAGAACGAUCGGUGAUUUUUACAGAACUUGGCUUCCAUCAUUCUUCUUCUUCAUGUAACAAAAACAAAUCUCUAUAUACAUUUGUAAACACAUACACACUUCACUCUUGGGAUUCUCCUGGUGGCUCGCUCUCUUCGUCAUACAUAGACUCAUCAUAUCUCCGAAGUGAAUCAAGACUGCAAACAAACAAAAACAAUCAUGAUUUCCUUAAACAAUCGCUAGUAGAAAUAAAACAAGAUGGAUUCAAAUUUAAAAAAAACCUGCAAUUCUGAGGAACUUUCCAAGAGAAACCAGACUCCUGUUUAAGAUGAAGUGGUAAAGCCAUAAAGUCUCUCCAAUCUUGAAGCAUGAUUCUAAGAUCAUGAAGCUUACUAUCCAUACCAAAGCAGCAAUUCGCAUGCAUGGUACGAACCAGAUUCAUAUCUUUGCUUGGUUCACAGAGUCCACCAAAAUACGCCGUGUUCAAGAACCUAAUCCUAAGCCCGAUCCGGAAAACAAAAGGCUCCCUCUUGAUGAAGUUAAGAACGUCCUGGUCGUGAUACCCCGAGUACCUGAUCCGUGAAGCGUACCAGUACUUGUAGAAGAGUAUAGUCCUGUUGUUAGACCGCACAAAGCUAAACCCUCCGUUAGGUCUAUUCUCUAAAUCAUUCGACCUUCCUAAGUAAUGGUCACAAGCGAUCUGGAAGUCAGCGUAUCUGUAAAACCGCGUAAAAGGGUUCCUGAACCACAUCACAUCAGCAUCCUGGAGAAGCAAAGAAAACCAAAUCAUUUUCAAGAACAUGAAACCUGAACACACUCGUUCAAGAAAAUGUUUAUACCGUGAAGACAAAGUUGUAACCCAGUUCAAGAACAGAACGCAAGAAAUCGAUUCUUCUCCACAUCAUCUUCAAGUAAGAACGAGUCAUGAAGUAAGCCUCCUUUCCCGAGAAAUCAACACCUUCUGUUUCGAGACUGAAGCAAUGCUUGUGAAGCUCUCGGCAACGGGAGUAAGCUUUAGCAUCCAGAGCAAUGAUCACCAAAUGGUUUAAAAGCAUGCCUGUUCCUUCACCGAUUCGAAAACUCUCGAAGAAGAGAUCGAUAACAGAGCCAGGAGCAGCCCAAGCUUCGUUCAAAGUCGUUAGAAUCACAGUGUUGUCUCGAGUUGCAGCUCUACGAAGAACAUCUUCAAGCUUAGGCUCUUCAAGCUCCUAACAUCAAGCUUAGGUUUAGAUAACAUCUUCAAAUCAAGAGAUCAAACUCAAAUGCUAACUUAGUUUCUAAAUUUGGGAACCGAUCAAAGCCUAAAUCAAGAAUCGUACUCUACAUUCGUCGAAUUUCAAAAUGUUCUGGUGACAAUGUGAAAGCGAAGAGGAGGAAGAAGCUAACCAGAGACUGGAAGGAAUCGAAUGAGGGGAAAAUGCGAGAGAAGAUCGAGGAGGAGGAGCGAGGGACGGCGUCGAGGGAAUCAAGGGAUCGGUAGAGGACGAAGAUGGAGAUGGAAAUGGCGAGGAUGAAUGUAACGGCUCGGCGUAGGGGACGGGAGCACGGCGGCAUGACGAAAGAAGCUACGGCGGAGGAGGAGCGGUUAGCGUCGAGGGACGAAACGUGGAGCUUCGUCAUCGUCUUGAGCCUCGAGGGAAGACGGUGCGAUAGAUUCAUCUACACCGACCAUCGUCGGCACCGACGCCAAAAACUUAAGUUAAUUUUAAGACUUUAUUUGGGUUUUUUCCUUUUUUUUUUACUAUUUUACCUAGAGAAAUUACUGGAUGGAUGGGAUAUCAAUAAAUGAUGUAUAAAUAACUUUUCUCUUCCCUUUUUAAUUUUAAAUCUUCCAGAUAUGAAAUAAAUCAGCAUAUUGUUUUGAUUAUAGUAUGAUUUAAGUUUUGGAAUUGUGUUUUAUUAUUGGGGUUAAAUUUAUUAUUAAAGGUUUCAGUUUGACAUUAACGUUUAUGUAAAUUUUAUUUGUUUUGAUUAUAUCAAUAAAUGUUGUUUAAAAUAACUUUUCUCUGCUAUUUUUCUAAUUUUCGUCAAGUAUAAACUUCCAAAAAUGAAAAAAAAAUCAGCAUCUUGUCUUGAUUAGGAUUUAAGUUUUGGCUCUGUGUUUUAUUAUUGGGUUAAAUUCAUUAUUACAGGUUUCAGUUUGAUAUUUAGUGUUUAUGUAAAUUUUAUUUUCAAGAUUUGCUCCAUUAACUUUAAAUCUCUGAUAAACAAGAAAUCCUAGGAGUUUAACAACAAAAUCAUCUGAAAUGUUUUCACUGGGACUAAUCUAAGCAGACAGAUAUUUAUUUACUGGUUUCAACUGCUGAGGAGAGAAACUGAAAGAGUAAGGUUGAGAUCAAUCUUUGGUGAAGAAGAAGCAAAGCAAUCUUUGAAGACGAAUGGUGCAGAACAAGUGGAGACUGCUUCACUCGUUUCGCUCACUGAUGACCCGUUGCUUCUCCAUUGAUGAUGGUUCAAAGACAGAGACAGCGACAAAUCUUCCUCUUCUUGUUCUUUCCCACUGUUCUCCCAUUUGUUCUUCUCCUUCUCUGUCUUCUAUUGAGGACAAGACAAACAAAUAAAUCAGCUUCUAAACCGGACAAGAUUCGGAUUGUGUUACCCCAAUUUCAAUAAACCUAAAAAGUUAUAAUAAACCUAAGCCGGAAAAAAAUCUGAGUUCUAAUGAACCUUAAGUUCCUAUGACAACUAGGUAACUAAACCGGACACGACUCGAUUUUUAAAUUUCACCCAGUUUCAGUCAAACCGGUUAAGACAGCAAAUCAAAAUCUAAUGUCCAAUCUAGAAUCGAAGGAGAAACAUUAUUGAACCGGCCUGGAUUUAAUUUUGCUUAGGCUUCAAAAUUAAAUCCAAAAGUAUAUAAUGAGAGUAUAUUUUACUUUUUUUUUUCUGAACAACUAGAGUAUAUUUUACUAAUUAGAUGAAACUACACGUUGACAUAAAAGUUAAUAAAACAUACCUUGUGGCAUUGAUGUGAUGGAAACGCCGUCGUUUCUUUCGUCUUCUCCAUGUUUAUGAUGUGAAGAAAGUCAUCAUCAUCAUCACCACCACCAGACUGUGAAGUCUGAUUCUCUCUUCUUCCUCCUCUGUGCCAAAGUAAACAAUAUUAAAAAGUACAAUUCAAAUACAGACAAAAGGGUAUAUUAUGAUAGCUUCACUGAUACAAAAUUAAAAACAUGUCAGAAAAUAUAAAUGAAUAAAAAUUUACCUAAGAGAAGAAUGUGAAGAAAGAGGAAACGAGUGAAACCCCAAAAGACAAUCAUUCCUUGAGGGUAAAGACAAGUUGUCAUGAAGAUAAUCUUCUUCAGUGUCUUGUCUUCUUCUUAUUGAAGAUAAAGAGCUUUCCUCUGUCCCCAAAAAUGAAAAAAUAAUAGACUAUAAUGAAUAUUCCCUUGAUCAAUAAAAAUAAUUUGUUUUAAUAUAAAAGAAAGCUAUAUGUAUUUAUAACAAUUGUCUUAUGAAUCAUGACACUAGACCAAUAGUACAUACUACAAACAGAUGCUGUAAAACAAUUAAAUUCCAUCCAUUAUUAUAGUUUUGAUGUUAACAGUUCAGAUUAAAAUCAGCGGUCCAGUUCUUCUAUAAAUCAUAUCAUUUCAGAAUAUUUAUGGAAAAAAAAAUGGACAAAAAGUCCAUACCUGAUUUGCCCAAAGUGAGUUUAGAACCUCUAUACAUCUGUUGUAUGUGAUGAAAAAAGAAGAGACAGGGAUUUUAAUAUUCAAGAUACUAUGAAAAAGAUAUAAGGCUAAGAGAGAACAAAACUAACGUCAGGUAAAUCUAUUACCUGGAGAUGGCUCUUGACAUGUGAAAUGGUGAGUCCCCUCACAUCCAUCAUCUUAAGAAUAAGCUUUGGAGUGGCUCCUGUUUCAUAAAACCCAACAUAAAUACAACGAGAACAAAAAGAUUAAAAAGGUAACUAUGAUGAUUCUUUAUGUUGACUAUUCAUGAAAAAGGUAAUGAGUAACUUUAAUAUUUUGUAGAGCAUGAAACAUAAUUGCAAAAGUGUGACUUGCGAGCAUGGUUCAGAAACUUGACGAAAAUUAUUCUUGAAGGAUGAUGACAGAAAAUAAUGAGAAAUUUUCAAACUUUGGACGAAAUAUCCAAAAAAAUAAUAAUAAAAAACUCCAAACUUUAGAUAUAGGAAUGAAACAAAGUAGCAAAAGUAUGAAGGCAUCGUUCAACAACUUGACAAGAUGAUAAAAAUGUUUAUACUUAUUAGAAAUUCCCUAACAAAUCCAAACUUGAAGACAUAUGGAUGAAACAAAUUAGCAAAAACUGUGAGGUUUGGUUCAAAAACUUGACAAAACAAUGAGAAAAUUCCAAUCUGUUUCGAAAAAGAUCCAAAAAUUCAAAACUUAAAAUAUAUAUAUUUAAGUGAAACGAAGUAGCAAAAAGUGUGAAGCUUUUCUUCAAAAACUUGAAUAAAACAAAGUAACAAAAGGUUGCAUUUUUGUCGAAAUAUUGAAGGAGAAAAGAAACGUACUAUGUUGGCCACCAAGCAUAUCGACGGCGUUUAGGAAACAACGGUGGAGCUCCGGCGUCCAUCUGAGUCGAGGCACUGGAGACCGUACGUAUGGCCUAACUCUGCCGCCUCCGUGACCGUUAAAGCCAACGUCGUUGCCGUUUCUUCCACCACACGUACCCAUUCCUUCACAAAUCAGUCUCAAGAACCCUAAAACGUCUUUUAGAUUUGGAGCACAGAAACCAAGAACAGAAGACAGAGAAACGUAGGAAAGGAUUUGUGGGUAUGUGUUGGAUUUAAAAGAGCAAGUCUCUUUUGUUUUCUGAAAUGGUUUUGGCUUUUUCUAAAAGAUGACUGUCUCUUUUUCCAUCUAUUCUUUUUGUCUUUUUGAAUGCACUCAUACAUAUAUAUAUAUAUAUACACCCCUCUUUACAUAUAUAUCUGCAAAAUGCCAAAAACUAAUUAUUAGACCUUUUUAGAAAAGGUUCAUUCAUUUUUAUUUGCCGGAUAUUCCAUUGUAGUUGUGUUUAAACUGGAAUUGUAAUUGAUUUAUGUUUCGAUUUUGGAUUUUGUUUGAUAUAUAGUUUAGAUUUAAUUUGAAAUAUUAAAUUCUAAGUAAAAUUUAAUAUCAUUAGAAAUUUUCUGAUUUGAGCAUCAUAUAAAAAACAUUAACACAAUUUGGAUAAGGGCAAUUGUCAAUAAUAGCACCUUUUGAAAUUUAUGUCUCAAAAAUAGCAUUAGAAGGAGAAAGUCACAAAAAUGACAUUCAUUAAAGGGUAAAAUAUCCCUAAUACCCUUGGUUUAAAAUUAAAUAAACAAACAAAAAUAAAUAAAAAUAAAUAAAAUAAAAAUGAAAAAAAUGAAAAAAAGAUUUUUUUUUAUAUAGUUUCAGAUUAUAUGUUUUCAGAUUCGAAAUUUUUACAAUUUUUUUUUCUCGAAAUUUUUUAUUUUUUUUUUCAAAUUUUAUUUUUAUAAUUUAAAAAUACUUUUUAAAACUGUUUUUAAAAUUUUUUUUUUUAUUUUAAUAUUUUUUUUUUAUAAAAUUUUAAACCCUAAUUCCAAAACCCCACCCCUUAACUCUAAACCCUAAGGUUUGGAUUAAUUAACCCAAGGGGUAUAAAUGUAUAUUUACCUCUUUAAUGAAACCUAUUUUUGUGACUUUGAACCUUGAGUGCUACUUUGGGAACAUAAACUUGGUUUGGUGCUAUCCUAGUCUUUUUCUCUUUGGAUAAUUAUAUUUACAAAUCAAAAUUUGAAUCAAAUUAUGUAAAAUAUUAUUUCAGCUUAAGAAAAUCUAAAAAAAAACGUAAGAAAAUCUACACUGAAAAGAGCUAAAACCAUAGGUUUAUGAAUUGUUCACGACAUACGUGAAGAUUUGGCGAUACUCAGAUCUCGUAAAGACAUUUUUUUUUUAUAACGAAGGUAUAAAAAGUAACCAGCUGGAAUGUUUUAGUGUUUUUAUUUGGUACUUUAUAAAUUUGUUUAUUAAGAAAAACGAGGUGAGAUUUGUUUUUUGACGUAGCUACAAGGACAUAGCCAUAUAUAAUCUACAAAAAUGGUAAUUAUACGAAAAUUGUUUUGGCUUUGGUUACAUCAGCCUUGACUCUUGACCCCAUUAUUAUUAUUAUCUUAAAAUAUAUAAAUAGUUUAAAGAGAUGCAUAUCAACGUACCAGAGAAUCAGAGAUAUCUACACAAGGCUAUAAUAUACAACUUGCAUGCAAAAAAAGAACUGACUACUUUUGAUCAUCCAAUACUAAUCUCUUGUCUACACAUGGGUCUAUAAUAUUUACCUUGUAGGGAUUUGAGAUUUACCCCAAUGAACAAGUUUCGUCUAACACUUCAUCAGACUUUUUACUCGCUCUUUUUCACCAUAUAUUGCCCCAAAUUUAUAUAGGCCAGCUGCUGCUAAGCUUUGACCAUAGCAUUAAUAAUUGUUCCUAUUUUUGUUUUUCGUUGGGGUUUCGUGUUUAACUUUCUGAUUUCAGAAACUUACAACGGUCCUUCCUAAUAUCUUUUGGACCACCGUUUUGACUUCGUUCCCUCCCCCCCUAAUUCUCUAUUAUUAUUUGUGUUCUCUCAUUUCCCAUUCAUUUUGUUUCUAUAUAGGUUAUUGCCUACGGUUUUGGCACAUCUAAAUAUUCUAUGAAAAGUUAUAUAUUUACAUUGCAUAUUGUAUCUUUUCGAAUAAUCAUAAGUAUUAACAAAAUCAACGUUAGAUUUUAAAUAGUUGAAAAUCAAAACUCCUGAAGUCCUAGAAGAGAUUUUAGAUCUAAUAAUAACUCUAUAAACUUUAAUCUAAAAGGAUAAAGAUUUUUCUUUGACAUAACUUAUGGUUAACUCAAAAUGAAUGAACCAGAAAUUAUUUUAGAACAUUUUCUUAUCCAUAACAACUCUGCCAUCUCAACAUGUAAAACUGAGAGACUUCUGAUGUAUCCACUGAAUCCAAAUGAUUCAACAUCCAUUAUUUUGAUCUUUAAAACUCUACAAUAAACCACUAACUAGGUCACUGUUGAUUCAUGAAUCAUCAAUUUGACAAGUUAGGAAGUAUUCAAGAAAUCAAUUUGACAAGUUAGGAAGUAUUCAAGAAGACAGCCUCAAUGAAAGGAUCAUCAGGUUUCUUCUUCUUCUUUCUCUUUAAGAUUUGCCUUUCUCCAGUAUUUUUUCAAGAGAAGCAAAUUUUAAAAGUGUUGACUAAGAGGUGUCUUUUCCAUUAAAAAUUUUAUCAUUCGUUAUUUUCAAAUGUAUCAAAUGGUUCAUGUGAUAAUAUCAAAUUGUGGUUCCACUGAAAACAUCUAUUACAACAAAAUUUUCUUCUAUAUUUUUCUUUGUAAUAAAAACCUGUAAAAUAGAGAUGAGUUAGAAAUGCUUUUAGGCCAUAUAUAAUUAAUCAUUUCUCCAGUUUUCUAUCUAGGGAUCCAAUUAACUUGUGAUAAUUUUUAAUUUAAUUACAAAAUUCUGGAUCUUAAUAGGUUCUCUUGUCCCGAAUAAGUUCGUUUCAAAUCAACUUCUGAUAAUACUUUUAGUGAGCAUAAAUCAUCCCUCGAAAAAAUAUUAAAGAAUACAGUAUAUGUAAUCUCAGUCCCUCCUUUUACCAACACCGUCCGACUACAUGCAUGUCUUAUAAAUUCCAUUCGGGACAGAUUUCAUACUAGUAGUAUUUCCUUUACAAAAAUCAUAAUACUUUAUUAAUUAUCCCACGGUUGGUUACUCGUUACUCACAUUACGUGUACGAUUUCUCGUAGUAUUAUAGAUAAUAGAUUCCAAGUUAUUUAUAAGACAACUCACACGUGGUUUCGCGCUAUCAAGAAGUGCAAAAAAAUUUGAAAGCCUUUUUUCAAUAAAAAAAAGAAGUGCAAAAAAAUAUGAAUAUUAAUUUAAGAGGAUAAAAUAAUAAACAAACUUAACAAAGUUAUUUAUUGAAAAAAAAAAAACUUAACAAAGUCGUCGUCUUUUUAUUUUAAACAAAACUAAGACCUUUACCCAAGGAAAAAAACAUAAAUCAGACACAAUCAAAUAGAGGUGUCAUUGACCUUUAACGUAGACUACUAUGCUCUCUCUCCCUUUUCUUCUCAUUCAAUACAUUCUCUAUAUUAUUAUAAACAUGUGGAAUUCUGCGUAUAUACCAAAUCGCUUUAUAUACCAAAUCGCUAAAGCGAUUUAAGAGAAUUUAAACAAUGAUGCCCCAUGGUUGAGAAAAGAUUAAUGUUUGAUUAGACGGUAAUUGCUAAUUAGAAUAUUAUAUUCAGUCACCAGCUUUUCAAAGAUACCGAAGUUACGUAUAUUAUCUAUAUAUUCACCAGAAGAAUGUUACAGAAAGCUAGGUUAUGAUCAUUGUUCAAAAUAAAUAAUCAAAAGAGAGACAAUACAAAUGAUCAAACUAUUGGACUAAGAUAACAAAGUCUCAAAAAGGCUACAACUUGAGAGAUUUGUAGCCUUCUUGUAUUCCUUAUAAAACACUAUUAACAUCCAAGACUACAAAAAUUUCUGGAUCAUAUUUCCUAAACUGAUAUUUAAAUUAACUGUCAUAUGGUUCACCCGUCAUGCAUAGACUGUUGAAGUAAACACUGAAAUAUUUUUCCUAAUAUAUAAACGGAAGUAGUUAAAAAGAAUGGUUUUUCCUAAGGUUGUAACUAAUAUAAAUACUGAUUAUUUGUAUGCCAAAUCGACUAUUUAUUAAAAUUAACGCGCUUUCGCUUUAGACUAUAUAAUAAAAUUUACAACACAAACAAUAAAAGAGAACAAAUUCAAGGUAUUGUGAUAUAAGUUUCAUUCAGUGAUAAAAAAAUAAGGAAAAGUGGGAUAAAAAAAAUGAAAACAAUACAUUUAAUGAGUGUGGCAGUUGACAAAUAGCUCCAAGAGAAAUUGAAUGAGUAAAUUGACUGUAGAGGUCCAUGAUUCAUGGCUUUACCAAAAUCAAAACAUUCAAUAGUUCUCUUUGUUUGUUUGUUUAUCAUACCAAGACUUUAUACAUAUAUGUAAAGAUAAUGUAACCCAACUGGAUUUGGAUACCAAAACGAUGAAAUUCUCUUUUUUUUUUGUUAUUUGGAUGUGCAAAUCUCACCAAACUAUAGAUUUGAUACCUGUUAAUAUUUAUUUUUUUGGGGGGUCAAUAUUCUCAUCACCCACUGAUUAAGUUCAGUCAUAGACUCAUAGCACAUGCGAGCACAAGGCAAAUUCCGAGACAAUAAAUAAAUAAUAUAAAAAGGGUGCAAUCCAUAAAACACCUAGAGAGAAGGGAGAAGAAUUAGCCCUUCACACUUGAGAACAGUAAACAGAAGAACAAAAGUGAAAGAUAGUAGUUUUUUUUUUUUUGUCAUCUGGUAGAUUUAUAUUAACUUGAAAGGGGAGUACACAAAGCCAGCAAAGAUGAUUAAACCUUUCUGGAGCCAUAAGCCGGUGAGGUGAUGAACACCAUCCGGAGGCACAGAUUGAUACAAAUUUGAAACUAGAAACUAGACUAGAUGAAAGCACAUAAGAGGAGGAUGGUUAAGAUACAUGAGAUUGCAACAAUGGUGAAGUUGACUGGAUACGGACGAUGAUUAGAGAGUGAGAGCAGUGCACACCUAAUUAACUGAGUUUCAAGGUAGUAUCCAAGAGCGCUUCCAACAGCGAAACCCGCUCCAACACCACACAAAGAACUACCGGAAACUCAAUCACAAUUAACACACGCUGAGAAGAACAAAGAAGUAGACUGGAGGAACAAGAACAUCACCAAAACAUAAACUGAAUCGCGAGAGGUUAGAAUCCUUAACCGUAGCUGAACACACUCUUCAAUCCCAACUUCAACUCGCCAUUGGACCUUGAGAGGGCUCUCUACGCGCCUCAUACGCACCAACUCCUUGCCGUAAAAACUUUUAGGAACUUACGACUUAUUCACACAGCCGGUAACUGGAUAAAAACCACUCGAAAUCCAAGACUAAAACGAUCACCUCGGUGGAAAUCGACCAACAAUGAAGCAUUUGUUCUGUUACACAUCUAUCUCCUUCUGAUCCUCUCAGAGCUAAAGAAUCGCACGCACAGGCUCUGCCCAUCAAAGAUCAAACAACCACCAGAGAUGGCUCCAACGAACCGAGACUGCACUCCCAAGACUAAGCAAAACUCCAAACCACAACCGCAGCUAAACCUCACGCAUCCCUCCUCAAUGGCCAUCACCAAUGACAUUGCUAGGGUUUGGGCCUCACCGAACAGAGAAAAUUGGGACACCAAACCCUAAGCCAACUAAAUCCGACCCCCUACAGACCCUCCUAAGCUCCUACAACUCACCUUCACUCCAGAUUGAAAGAGAGAAGCUUCAAAUCGAGAUCUGACGACCAGAUCUGAAUGACUCCGUCAACUUCCGUCACCAGGGCGAGAAGCAUAUCACCGAAGGAGAAGAGAGCUGGCAGGGGGCAAAGAAACAAGAACCAACGGAGCCGUAACCGACGCACGCGCCGUCACGGCCAGAGUGAGAUGAGAUCUACGAUGUCUUCACGGGCGGCGCACUUUCAGAAUAUUUUCACAACUUAAGAGAUCCAAUAUUUAAAAUUGUGAAAGAUAGUAGUUUAAAAGUGUGAUUUAGGAAUGGAUGGGCCACAAAAGUCUAAUAUAUAAAUUACAAAGACAAAGUUUAAUGCAUGGCUAUGUGAAAAGUUUAGAGUAGUGAGUGCAUAAUUAUUGGAAGUAGGACCAAACAACUCUUGACUUUUCAUCCUUCGGGAUUGGAAUUUAGGUUUAAUAUGUUUUCUUAGCAUAACCUCUUUUUGUUUCAAAAAAGCAUAACCUCUUUUAUUCUCUCAUUCCAUGUUUUUUGGCCUUCUCAUCAUAUAUCACGGAGAUACGCUACAAAGUAGUAACAUGUGCAUCCAUCUACACAUUCGUAUAAAAUAAGUUAAAUUGUAGAUUAUUAUAUGAAAGUUAAUAUUUAGGGUCAAAUAUAGGGGAUUUCGCUUAUCUUGUUGAAGACAUAGUUGACAAACGAAAAAUGUUGAAGACAAUUUUUUGGCUGAAUAAAUUUAACUCGAUGUAAAUGUGGAACCUAUAGAAAAGCAAUUGUUUAUAAUUGGCUGAAUAAAUGUAUAACUCGAUGGUUGACAAAAAAAAAAUAUAACUCGAUGAAGACGAUUGUCUACAAAAUUUAGCAAAAAAAAAAAAAAAAAAACGAUUGUCUAUAUUAAAUAUAAUUGGCUGAAUAAAUUUAACUCGAUGAAAUUGUUUAUAUUGUAUAUAAUAUGUUCCAUUUUCUCUCUCUCAAAGAUUAAAGAUAGAAAAACGAACAAAAAGAUGAGUGUUUGCAUCUUAUUUUUUUUCUUUCUGUGAAACAGUUUCACAAAGUUAAACAAGAGGAAGAAAAAAAACGAAAAGAGAGAUAAUCUUUGAACAUCUGAGAAUGUAGCAACAAAUUUUUCAUCACCAACAAGAAGAAAAUACUGAAAAGCAGAGCCCCACCUUCUUCACAGUUCCAGAGAUUCCCUGUCCAAAUAUUUCAGAGUAUGAAUUAGGACACAGAAGAAGAAUGAGCAAAAGAGUCAGGUGAAACAAAAUCAUUGACAUGCUAGAGAAUCUCAGACCAAACAUUUAGUACGGGUGUCUGUCUAUAGAGCAGAGAAACACCCGUUACUGUCAAAUCAUAGUGGCAAGGACAAUGAACAUUGUAGUACUCAAUGGCAAGUGAGAAGGUAUAAAUAAAGAGAAUAUUCAUGUAGCUGUUGUGACACUGACCGACAUAUGCAUAUACAAUCCACCGAAUCAAGGAGUGUGUAUCUGCUUUGCAGAAUCUUUAAACCAGAAGAUGUUCAGACACAGGCCUAAAUCUGUAGUGAGUGCUGUAAUUUCACAAUGCUUCUUACAGAUUCAUAUAAGUACAACAUAGUGACUAGCCACGAUAUCUAAGAGACAGUUUACAAGUUCAAACAUUGACCAAGCAUAAGAGUUUGUAAGCCUAGAAGUGGGAUAACAUAAAUGUUCAGAGGAAUGUAUCUUCUGAACAUAUGCUAUAUGCAUAUAUAAUCAACCAAAUAAAGGAGUGUAUCUUCUUGCAGAAUCUUUAAAGCAGAAGAACAGAGCUAAGUGUGUAGUGCGUGCUGUAAUCACAAAGCGUCCUAAGGAUUUAUAAAUAGCAACACCAAAGUAACUAUAGCCAUGAUAUCUGAGAAACAACUUACAAGCUACUACUGAGUAGUACUUUAAGCUAAAUUGAGUGCAAAAAGAACUCUCUAGGACUAACAAAACCUGCAGAGAGUCGAGUUAACGAUGGAACUAGGCUUAUCCAAACUUGAGACAUCACUGAUUGAGAUGGCUUACAAGAACAAACAAAUGCAAAGAAGAACAAUUCGUCAAAGAAGACUCUUUCCUCAAAACUGAAUCCAAUAUUAGUCAAAUGUUCAAAUCUAAACACCAACCAAUCUCAUUCAAUUCGGAACCAAACCUAAACCGAAAAAUGGAACCACGAAUAUCUAAUUCAAUCAAAUCACCAAGAAGACCCGAUGAACCGGAGACUAAGACACACAUUAGUGCGUUCUGUGAUUCUUCAUAAGGAUUUAGCAAGUAACACGAAGUGACUGUAGCCUAUCUGUGACACAAUUUACAAGCUCACACAAUAACCAAGCUUAAGGCUUUCAAAGCCUACAAGUAAGAGAACAUAAAUCAAACAUAAUAUAUAUAGUCUAGCAAAUUUGAGCUGCGUCCUGUUAAUCAGCGAAUCUCUUCUUCCGGCUUAGUAAAAAAGCAGAAGAACAGAGCUAAGUGUUCAUUGCCUGCUGUAAUCACAAAGAUUCCUAAGGAUUUAUAACUAACAACCCCAAAGUAACUGUAGCCAUAAUAUCUAAGACACAAUUUACAAGCUCACACACUGAUAGUGUUAAUUACUUCCUACUUAAAGACUAAUGUAUUAAGCUUUUGAGUGUAACAGGAAACAAGACUAACACAACCUGCAGAGAGUCGAGUUAACGAUGGAACUAGGCUUAUCCAAACUUGAGAUAGCUUACAAGAACAAUCAAAUGCAAAGACGAACACAUUUCUCAAGCAUGAUUGAUCCAAAAAAGGCUUAUGCUUGUGGUGUAAAAGAAGACUCUUUCCUCAAAACUGAAUCCAAUAUUAGUCAAAUGUUCAAAUCUAAACACCAAACAAUCUCAUUCAAUUCGCAACCAAACCUAAACCGAAAAAUAGAACCGCGAAUAUCUAAUUCAAUCAAAUGGAACCGGAGACUAACCGGGAAGCUGGAAGAUCGAACCGAGGAGGGGCUACGCAUUAGCGGUCUUAGGGAUAAGAGGAACACCGUUCCCUUGUAGCUUACUCUGUUUAGCCUUGGCUUCUUCCUCGCGGAUCUUCUGCAUCGCGAGCAUCCUCUCCAUCACGAGCUCGUACUCGCACUUCUCGUACACGUGGCGCUCGUCCUCGCACUUCCACGGGAGGAAGAACUCAGCCUGGCGACAUUUGUUGAGCGGCAUCAGGAGAUGAGCGCACUGAUCUCUGUAUCCGAGCGGUACUUUGGCUGCCACCAUCUCUUCCUGCGUUGCGAUCAUCUUCUUCGAUGAACCUGGAACCUCCAUUUUCCUCUCGCGAUCCCUAACCUCUCUCCUUCUUUCUCUUUGGCGACUCCGAUUUGCUUGACCCGGACAUACUCAGGUUUUUUUUGUUCCGGGUCAUAGUUUAAAUGGGCUCAAUUGGUAUACUAAGCCCAAGUUUUAUUCAAUGGUCUUUUACAUUUUUUCGACAACAUUUUAAGUUAUAUACAAAAGAUGAACGAACCACUGAUGGUGGAUUCUGAGAACUGGUCUUUACUUAGCCAAAAAAAAAAAUCAUAAACUUUUAGUUUGAUUUAUUUUAGCAUUCAAUUGUUAAUUUUUUUUUAUUUUGAUCUUGUUUUUACUAAAUUGUUUUAGAUAUACAAAAAUCAACUGUUAAAUCGAUUUUAGCAGUUAAUUUUUCACUUAUCUAAAACGAUUUAGUUUUAAAAAAAAGAUUAAAUAAACGAUUUAAAAGGUUAAAAGUGACAAUGUCUCAAGUGAAAACUUCGCAUUUUUUCUUUUUUAAAUUUCAGUAUCUGGUGGUUUUCUCAAACAACAUACUUUUCGUUUUUUUUUCUUAAUAUAUAUUUCAUAUAACAUGCAUAACUUGUAAUCUUGUGUACAUAUACUAAUUUAACACUACAAAAUUUAGAGAGUUAUCGACUUGUUGGUUAAAAGAUUGUAAUUGAUUUAACACUGCAAAAGCAAAUGUGAGAAGACUGUUUGGAACUGAAAGAAACGAGUACACAAACAGUUGUUCUUUUAAACAAACACAAUUUACACAAGAAAAGAAACAAACUUUGUAUGUAAUGGAAGGAGAGAGAGAGAAAGAGAACAACCACAUUAUAACUUGGACGCCUUCUUCUGCUUAUACCUAGCGGCAGAGAAGAAGUAAACCGCCAUGUUCACAAGGCUAAGCCCAGCCAAAAGCCAGAAGUAGUAAUCAAGAUGACCCGAGUUCAGAUUAUCCGAUAUCCAACCUUGUUCACCGUUCCUCGUCGUGAAAUAAGUCACCAGCGUGAGGAUCAACGAACUCAAGUAGUUCCCAAGAGCAUUAGUCAAAAGAGCCAAAGCACUGCACAAGCUCCUCAUUGCAUCUGGAGACUGAUCAUAGAAAAACUCAAGCUGUCCUAUGAAGUAGAACACUUCCGCCGCACCGAGGAUGAAGUACUGUGGGAUCUGCCAUAACACCGAUAUGGGGACAGGAGCUCCAGACUCAACCAACCCGAGCUCGUUGGCUAAAUGGAGCCUGAUGAUCUCGACAAUCGCUGCAGCUGCCAUACAGAGAACAGAGACGAACAGACCAACCCCCAUUCUCUGUAUCUCAGUGAAUCCUUUGUCUACUCCAGUGAACCGUCUAGCUAAAGGGACGAUGAACCUGUCGUAGAGAGGAACCCAGAUGAUGACGCUAGCUGUGUCAAACGUCCCGAGCGCUGCAGGAGGAAGCUGGAAAGAUCCUAUUUUGCAGUCCAUGGCUCGGCCUUGUUGAACAAACAUUGUUGACAUUUGUGCGUAUACAGCUGAGAAAAUGAUACCUGAAGCCCAUAUUGGGAACAUUCGUAUCAGAAUCUUGAGUUCUUCGACUUGAGUAACUGUGCAUAGUCUCCACGAGUUGGAGAAGUCUCCGGUUUUGGAUUCUUCUUCUGAGAUAACAGCAGCUUUGUCAAGAUACCUGCAUCAAUAGAGACCCCAUGUUAAACAAAGCAAAGCUAUAUAUAUACUCGUUAGGAUAAUAGAUGUUUUAGAAAAAAAUUUGAUUCACAAAAAUAGAUUUUUUGUGUUUUCUAUGAAAAUGUUGUAAAUUUUUUAAAAAAUUAAUUAAUUUAUUGGUUAAAACUUAUUGAAAAUUGAUAAUAACAAAAAAAAAAUUAUAUAUUUAUUAUAGUGAUUUAAUGUGUUUUCUUAGUAACCCCAAGACCCUUGUCUUAGCUAUCCCUGGAACAAGGGACCUCUAACACAAUGGCAUGGCUCCUUUCAGUUGAGCUAGUAAAGCAAAGCUAUUCAUUCCCAGGAAGAAGAUGAAACUUACUGGCAAUCAUCGGUAUGUUCGAUUUUUCGACUUCCAGCAAUAGCAGAGUUCUUGUCCUGCGUUUCAUACAGAAGCAUUGCGUCUUCAGGGACUGUGAGAGUCGAUUUACGGAACGAGGCCACCACCACUUGGGAGAUCCGAGUGAUAGGGCUGCCUCCAGGCUUCUGAAACCUGUAAAGAGGCGUGCCAAAGAAGAAACUUGCAAUGGCGAGUCCCAUGAAGACGGUUGGUAUACCAAAACCUAAACCCCAGCCGCGGUUCUCUUGGAUCCAGACAAGAAGACUAGAAGAGACUAGCGCUCCAAUGUUGAUGGAGAAGUAGAACCAGUUGAAGAAGGAAGCUUUCUUAACUCGUUCGCGAGAGUCCGUGUCAUCGAACUGGUCUGCACCGAAGGAUGAGACGCAUGGUUUGAUGCCUCCAGUGCCGAGGGCGAUCAGGUAAAGCCCACCAAAGAACAUUGCGUACUGUGCUGGUGUUGCUGAUGGACAGAAAGUGCCAAUGCAUUCCGCUGGCUUUAGUGCCGGAACUGACGCUGAGAGAGUUAGCGCAGACAUGCCCUAAACAAAAAACAGAGCAAAGAAAACCAAAACUCAAACUUCAAAUCAAUUGUGUGAUAAGACACAACCAUUGAAAAGGUGCUUACGAUGAAGUAAAUGCCGGAGAAACAAGCGAUGGUCCAGUAUCUGCCCCAGUAAGCAUCGGCUAAGACAGCACCAAUGAGCGGGGUGAGAUAACAAGUCCCCUGCCAUGUGGUGACGUUUCUAGCAGCGGAAACGUUUCCUUGGUGGAGUUUAGUGGUGAGGUAAGUGAUAAGAUUCCCAGCAAUACCAUAGUAAGCUAGCCUCUCGCAGCAUUCAUUACCUACACAUUAAAAACAUCAUCCUCAUAAGGUUAAGAUACAUAAGGAAUAGGAUUGAAAUGAAACGAAAUGUACCUAAAAUGAAAGGACAAGCUUUCCAGUUGCCUGUCUUCUCCUUGAGUGGUGGGUUUCCAUGAAGGUCCACUGAACCAUCUUGAGCAUACAGUUUUGGUUCCUGGUCAAACAAAAGUCAAGAUUACAUCUUUUAGCCAAAGACCAUUGCCAGUGAACAAUAAUAGCAUCAAAAUAGUUUUAACUACAACAUAAUCUGAUCUGCACUGGCAAAGUUUAUACAUUUGGAAUCAUAAUCACCCUCAAGGGUUAUAAAUAAAUACAUGGAAGGGAAUCAACAGCAAUUACCCAGAAAAAUCUCUCAACAAACAAACAUGCAUAAGAUCAUCAAACUCAAGCUCAAGUCAAGAUUUUUGGAGAAAUGAAAACCCUAAGAGAGAGAGAAAAAUCAAAAUCCAGAUUAACCUAAAUUCAAGCGAUUAGAAACAACAUCUAAGAGCGAAAUUGAUGAUCAAACCUGCGAGAUUAAACCUUCUUCGAUGAGAGGUGAUUCUUCUUCAAUGGAGCCCAUCCUUCUCGCUUCGAUUUAAGAUUCCAUCUUUACUCUUUAUUUAUUUGGAAGACGUGACGUGACGUGAUUGUUUUCUAUUUUAAUUUUCCCCGCGACUUUUUUUAAUUAGUUGUGAAAAUAUUAAAUAAAACGGAUAAUAUAAGAAACAAUUAGAAGCGAACUAAUAUAAUAAGCAAAGUACAACGACAAUCUGAUCUUUUGCGAUAACGAUUUCUCUGCUUCUUGACGACGUAAAGAUAAGACUUGUGGGUCGACUUGUCCAUUUUUUUCAACUUGUAUUACUCUAACCAAGAAACGAUAUAUGUUUAUUUGUUGCUCUGUUUUCAAGUUUUUUUUUAUUUUUUCCAACUUGUAUUUACCCUAACCAAGAAACGAUAUAUGUAUGUAUUUUAUUUGUUUCUCUGUUUUCAAGUUUUUUUUCGUUGCUAUGUCUCUCUCUCAGUCUCUCUUGAAUUAGGACCUGACUGGUUCAAACGCAGCGGUUGCGGUUGCGGUUGCGGGAGUUUGUGGAUGCGGACGGUUACGGUUUUUAGCGAUUUUAAGAGAUUUGUACGACUGGUACUGCGGUUAAAAAUUGGUGCGUUUGCGGGUGACUUAUGACUGGUUAACUACCAAAUGCGGUAACAAUCAAAUAAUAAAUUAACAAUAUUUACAUNNNNNNNNNNNNNNNNNNNNNNNNNNNNNNNNNNNNNNNNNNNNNNNNNNNNNNNNNNNNNNNNNNNNNNNNNNNNNNNNNNNNNNNNNNNNNNNNNNNNNNNNNNNNNNNNNNNNNNNNNNNNNNNNNNNNNNNNNNNNNNNNNNNNNNNNNNNNNNNNNNNNNNNNNNNNNNNNNNNNNNNNNNNNNNNNNNNNNNNNNNNNNNNNNNNNNNNNNNNNNNNNNNNNNNNNNNNNNNNNNNNNNNNNNNNNNNNNNNNNNNNNNNNNNNNNNNNNNNNNNNNNNNNNNNNNNNNNNNNNNNNNNNNNNNNNNNNNNNNNNNNNNNNNNNNNNNNNNNNNNNNNNNNNNNNNNNNNNNNNNNNNNNNNNNNNNNNNNNNNNNNNNNNNNNNNNNNNNNNNNNNNNNNNNNNNNNNNNNNNNNNNNNNNNNNNNNNNNNNNNNNNNNNNNNNNNNNNNNNNNNNNNNNNNNNNNNNNNNNNNNNNNNNNNNNNNNNNNNNNNNNNNNNNNNNNNNNNNNNNNNNNNNNNNNNNNNNNNNNNNNNNNNNNNNNNNNNNNNNNNNNNNNNNNNNNNNNNNNNNNNNNNNNNNNNNNNNNNNNNNNNNNNNNNNNNNNNNNNNNNNNNNNNNNNNNNNNNNNNNNNNNNNNNNNNNNNNNNNNNNNNNNNNNNNNNNNNNNNNNNNNNNNNNNNNNNNNNNNNNNNNNNNNNNNNNNNNNNNNNNNNNNNNNNNNNNNNNNNNNNNNNNNNNNNNNNNNNNNNNNNNNNNNNNNNNNNNNNNNNNNNNNNNNNNNNNNNNNNNNNNNNNNNNNNNNNNNNNNNNNNNNNNNNNNNNNNNNNNNNNNNNNNNNNNNNNNNNNNNNNNNNNNNNNNNNNNNNNNNNNNNNNNNNNNNNNNNNNNNNNNNNNNNNNNNNNNNNNNNNNNNNNNNNNNNNNNNNNNNNNNNNNNNNNNNNNNNNNNNNNNNNNNNNNNNNNNNNNNNNNNNNNNNNNNNNNNNNNNNNNNNNNNNNNNNNNNNNNNNNNNNNNNNNNNNNNNNNNNNNNNNNNNNNNNNNNNNNNNNNNNNNNNNNNNNNNNNNNNNNNNNNNNNNNNNNNNNNNNNNNNNNNNNNNNNNNNNNNNNNNNNNNNNNNNNNNNNNNNNNNNNNNNNNNNNNNNNNNNNNNNNNNNNNNNNNNNNNNNNNNNNNNNNNNNNNNNNNNNNNNNNNNNNNNNNNNNNNNNNNNNNNNNNNNNNNNNNNNNNNNNNNNNNNNNNNNNNNNNNNNNNNNNNNNNNNNNNNNNNNNNNNNNNNNNNNNNNNNNNNNNNNNNNNNNNNNNNNNNNNNNNNNNNNNNNNNNNNNNNNNNNNNNNNNNNNNNNNNNNNNNNNNNNNNNNNNNNNNNNNNNNNNNNNNNNNNNNNNNNNNNNCGGAUCCCACUGUGCUGGAAAGUUGUCUUUUUAAUUUGUUUCUUCUAUUGUUGAGAGUACAUAAAUUAUAUUAAAGUUGUUGAAAAUACCUUUUGUUUCUGGAUAUUUUUUUUCCAGUUUAGUUGUGUAAGUUGUGUGUAUUAUGUAAUUAUUAUUAUUAUCCUUAUUAUGUUUGUUAUAUGUUUUUAUUUUAUUUUUAAACUUGUUGCUCUUACCGGACCUUUAAAAAAAUACAUGAAGACUUGUAGAAAUAACUAUAAAAUGAGUGACAAUUCUGAGUAUUUGAGCCUUAAUGGGUUGUAAACGAAUUUAGGUAUUUCUCAUAAGAAGACAAUAUCAUUGGCCUGUUGACAUUGGGCAUGUAAGCUAUUUUUAUAAGACAAGAGGAGUGACCAGGUGGAGAUGUUGUUGCCGCCUUUGUGUAUGUCGGGAUUGUCUCUUGUAUCUCCUGGUGUGGUUAUGUUUGUUUAUCUUUUAUUUGAUGGGUAAUAUGUAAACAAAAAUCAUAUAUAUAAGGUUCAUCAAAGACGAGAAUCAUAUAUAUAAGGUUUACAGAAUGGCUACAAAUCAGGAACAUUUAUGAUCAAGCGAUUUAAGAUGGGGAGAUGAAGAGUUCACCGGUGAAAAAAUAGAUUACGAACAGACACACGGUGCAACUCUGUAACUCAGACUUGUCUGAGACAAUGAUGAAAAGAACUCUAACUCAUGUUAAACGAAGAUAUUUUACAAUAUGGAAAAACUAUAAUUGUUGCUUUUCAUAUAACGUGAUGAAUCUCAUUUAAAAAUGAAACUCAUAAUACACUUGUAGACCCAGCCCACAGAGAAAACAGAAGAAGCAAGGGUUUCCGACCUUCAUAAAUGUAUAUUAGUUUCGGCCAUCAAUGUACAAAGUAUCCUUUAGUUUAGUGGUAUAAAUGUUGGUUUUUAUAUCACAAUAAUCCGGGUUCGAGCCAUGAGCUUGACACUUUUUUCACACUUUUUAAAAGUGGAGUCCACAAAACGCUGACAUGACGGACGCGCUGAGGAGAGAGCAAAAACUCAAUCAUUAUAAUAUAGAUUUCAAACGUAAUAGCACAUAUUACUAAGUAACGAAAUAUUGUUUGUUGUAACGUAAUAAAUUUACAGGGGAGGUCUCAUUUGUUCCUAAGAAUCGCCACCGACUUUGGCGGCGAUAACUGAAGCAUAGUGAGCAAUGUUAGUCUCAGGGGAAUGUUUAAGCCUCGCUAUGACCCAGAACAACUCAGAUGACUUCACGAACUGUCUGCAGAUCUGGUGGUUCGAACACAUUUUUGCCAACGAAAAGAGUGCAACCUUGAGCGGUGACUCACUUGCUGUCUCUUUCUUGCUCGGAUUCAAGGCCACAACCGAGCAAUCCGAGACCAACUUUAGUAACGUCUGCAUCACAAAAUACGCAAAAUGAGAAAUCAGAUUCAUGCCUGACUAGGCUAUAUGAACACAAAAUCCCGACAAGACUUAAACAACAGGCUUCUGUUUUUGACCUGAGGAAUUUAAAAGUAACAAUUAAUUAACUAUAUUUGAUCCGCGCAACUGCGCGGAUUUUUGUUUUCAUUUAUUUUUAUAUAAACAUUUUGUUUCAAUUCUAAAUUGGUAUAUAUUGUAAUAUAUAUGUGUUUAUCAAUUUUUAAAACAAAAUAAGUUUACGGUAUAUUUUUUUCAUUGAAUAGAUUGUUUCAAAUUUUCACAUGUAUUUGUAUCUUCUUCUAUAUAUAUAUUUUUGGAUUAUUAUUUCAUUAUUAAAAUCGUAACUAUAUAUAUAAUGAUUAGUAAAAUAUUGUUUUAUUGUCAUAUUCAAAGAUAUUGUAACAUUUCAAAAAUUUAGAAUGUUUUUUAAAAAUUAAAAUUUUCUCUUCAUAGAUUUAUAUUAUCGAAUAAAUAAUUAAACAUUGAGUUUUUGUUUAAUGAUUAAAAUAAACUAUAUAGUUAAAAUUUGUUUUCAUUGGUUUAAGAUAGUAAAGAUUAAUCAUUGUUAGAUAAUAUGAUUUUUGUUAUUUAAAAAAAAAUCUUUAUAAUUUUAAGAGUUAACAUCGACAAAUAUUUAAAUAAUUAACAUAUGGAUGUAUAGUAUUACGACAUUAAAUUAUAUCUAUUUAAUUUAUAUUAUCUAUAAAUCCAAUGGAUCAUCUAUUGUUUAAAUUCAAUUAUUGAUAACCCAAUAAAAAUUUCUGGUAGGUCCAAAAUUUAAAUGAUAAUAUUAGAGAUUAAAUGUAACAUGACUUUCUAGAAAUAAGUCCAUUAGGUUCAUUUUUUAAAAAAUCACACAUGAAUCAAGGUUGUGACUUCUGUUUUAAUAUAUAAGAUUCUACGCAUAAUUAAUUAUAUAUAUAUCAUUAGUAUCUACAUUUGAACUAACACAAUAUAAUCAUUAUUCUUAAAUUAUUUCUAAAAUCUGAAUUUCAACUAAUAUUCAAAGUAGUUUCUAUAUUUUACUCUAGCGAUUUCAACAAUUAAUAAGAUCGAUUAGCAUAUAUAUGAAACCGUUUUGAUUUAUUUAGAAACUGAAUAUUACAUUAUACUUAUUUUCCAAACUCAGUAUAUCUACACUUUUAACCUAGAUUUAUGUUUUAUUUUGAAUAUACUAACCCAAAAUUAUGAGACCCUUCUAUAAAUACUUUUCCCAUUACUCUAUAUUCAUCCGCAAUUCACAAAAAAAAACAUGUCUAACUAGAAAAAUAAGUCUCUUUUUAAAGAUGUCAACCUUUUGAAAAUCGGUUGGCUAAUUCACGUGAAAUUGUUUCAUUCGCCAAAUCUAAACGAAGUGAUUUAAUUUGUAUUUAUAAUACAUUUAAAAAAGCGAACGGAACUAUACAUUUACCAAAUCUAAAAAUAGUGUAUAAUAAGAAGCAAAACCACCCUCAAUUCAAAUAAUAAUCCAAUGAUAAUUUAACAAUAUUCAUGUACAAAAAAAAAUAUAUAUAUAUAAUUUAAAACAAACACCCAUGCGUCCGCACAGGUCCAAAUAUAGUUAGAAUUAAUGGUAAAAACUGGUUAAGUCUAAUUUUGGUUUUGUUUUGUUUAUUGACAUAAAACCGAACUUGUUGAAGAAUGAAUCUAAUCAUGUACGUAAAAUGAUGGUCAUAAUCGGUUAAAUCAUUUAUUUAUUUAUUAAUUGUAUAAACCAAACAGGUUUAAGAGUCACUCUUAUGAAGAAUAGGUUAAAUUCGAUUUAGAAUUAUUUAUAUAAGUAUAUAUGUACCAAGGUUGCCGUAUAGGAGAAUGUUACUAUACUCGUGCAUCUAUAAUGUGAUUCAUUAAUGAUGAAAAAAUAUUUUGGUAAAACAAACCAAUAUUAUAGGCAAAGUAGUUAUUAUAAUCGAUAACAUAUGAAGUGAUUUAGUUAUGAUGUCAAAAUGUUAUUUAGAAAUAAAUGAAACAUGACAUUCUAGGAAAAGUCCAUUUUUUAAAUAUCACAUGAAAAGAAAUUGUGAGUUUUAUUUUAAUAGAAUAAAUUUGAGCUUCGGUGUGGAUAAAAAUAUCAGGGACGGCAAUGAUAAUAGCAUCUGCAUUGGAAAUCUCCUUUGCCUAUAUCUUGGCACCUACUAACCCCUUUUGGCCUCUUUUUGGUACAUUCGGCUGUACAUUGCUUAGGAUCACAUUUUCCAGUAUUGUUUGGGUAUGCUUCAACACAAGUUUUUUGUGUGGUUGGUCCUCCUUUCUGAGCAGACACCACUACUCCUGUUAUUAUAGUAAUUGAAAUAUAACAUUAGUUUUGUAUUUAAAAAAGAAAAUUAAUAUUUUUGUAAAAUAUAUGUUUUGAGAGUUUUCUUUGCAUAUUUAUCAAAAUGAUAUUUUAAACAUAUUAUCUCUUAAUCACUGAUCAUUCUUGGAGAAUUACUAAAUCAAUAUAAUGGAACUGGACAUACAAUUUAUAUAAACAUAUAAAAUAAUACAGCAUCAAAAUAAAUUUGUAGUAUCAUGUUUAUAUAAUAUAUACUAAAAAGUUGUGAAGUAAAUACAUACCUAGUAGAAAGAUUGUCAGCAUAAUGAAGCCAAUAAGCGAAGUCCGAAAAGAAAUUUUCAUCUUAGAUAAUGAACUAAUUGUGUUUAAAAAAAUUAGAACGAUAGAGAAAUAUAUUUAUAGACGAAUCACAUAUUGAAACAUAUCUAAUUUAAGCUAUGUUUCUUUUAAAAAUCCGAUAUAAAAGGAUAUAGUUUGACCAAUUUUUUAAACAAUUUUGUAAUUUAUUAUUUAUUUAAUAGAUAAAUAGUUUGACUCAUUUAUUUGUAAGUUUAUAACACAAAUACAAUGAAUAUUCAAAUAGUUAACGACCAUUUGUUCAAAUAAUAAUUCCCACAUAAUAAUUAUCGAAAAUAAAUAACAAACCAUCAGCAAACAUUAGUGGAUCAUAUCUUCCAAAAAAAAUAUGGUGCCUACAAAUAUUAACACAGUCGUUACAAAUAUUUGAGGGAUGAUAAUGACAAUUAAUAAAUUCAACACAAUAAGUGCAAUUCACACAAAAGUUUUUGAGAGGAAACGACUAAGCAUGCUGCUACUAUUUAAACAGAUUAAGCAAGGACAAAUCUCAUUGAUGUAAAAACAAAGCUUUGUUUAGUUUAAAGAUCCUACCAAAACAGAUGUGAGUCUCCUUGAAGCUCUUCACUAAGAUAAUUACCAAAGUUGGUGCAACCUCUUUUAUUGAAUUUCAUAGCUACAUGAAGGAGAUGUACCAACGACUCAUCCUAUUACCACUUGUGAAGAACCACUACAUGGAACCAUCUUGAAGAACACUAUGUCAAAGCUAUCAUUCGUAACUUCUAUGAAAAUGAUGUCAUUAAUGGUCUCUUUCAAUUAAAUGUAGAAGCUGGUGGUGUACAUGAAGAAUCAACAUAUCUUUAUGAAGUUCUCCUACUAUGUACUAGAAUGAUGGAAGAUGGCGAGUAAAUACUCCGCUAAUCUCAAUUGGCUCGAAUACACAACCUUGAUUAACGGCUGAUGUAACAACAUAAAGACAUCUUUCCAUGGAUCAAGAGUGUCAAGAAAUAGAAGAUAUCUCAAAUCUUUGAGGAAGAUGAUACCAAGCAACCUUUAUCAUCUUAAUUAUACGACAAAUACAUGUGCAAAGUGCUACUACUAUAAGCAAAUAGUGAAGUUCGUUUUUAUGAUAUGGCAACAUCACAUCUCAAAGAGUUGUUGUGCUGUUAUACGAUGAAGACAAACUUUGUCAUUUGCUAAUAAUAGAAGCAUUUUCAAGAGUUGUUGUGUUGGAAGCUUUAAUUUCAAGUUUAUAAGUCUAUGGUCCACACUUCACACCUUUUAGACGAGGUUGUUGCAGCAUUUUCCUAUAUCUAUGUGUAAAUUGUACAAUGAUGUAUAUUUUCUUUUGAAAAAAAAUAAUGAAUUCCAAAACACAUAUGGCAAAAUCUUACAGAAACCAUGCCUUCUUAAAUAACCAUUUUCAAAUGAAAAACAAAGCCACUUUCAAUUAUUACACAUUUAAAAUGACUACUUAUAAUUUAGCGGAAAAAAAAAGACUACUUAUAAUUAAAUGAGGUUGGCAGCUGAGUUGGACGAAACAACUCACCCUGUGUAAAAAGGCGUUCCACAAUAAUUCAUUUUUUCCAUAUAAAUGCGACUACAAAUCAGUUCUUUUAAACAAGAGGGAGAAGAAAAUCACUUGGGCGAACUCAGCGACAACACAAAACUCCCGUGCGUUUCAAAGGAAUCGAGCAUUUCAAUAAUAAUCCCAUGGAGCAUAACUCAACUCUAAAAUAGAGUACCAUGGAGCAUAACUCAACUCUAUUAUAGAGUUACUCUCUUUUAUUUUUCACUCUAAAAUAGAGUACCAUGGAGCAUAACUCAACUCUAUUAUAGAGUUACUCUAUUUUAGAGUGAAAAAAUAAAGUGAAUCAUUGGAGAUGGUCUAAUGUUGUUGCUGUUUAUUUGUCUCUUUACCAAACGGGCAGAGAAUAAAAUUCUAUGUAUUACCAAAAAAAGAAAAAAAUAAAAAUUGGUUCCCAACAUUAACUUUUUUUUGUCAACUUUCAAAAAUAAAUUUUUAUGCUUAAAUAAUAAACAAAACAGUUACAUUAUGUUGAAUCUAUAGUUUUUUAGAAUCUAAUAAUUAAAACACAAAAAUACAUAUUUAAAAUUUAUACCACGUUGGGAAGAAGACUUUUUCAAGACUUCUUCCAUCAUGAAAUGCAUUAAAAGAGUUCCCAAGAAGUCUUCGAGAAGUCUUCCGAGAGUAUUCUAGAAGUAGGCAUGGGCAUUCGGGAUCCCAAUCGGGUUUCGGUUUAGUCCAAUCGGGUUUGGUUUUUCGGGUUUAUCAAAAUCAGUCUCAUUCGGGUUAUAUGAAAAUUCGGUUCGGGACCGGUUCGGGUUCUAUCGGGUUCGGGUCGGGGUUAGUAAAUCUUCAAAGAACCGGUACAAUCCGAUGUACUUUUGGGUUCGGAUACCAAUCGGUUCUUAGGUUUAAAUGUACCUGAUUUAUAUCUACUUCGUAACCAAAAAAUAAGUAAAAUCGGUUCUUCGGUUUUAAAAUACUUGAUUUGUACCUAUUUUGUAACCAAAACAUAAAUAAAAUCGGUUCAAAAAAAAGAAAGGAACAUCAAAUGUGAUCAUUCAAAAUAAAAUAAAAGAUAAACAUAGUUAUUGAUCGAAAGAAAACCAAAUAAAUGAAAGCAUAAAACGAAAACCAAGUUCUCAUGAAAUAAAAAUCAUUAUUCAAUGAAAACAAAACCAAAAUCUAAAAACUUCAACCUUCAACCGCCACCUUCAACAAUCAAUCUUCAUAUAAUAGAUAAUUAUUUUAGAUGUUCAAUAUAUUUUGAAUACAUAUUCGAAAUUAAGAUCAUGUUUGGUACAAGUUAUUUUUGGGAAUUUUGAAUGUUUCGGGUUCUAUCAGAUAUCCAUUUAGGUUCGGGUUCGGUUCAGAUAAUACCCAUAACCCGAAAUAGCAUAAUACAAGAUCCAUUCGAUAUUUAUACCGGGUUCGGAUCGGUUCAGAUUCAUUUUUAUCGGAUCGGAUUUUCGGGUUCGGUUUAUUUGCCCAACCCUAUCUAGAAGUCUUCCAAAGUCUAAUUCAGAUCUGAAAAAAUAUACAUAUUCAAAUACAUUCAAAAUGCUUCAAAACAGAAAAAACUUCAAAAUAAUUUUUUCAUGCAUAAAUAAUAAACAAAAAUUCACAUUAAAUUGAAUCUAUUACUUUUUAGGAUCUAUUAUAUAAAACACACAAAAAUAUAUAUCAAAAAUGUGUGCCACUUUGGGCAGAAGACUUCAUAAAACUUCCUAAAGACUUCUUGGGAAGUCUUCUAACAUAAAAUGCAUUAGAAAAUUUCCCAAGAAGUCUUCCAAAGUCUGACUCGGAUUUGAAAAAACCUGCAAAUUCAAAAAAAAAAAUCAAAUGAUUUUAAAACAGAGAAAAAAAAACAAAAACAAUCAAAUUAGAUUUGAAUCUAUAGCUUUUUUUAUAAUCUUACAUAUAAAAUACAAAAAAUACAUAUCCAAAAUUUAUAGAUUUACCUUUGAAAGAGUGAAAAAUGAAACCAUGUAAUGAAAACUCUGCAAAAAAAAAGAUGAAUUAUUGAGAAAGACAUAAGAAAAAAAUGAGAACUAGAUUUAAAGUUUGGUGUUUUCUAGUUCAAACAUAUAAUAUAGAGUUUGGGGAGUUUUAGAGUGAGAAACAUUAUAUUUUUGCUGCAGCUAUUUGAUAUGAAGAGAGAGAAUGUGUAAAUUUUCGUUAUAUAAGGACACAAAAAAUCUAAUUAUGUUUAAUAUUUUUGGUUCAGAAGACUUCCCAGAAAAUCUUCUAAACCCAAAAUUUGAUAUUCGUCCGAGAAAGUUUUUCAAUAAGUCUUCUAAUGCAUUACAUGUUAGAAGACUUCUGUAAAAGUCUUUUAAACCAUAAAACCAAAUAAAUAACUAAAUACCAACAAACACUUUUUUAAACAUAUGAUCAACUUAUAAAAUGUUGAAUAUACACUAUACUAAAAUCUAACCCUAAAAGUACAAACAAUACUAUAACAUAUGUUAUCAAUACCUAAACCAAAGACUAUCAUGACUCAAUCUACAUUCAGCCACCUAUGUUGAAAACAAUUCAAUUUUAGUAAAUCUAAAUUUACAUCAUUUAAAAAUAUUUAUUAUAUGAUUUAGAUUUUUCCCACAUGAAAUUAUAUUUAAUAAAUUUAUAAAUUAUUUUUAAGAUCAAAUAUAUGAGAAUAUUUUCCAAGGAAGACUUUCAGAAGACUUCACAUUAGGUGGUAAACCUAAAUUUCUAAAUUAAUGAUUAGACGGGAAACCAACAUUCUACUAGAAUGGUAUACUUUGUUGUGAAGUCUUCCAGGAAAUCUUCUAGUGCAUUAUAUGUUAGAAGACUCUUCCAACCUUAUAAUCAAAUAACUAACUAAAUAACAAAAAAACACAUCAUUAAAUUUAAAUCAACUUAUAAAAAAUUUAAUGUACACAAAACUAAACACAUAUAAGUCAAAUUUAUUUAUUUAAAAAAAGAAAUUAACAUUCCAAAAUCUAACCCUAAAAAUACAAACAAUAGUAUAACAUAUAUGUUACCAAAUCCUAAACCAAAGACUAUCACGACUCAAUCAGUUGCCAAAACAAAAAUAGACUAUCAUGACUCAAUCCGCAUUCACUCAUCUAUGUUAAAAAUAAUUCACUUUUAAUAAAUAUAAAUUUAUAUCAUUUAGAAAUGUUUAUAAUUACAUGAUUUCAAUUUUCCCAAUCAAAAUAUUUGUAUAAAUACUUUACGAGAAGACUUACAAAGAAGUCUUCUCAAAUAAGUCUUCCUUCGAAGUCUUUUCACGCUAAGGGUUAUAGGGUUAAAACUCUACACAAACUUUUUGUGUUGGUCAUAAGGUGAUUGUUGUAAUUUCACUAGUAUUUUGAGUUAUUUUUCAUGUGAUUGAAUUUGAGGUACACUUUUACAUUUAAAAUCAAGUUUGAAUCAUUUUUUGGCAAAUUCCCUAGUUUCAAAAUUAGUGGCAUUUUGUGUAAAUCUCACAUGACCUAAAGGUUAGUUCUAGUAUUUACUUUUCUUCUAAUAGAAAAAUGAAUAAUUUUCCAAAAUUAUUUUAAUAUAUAAAGCUCAGUUAAAUCUUCCUCCAACAAAUAAAUAAUAAAUUAAAAUAUAGAAAAUAAAAUAUCAGAAAACAAGCCACAUAAAUAAUAUAUAUAUAUAUAUAUAUAUUAUAAAAUACUACUAAAUAAAUUUUCUAUUAAAAUAGUACAUAAUCAUAAAAAUACAUAUACUCCAAAAGUUAAAACGGAUUUCAAUUUAGAUUUUAGAGUUAUGGUUUAGAGAUUUGUAUUUAGGGGUUAAGGUUUAUAGUUUAAAGUUUAGAAUUUAGGAUUUAGGUUUUAAAAUUAUGAUAACACAUAUUUAUUUUGUUUAAAUUUAUUAUUUGUGAAAUGUAGUCGAUUUUUUUCAUUUUUGUGAUUUAUUCGUUUGUUAAAUAAUUUUGUGAUAUUAAAGAAAAUUUGCUGGAACAAAAAUCUCAUCUUAUAUAUUAAAACAGAAGUCACAAGUUUGAUUCAUGUGUGAUUUUUAAAAAAAUGGACCUAAUGGACCAAUUCUUAGAAAGUCAUGUUACAUUUAAUCUAUAAUCUUAUCAUUUAAAAUUUGGGCCUACCAGAAAUUUUUAUUGGGCUAUCAAUAAUUGGAUUUAAACAAUAGAUGAUCUAUUGGAUUUAUAGAUAGUAUAAAUUAAAUAGAUAUAAUUUAAUGUUGUAAUACUAUACUUCCAUAUGUUAAUAAUUUAAAUAUUUGUCGAUAUUAACUUUUAAAAUUAUAAAGAUUCUUUUUUAAAUAACAAAAAUCAUAUUAUUUAACAAUGAUUAAUCUUUACUACCUUAAACCAAUGAAAACAAAUUUUAAACUAUAUAGUUUAUUUUAAAAAUUAAACAAAAACUAAAUGUUUAAUUAUUUACUCGAUAAUAUAAUUCUAUGAAGCAAAAAGUUUAAUUUUUUAAAAUCUUUCUAAAUUUGUGAAAUGUUACUAUAUUUUUGAAUAUGACAAUAAAAAAAUAUUUUACUAAUCUUUACAUAUAUAGUUACGAUUUUAAUAAUGAAAUAAUAAUCCGAAAAUAUAUAUAUAGAAGAAAAUACAAAUACUUGUGAAAGUUUGAAACAAUCUACUCAGUGAAAUUUUUUUACCGUAAACUUAUUAUUUUUAAAAAUUGAUAGAUACAUAUAUAUUAUAAUAUAUAACAAUUUAGAAUUGAAAACAAAAUGUUUAUAUAAAAAUAAAUGAAAACAAAAAUCCGCGCGGUUACGCGGAUCGAGAUCUAGUUAUAUUUUUAAUUAAUGAAAACUUCGGUACAUAUUCUUCGCCCGUAAUUUAUUGUACACACAUUACGAUCUUAUUAAUGAUCAAUCAAGAUUUGAAAACAAAUCUCCUAUAUAUUAAUUGAGAAACAUUUGAAAAAUUAGAACCUUAAUUUUGUAUUAAUUAAAAAAAACCCUAAAUCUUAGGUGGCACUGUAAAUGUCUUCUAAAUUCCAUUUCAAAGAAUUCUAGAGCAUCUAAUGUAAAGUAUAGUUUAAUCUAAUGGUGUCACAUUAUUCCAUAAUUAUAUAACACUAGAGAAUUUAUAUUAACCUAAAAUAUAGGAAGUGUGUAUUCUUUUCUUAAAUAAAAGCGACGAAAUUACCUAAUAUGAUUUACAUAUAUAUAGCAAUUAAUGAUUAUGAAUAAUAAAGAUUUGAUAACAUUUUUUGCAUCCUUAUUCAUUUUUGUUUAAAUUUAUAUUAUUAAAAAAAAUUAAACAAUCACAUUAACCAUAUAAUAAAAAAAUUAGAUUUUUUUCUUAUAUGUUAUAUUUUGAAUUUUUUAAAAUGACUUUAAAAUUACAAAAAUAAGGAAACCUUAUAUGUUAUAUUUUUUUUUAAAAUGAUUUUAAAAUACAAAAAUGAGGAUAUCUUAUAUGGUAUACUUUUCUUAUAUGUUAGAAUUUUCUUAUAUGUUAUAUUUUGAUUUUUUUAAAACGACUUUAAAUUACAAAAAUGUAAGUUUUCCUUAAGUAUACGACUAAAAACAUUAAAAUGACAUGUAUCAAUUCGAUGGUUGAUUUGAAAGCUUUCAAAACCAUAUGGAAGAUAAAAGUCAAAAUAAUUUAACUGUGGAAACAAUACCGUUCAUUUUUUUCAAGAAUGUGUUCGAUAGAAAAAAUAAGGUUUUUAUGUCAUAAUUUGUUUAAUGUCCACUAGAGAACAUUAUAUUAACUUAAAAUGUAAGAAGUGUGUAUUCUUUCCUUAAAUAAAAGCUACAGAAUUACCUAAUAUGAUUUACAUAUAUAUGACAAUUAAUGAUUAUGAAUAAUAAAGAUUUGAUAACAAUUUUUUGCAUCCUUCUUCAUUUUUGUUUAAUUUUAUAUUAUUAAAAAAAUAAAAAAUCACAUUAACCAUAUAAUAAAAAAAUUAGAUUUUUUCUUAUAUGUUAUAUUUUGAAUUUUUUAAAAUGACUUUAAAUUACAAAAAUGAGGAAACAUUAUAUGUUAUAUAUUUUUUUAAAACGACUUUAAAAUACAAAAAUGAGGACACCGUAUAUGUUAUAUUUUUCUUAUAUGUUAGAUUUUUUCGUAUAUGUUAUAUUUUGAAUUUUUUAAAACGACUUUAAAUUACAAAAAUAUAAGUUUUCCUUAAGUAUACGACUAAAAACAUUAAAAUGACAUGUAUCAAUUCGAUGGUUGAUUUGAAAGCUUUCAAAACCAUAUGGAAGAUAAAAGUCAAAAUAAUUCAACUGUGGAAACAAUACUGUUCACUGUUUUCAAGAAUGUGUUUGAUAGAAAAAUAAGGGUUUUAUGUCAUAAUUUGUUUAAUGUCUAACCCGAUCAACCUAUGAUCUAUUAAUUAUAGUUUUGUUCCAUUAUUUUUAAUAAAAAUUGAUCCGAUCCAUCGGAACGAAAUUAUAUAAUAACAAUAAAAAAUAUUUUAUAUAUAUAAAUAAAAUGAUCAAAUAUUUAAAAGAAACUAUCGAAAUAUAUACAAAUAAAGUCUUAUCCUAGUCUCAUAUAUAUAACUCAAGGAAACUUAAAGUGAAUAGGCGUCAGAAAUGUAAACAAUGUAUAAAUUAAGGAUUCAAAUACCUAACGCUAGGUACAUUAUUUCCUAUAACAAACAGCCGUUACAAUUAUGUGAGAGAUGAUAAUGACAAUUAAUAAAUUGAAUACAAUAUGUGCAUUUCACACAAACGUUUUUGAGAGGAAACGGCUACGUACAUAACCAGCGUUGCUACUAUUUAAACAGAGUAAGCAAAGACAAUCUCACAAUCACAAGUGUAAAACAAAUGUGAGCCUCCUUGAAGUCCUGCACCAAGAUCUACUUAGAGUCACACCAAAGUUGGUGAAACCUCUUCUAUUGAUUUUCAUAAUUACAUGGAGGAGAAGUUCACUUCGUCAGACAGCAGAAAGGUGUACCAACAAGGCAACAACUCAGCAUACCACUACAUGAAAGUUGUCGAGGGAUGCCUAGAAAACAACAACCUUGAAGCACACACUAUCUCAAAGGUAUGAUUCAUUGCUUCUACAAAAAUGAUGUCCUUAUUGGUCUCUUUCAUUUGAAUGUAGCAGCUGAUGGUGGACACAAAGAAUCAAUGUAUCUUUAUGGAGUUAUCCUACUGGAAUGGAAGAUGCAAAAAACUACUUGGCUAAUCUCAAUUGGGUGGAAUACACAACUUUGAUUAAUGCCUGACUUUUAUCAUCUUAAUGAUAUGACAAAUACAUGUGCAAAAGUGCCACACUACAAGCAAAUGGUGAAGUUGGGUUUUAUGAUUUAACAACAUCACAUCUCAUAGUCUCAUAGAGUUAUGAGAUGUUGUGUUGUUAUAAUAUGAAGACAAACUCUGUCAUUUGUUUAUAGUGGUAGCAUUUUGAAGAAUUGUUCUGUUGGAGUCUUUACUAUUUGAAUUUCAAGUUUGAUAAGUCUAUGGUUUGCUUAAAAAGAGAAAAAUAAAUCUAUGGUUCACACUUCGUAUCUUUUAGGGGGAUGUAUUCAAUUUAACAUUUGAUGUGAUUUGAUUUUUAAUGGGGUUUUAGAUGAUUUCAAUAAGUUGCAGAGAUUUAAGUGACUUUUGUUAAACUACUCUAGAAUAUCACCUAAAACUAUGGGAUUUGAGUUUUAAUUUUUUUAACUAAGAAAUCAUACCCAAACACCUUAAAAUCACCUGAAAACUUUAAAACUCCACAACUUAAAAUAUUUUCAAUAACAGUGGAUUUCAGAGUACUUUAAAAAAUGUCAAAUUCAAUAACAGUGGAUUUUAAAUGAGUUUUUAAAAUUCAUGUUUCAAUAACAGUGGAUUUGUCAUUUUAAUACAAAUCACCUGAAACUCUCAGUUGAAUACAUCCCCCUUAGAAGAGGUUGUUUUGGUAUUUUCUUAAGUCUAUGGUUUGCUUAAAAAGAGAAAAAUAGAAAUGAAGAAGAGGUUGUUUUGGUAUUUUCUUAAGUCUAUGGUUUGCUUAAAAAGAGAAAAAUAGAUAUGAAGAAGAGGUUGUUUUGGUAUUUUCUUAAGUCUAUGGUUUGCUUAAAAAGAGAAAAAUAGAAAUGAAGAAGAGGUUGUUUUGGUAUUUUCUUAAGUCUAUGGUUUGCUUAAAAAGAGAAAAAUAAAUCUAUGGUUCACACUUCAUAUCUUUUAGAAGAGGUUGUUUUGGUAUUUUCCUUUUUUCUCUUGUGCGUGUGUGGACACUUCUACACUGAUGUGUAAUGUUGUUUUUUAGAAAUAAUGAAUUGGAUAAUUGAAUCUCAGCUGUCAACAUGACACUGCACUGCACAAAUACUUUGCCAACGCCAUUCAUGAAAGAGAGAGAUAGGGGUAUUAAAAUACUUCUCCUAUGGUCUCGGUUACAUAUCAAGAAGUCCAUAGCCAACUAUAUAUAAUUUACCAAAUAAAGUAUGGUCCAAUGUCCCGAUAGUCCUCAACCAUUUUUUAAUCAAGUAGCACAUCUCUAUUGUUGAUCUUAUCAUUUCCCCGAUUUUCUUUGGUGAAUUUUGUCCUCAAACAAGUUAUAAAUUAAAUUUUGCUUUUGAAGUCGUGAACAAUAUUUUAAUUUUUUUAUUACGGAGUGGUUAACAUGAACCCAAUAACUUCGAAAAACAUUAAUAAUAUGUAUUAAUUUUUCUUUCUUAAAAAGAAUUCAAUACGAAUAUGUACCUUAUUCUCUUGACUAGUAGUGGUUCAUGAACUUCCUGUUAAAUAUAGUAAACUAACGUCAACUAACUUCAAUGGAAACACACACACACAAGUAAGGUAUGCUUUGAAAUUUUCUACAAAUAAGUUAUUCUUUAAAUUUUGAGAAAUACCCUAGGAUAACACUAGAAGUAUGAAUGGUGACCAAUGAACGACGAAGAAUAAUACAUUCCCUAACGUUCAUAAAAAUAUCACUAUUCACAAAUGGUCUAACUAGAACCAUUAUAGGAACAUUAUGAAUGAGUAGGAAAAAAAUGCAUAUGAAUAAAAUUAGAGUAAUGAAAAAGAAAUUAUUUCUUAUCAAUUUUAGUGAGAAACAAAUUUAUUAUAUAUUCUUUUAAAAUAAAAAGAAUAAAAAAGAAUGCAAAGGAAAAACUAUUUCUUAUAAAUGAUAAAAAAAAUUAGGAAUAACAAAGAAUUCUUUGCAUUCUUUUUUCCUUCUUAUUCUUCACCAUUCUUUUUUUCUUAAAGAAAUAAAGAACAAAGUUUUUUUUUUGAACACUAAAGAACAAAGUUAUUCCUUGUUAAAUAUGGGUUUGAACAACCCAUUAUUUUUCAUUCUUACAAUUUUAUUCUUCUGGGUUCCUUUCCUAUUUGUUCUUCUUGUGUUUCAGAAUGGUCACCAGUCGGACCCUAAAAACGUUUUUGUCACAAAUAUAUAUUCUAAGGAUUAAAAUAACCAAAUAUUUUAUUAAAGAAGUAAAUAUACACUUAUAUCUCUAGGAUUAACUAAUAUAAACAUUAGAGUUUAGAGUUAAAGGAUGAUGAUUUGAGAUUGAAGUUUAAAAUUUUAUAAUAUAAAAAAUAAAUAUUAAAANNNNNNNNNNNNNNNNNNNNNNNNNNNNNNNNNNNNNNNNNNNNNNAAUAUUAAAAAUUUGUAAUAAAAAUUUGAAAAAUAGUUUCAAAAAGAAUUUUCAAAUUAUAAAAAAAAUUUUGAAAAAUUUUUUAUAAAAAAGUUCGAAUUUGAAAACAUAUAAUCUAAACCUAUAAAAAAAUAAUUUUUUUAGUUUUUUUUAUUUGUAUUUAUAUAUCUAGGGUACUAUCUUUUUUUCUAUUAAAUGAAACAUUUUGAUAUUCUUACCUUAGGAUAUAUUUUGGUAACAAAAACUUGAAAAUGGUCUAUCUAAUAGAAUUGUCCUUAAAAUUUUCUACAAAAUAAGUUAAUACUUGAAUGAUUCCGUAGAGUUAUAGCAGCGGCGACGAAGUCACAGCAACAUGUAUACACAUUACACACAUCGGCUGCAACUGAAUUGUAAAUAUUUGGAAUGGCCUAUUCCAUUAAUUCCAUAAAAAAAUUUACCAUUUGACAUGAAUGGAAUGGAAUACUCAUUCCAUCAAUUCCAAAAAUAAAUAGAAAAAAUACAAAAAGAAUCAUUCUAUAACAAAUUUGAUCAUGAAAGAAUGGAAUGAAUUCUAUUCCAUUUUUUGUUAUAUUCCAUUCCUACCAUUCCAUUUAUUUUAAAUUCCACAAAUUCCAUAUAUGUUUACCAGUUACACCCAUCAACUGAUAAUGUUACAGAAUUACUAGUUUCAAUUUCAAAAAAAUGAAAACCAUGUUGUUAUGAGAAUCAACCAUAAAUUAAUAAAAAAACAUUUCUUGUCCAAAAUAAAAGAAACAAAAACAUUUCCCGUUUUGUUUUAGUAUUUAAUUUAAUAAUAUGGGAAGGAAAAGGAAUCGGAUAAUAUAACAAAUCUAACGGCAGAGAGUAAGAGAGAGAAAGAGGUGUUUGAAUGAGAUUAAACAACGCCGCUCUUCUUCUUCUUCUGCAAUCCUCAUCUCCGCCUAGGGUUUUCUCUUCCACUCUCCGCCGCCCUUUUCUCUCUCACUUCCGCUUCUCUUCUUCCGCCGCAGUCAUGCCUGGUUCCGAACCAUCAUCGGAGAUCCAAUGGCCUGCCAAGACCGUCAGGGACACGUAUUUCGAUUUCUUCAAAGGGAAAGGUCACAAGUUCUGGCCAUCGAGCCCCGUUGUUCCCCACAACGAUCCCACUCUUCUCUUCGCCAACGCCGGUACGUAACUUCCAAUCGCCACGUUUUAUCGAAUCAGAUUAAUCUCGUGUUCUAAUUGUGGAGAUUGCUUUGUGAUCUAUUCACUCUUAGUUGAUUAAGGGUUUGUAGAUUAGAAGAUUCAUAUACUGUCUCAAAUGUCAUGUUCUUGGUUCUCUUAGCUCUGUGUAUAUUUGUUCAUUGUUAUCGAAGCGUUUGGAUCUAUUCAUUCACUCUCAAUUGGUUAAGAGUUUGUAGUUUGGAAGAUUCAUAAACUAUCUCAAAUGUCAUGUUCUUGAUUCUUAGUUAAUUUAAUAUUAUUGGAGAUAAAUUUAAUUUAAUUUCUCUGUUUUUUUUUCAAAAGGAAUGAACCAGUACAAGCCAAUAUUUUUGGGAACGGCUGACCCGAAUACGGAGCUCAGCAAGCUAACUCGGGCGUGUAACACACAGAAGUGUAUUCGUGCUGGUGGGAAGCAUAAUGAUCUUGACGAUGUGGGGAAAGAUACUUACCAUCACACCUUCUUUGAGAUGCUGGGUAACUGGUCAUUUGGAGAUUAUUUCAAGAAGGAAGCUAUUGAGUGGGCUUGGGAGCUCUUGACUAAGGUUAGUUGAACUAUUAGCAUCUUGUUUUGAAAUACGCUAUGGUUCAAACAGUACGUCAUAGUUUCGUUAAGUGGUUCCUUCUAUUGCUAUUGAUUGAUCGAGUUUAUGCAUCAGGUUUAUGGACUACCGACUGAUCGAAUUUAUGCUACCUAUUUUGGCGGUGAUGAGAAAGCUGGUCUUCAACCUGAUAAUGAGGCUCGGGAUAUAUGGCUGAAGUUUCUCCCACCUGGACGUGUGCUCCCUUUUGGUUGCAAAGUAUGUUGCUUUACUACUCUUAUAAAAAACUAAUCGUUUUAUAUGGAAUCUGCUUUGCUUGAUUCUCUCUUUCCUAAGGUUUCUUCAGAAAUGCGAGUAUUUCUUGUAUAUAUCGACACAUUGCUUUGUGAAUGAUAACUACUGUCAAGUUUAAGCUUGAAUGCAUUUUGUGGGAAAUUCGCUAGCAAGUUUUGGUGGUUGACAUGCUCUAAAAACCAGUUUCGUGAUUUCCAGUUGCUACCAUUCUUUCAUUGAACUGUUGGUGAACCUGCAGGACAACUUCUGGGAAAUGGGAGACACAGGUCCGUGUGGACCUUGUACAGAGAUUCAUUAUGAUCGUGUUGGCAACCGUGAUGCUGCAUCCUUAGUUAACAAUGACGAUCCAACAUGUUUGGAAAUAUGGAAUCUUGUGUUUAUUCAGGUACGAACGCUCUUUCCAGAUUUGUAAUUUAGUUCCAUUUUAAUACUUUUCAUCUACGUAUCGUGUUUGUAUACAGGAACUCUACAUUACGUCUCUAGUUGCAUUGUUUUUGCUUCUUUAUCUUUGUUAUUAUAUCCUCAAUUGUUUUCUCUAACGAGACUUAUUACUAUAUUUUCAAAAUAGUUCAACAGAGAGAGUGAUGGCUCACUAAAACCUCUCCCUGCUAAGCAUGUCGAUACUGGAAUGGGUUUCGAGAGGUUAACUUCUGUUCUUCAGAACAAAAUGAGCAACUACGAUACAGAUGUGUUCAUGCCUAUCUUUGAUGACAUUCAAAAGGUAAUUUGUGUAACCUUAAGGUUGUAUGACAUUCUGUUAAUUUCCAGUUAGUAUCUUACGGUUCCUCUUUUGUCCCAUUUAGUACUAUCAUCGUUGUUGUUUAUAUGUCAAAUGGGUCAUGAGUCCUGGUAAUUCUAUGAAUUCUAAUCUUAGGCUAUGUGUUCACUGGGAGGUUACAAUUAUUCUCCUUUUAAGCACACAGUCAUUUGUUUUGAAUGUCUGAUUUAGUGACUUUUGGAGUACAAUAUUCAAGGGAUCAUAGUAUUGGUAUUGGUAUCCCGGAGAUUAUUUCCUUGUUAGCUGUGGUUUUUUUGUCAUGUAUUUUUAUCAGUUAGAAAAGUUAAAAAGAGUUCUGAUUGGUCUUUUUCCCCUAGUUGCUGUGAAUGUUCAGUUAAGGUGUUCAUGCUUUCACAUUUUUAGGCCACAGGAGCGAGGCCAUAUUCUGGAAAAGUUGGUGUGGAAGAUGUCGACCGAGUUGACAUGGCUUAUAGAGUGGUUGCGGAUCAUAUUAGGACGCUAUCAUUUGCUAUCGCGGAUGGCUCUCGUCCUGGUAAGGCCACGAUUUCCUGUCUCACUUUAUACAAACGCCUUAGUAUUUGAUCAUUUAUUUUAGUUCAUACGUCUUAUUCUCCAACGAGAAGUGCUUUUGGUUUAUUUAUUCUUAAUUGACAUGAUGGAUUUGUGCUUUUUCUUCCUCAGUCAGCAUAUUAUGAUAGUCUAUUCUUUCUUGUUGGUUAACAAAUACCAUCCAAUGUACACUCUCUUGCAGGUAAUGAGGGCCGUGAGUAUGUUCUACGGCGUAUUCUUCGCAGAGCAGUUCGCUAUGGAAAGGAGAUCCUAAAAGCUGAAGAAGGUUUUUUCAACGGGUAGGAAACUACACUUGAUUGUCAUUUCAUGGGUUGUCUCAGUAUUUUUUUCGUUGGUGCUGGAACAUGUUCAUUUUAUCUUGCACCUUUGUAAUGCAGCAUAUAUUUCUAUAUGCAUAUUAGCUCCGUCUGUGUUUGACACUAAUUAGUUUGCGCUUUUAACAUGCAGACUCGUCAGUUCUGUUAUUCGAGUGAUGGGUGAUACCUUUACAGAGUUGAAGGAACAUGAGAAGAAGAUCACAGAGAUAAUAAAAGAAGAGGAAGCAAGCUUUUGCAAGACCUUGGCGAAGGUGAGGACUGGCCAUCUAUUUGCAGCUCAAUAUCGAUAAUGCCUUUUUGUUAUAUUAUUUCCAGUUUCGCCCUAAUUCAGUUUACCAUCAUUUCAGCUUUCCUUUUUCUGAAAGAUGAAUUGUUUUGAUAUGUUAAACUUUUUAUUGUCAUAUAUAUGUUAACAGGUGUCUAUAAGAAGGUUGAUUAUAUUAUUUUCAUGGCAGGGCAUUGAGAAAUUUCAGAAAGCUGGACAGGCAGUUCAGGGGAAUACAUUGAGUGGAGAGGUACUUAUCUAACUAUAUCUGUGUUGUAUGUUAGAUGUUACAGUAUUUUCAUCUGUGAUGUUUGAAUUUCCAUCUCAACAUACCGUUUUCUCUUUGCAGGAUGCUUUUGUCUUAUGGGAUACGUUUGGGUUCCCAUUAGAUCUCACACAGGUACUUAGGUCAUUCGUAGUUACAUCUAAUAGUAUAUGCGUUUCUUUAUAACUUUCAUUCUCGGGUUUCAGUUGAUGGCUGAAGAAAGAGGGUUGCUGGUUGAUGUUGAUGGCUUCAACAAAGCCAUGGAAGAGGCGAGGGAAAGAUCUAGAAGUGCCCAGAAUAAGGUGUUUCAACUUUUCUCUCUUUCCUUUGAUGUUAAAAUUAAGUGGGACUAUGGUCAACGCCAAAUUUACGUUUAUGUAUUGACUGAUCUUCUGAUGUCAAUUUUUGGUAGCAAGCUGGUGGUUCCAUAGUUAUGGAUGCUGAUGCUACAUCAAAAUUGCACAAGGCUGGUGUGUUAGCAACAGAUGACUCUUUUAAAUACACUUGGUUCAAGGUUUGUCCUAUUUAUUCCAGAAAAUUUGAAUGUUGGGCCUGAACUGUACUUAUGUUGGGGUAGAAUGAAAGAAAUCGGGGUACAGAGUAGCAUAUGGAUUUCUCUUAAAUUAAGCCUGUGCUGAGCAAAUGUCCUACCAAAUUUUGCGACAGGAUCACGAGAGUGAAGUAAAGGCUAUCUACACUGGCUCUGCUUUUCUGCAAAGUUCAGCUGCUGGCGAUAACGUUGGACUAGUUUUGACGUCGUCUAGUUUCUAUGCUGAGCAGGGUGGUCAGGUGAUCCAGUUUAUUUGAUAUGCACUUUAUUUUUCCGAGUGUUUCAUUUCUAAUCAUACGAGUGAUGGCAAGAAAAGGAGUUAUGUUCAUCUUGGAUAUAUGUACCUGAUAGUAACACCAUUAACACUGUCAUAUAAGAACUGCACUGUUUAAAUAUACGUAUCAGUUGCAAACACCAUGCAAUUGUUAUCGUCGGUUUUGCAAACGAAUAUCUAUAGUCUGUUUAUAGCUGCAUAUAUAUUUUAGAUUUCACAAAUUCUUAUAUGUAUAUAAAAUUCGUGCCCUUAACAUUUUGCUCUGGCAAUAGAUUUUCGAUACAGGACUUAUUGAAGGCUCGUUUGGUACAUUCAACGUAUGUAAUGUCCAAAUAUUUGGAGGCUUUGUUCUUCAUAUUGGUUAUCUCUCAAAAGAAACUGGAGUUGUAUCUGUGGGAGAUAAAGUGACUUGCAAGGUAUCGCUCUGCAUCAUACAGUGUUUGUCUCAGUCACUAGCGUAUCUGGUACUACCUUAACUGUUUGGAUAUCCGUUUUCUCUGUGUAGGUUGACUAUGAGAGGCGUAAGCUCAUCGCUCCUAACCAUACGUGUACACAUAUGUUGAAUUUUGCACUGAAGGUAUUGUUUCUGUAGUUUAAGUUACCUAAAGGGUAAUUUCCUUUUUCUUAAAUUGGAUCUCAAAACAUUCACUUUCCAUGAAUUCAGGAAGUGCUCGGGGAUCAUAUUGAUCAGAAGGGAUCAAUAGUUCUUCCUGAAAAACUGCGUUUUGAUUUUUCUCACGGUACAUUCUUCAAUACGUAUUUUUCAUAUUGAUAUGGAUAUGGAUAUGGAUAGUCUCUUAUAAUUGUCUAACGGUUUCCAUAAUAUCGAGUAGGCAAGCCGGUUGAUCCUGAAGAUUUAAGAAAGAUCGAAGCCAUAGUGAAUAAACAGAUCAAGGAUGAACUGGAUGUAUUUUCGAAGGAAUCAGUGCUUUCUGAAGCCAAGCGAAUCAAAGGUCUAAGAGCAGUAUUUGGUGAAGUAAGCUGUCCACCAGUUCUCUUGCAAUGCAUUUUUAGUUUGUUUUCUGUGAAUCUAAAACGUUUUCGCUUCCUCUGUUUUUAGGUCUACCCUGAUCCUGUUAGAGUGGUGUCGAUUGGGAGACGGGUCGAGGACCUCUUGGCUGAUCCCGAAAACGAUGAGUGGUCAUCACUUUCUUCUGAGUUUUGUGGAGGUUGGUUUCCAUGGGGGAUGUUUUUUGAUCUUUCGGAAUAGAGUAUUGAGUAUUGUAUUAUUUUGGAUAUCGCAGGAACCCACAUAACAAACACCCGUGAAGCGAAAGCUUUUGCUCUUCUAUCAGAAGAGGGAAUUUCUAAAGGUAUUCGUAGGGUAACUGCUGUGACUACCGAAUGUGCUUUUGAUGCAAUGAACGUGGCGUCCUCACUUGAAAAAGAAGUCGAGGAUGCAUCCAAAGCGGAGGGGAGUGCAUUGGAAAAGGUUAUCUCUCUUCUCUCGUUUCUCACAAUCUAAAAAUUUAUAAUAAAUCUUAUUCAUGUCAAACUUAAUGUGAUCAAUUUUGAAUGUUGACAGAAAGUUGCUGCUUUGAAAAGCCGGGUAGACUCGGCAAUUAUGCCAGCGGCCAAAAAGGCAGAUAUAAGGGCCAAGAUUGCUCUGCUUCAGGUAAUCUCUUUCAGCUCUACAUUGAGGAGCUUUUUUUCUGCAUCUACUUUGCAAAGAACCUUUGGCUUGUGUCUGGUAACAGAAGUAUUAAAGUGGAUAUAUUCUUUUUUUUUUAAAUUGCAGAAUGAAGUGAGGAAAGCUCAAAAGAAAAUAGCAGAGCAGAACCUGAAGAUAUCUGUGAAAGUAGCAACAGAGGCAGCAGAAUCUGCAGCAUCAGAUGGGAAGACAUUCUGCAUUAUCCAGCUUGAUGUAGGUCUUGAUGCAGCUGCCGUGCGAGAAGCUGUCUCCAAAGUUAUGGAAAAGAAGGUAAAUCUCCAUUUACUUCUACUAACUACUCUUCGAAAAGGUAAAGAAAGUUAAAUAAAAGUGUUGUUGGUGAAUCUUCUAGGGAAUGUCGAUAAUGGUGUUCAGCACAGAUGAAACGACCAACAAGGCGGUUGUGUGUGCAGGAGUUCCAGACAAAUCUGAUAAAUUCAAGCAAUUAGACGUUACUGAGUGGCUUACUACUGCAUUGGGUCCUCUGAAAGGGAGAUGCGGGAAAGGGAAAAGUGGUCUUGCAUCUGGACAGGUAUGUGUCUGGGUUUUAGGGAUCAUGUGCUAAUGGAUCUCAAUCUCAGUUCCGUCGGUGAAGUAUAUGGUGCAUAGAUUGACUCUUGAGCAUAUGUUGUUGUGGUCUCAGGGAACGGAUGCUUCUCAAGUGAACGCAGCUUUGGAUCUGGCUGCAUCAUUUGCAUCACUGAAACUCAACUGAUUGAUGUGGAGGUGAUUACAGAAUCUGUGUGGUCUGAACAAGCUUUACUCAUUUGAUACCAUUGUAUACCGUUUUACUCAUUUUAAGAUCUACUGUUUUCUCAUUUCUUGUGUCGAAUUCGUGGUACUUCUUAGUCGGUCAAACUUAGCAAUUGGUGGUACCUCUUUUGAGCCAAUCCGAUUAUGGUUCUACUGGUUUGGUUUUAUAUUUCAAUAAUUUAUGGAACAUAACAGCUGUUUACUCGGUUUUUGGGUUUGAUAUGGUUUCAGUUCAGAUUUUGUUUUUCUAAGAUAUUUUUGGUUUUUUGACCAAAAAAAAAGAUAUUUUUGGUUUCUAUUGUUUUAAUUUGAAUUUUGAGAUAAGAGUCGUAUUUGCAAGGAUGGAAAGUUGUAUUGAAUAAUGGAAAACAUAUGUAUAAGAUGAUUUAGAUAGUUUUUGUAUUGAACUAAAUUACUCUAAAUAGAUAAGGUAGGUUUUGGGACUAAAAUUAGACCAUGACAAUAUAUUAUGUUUUAUUUAAAAUUUUGUAAAGCAAUAUAUAACUGGUAUACUUUUGUCUCUCUCAAUGUUUCUUGUCUUCGUUCACAGUCUUCUUUCUCUUUAUUUUUUUUAAAUAUAAGUUUCAAAUGUUUCUAAAUCUUAGUUUAGAAAAGAAAAAUGAGCGAUUUUAAUACAAAAUUGCAAUUGAAACAAAAUGUCGUUUAAUGUUUAAUGUCAUAAACAUCUUAUAGUCGGUUAUUUCACAAGUUACUUGUUUAUCUUUACCAAAUAAGUGCCAUAUUUGUAAAACAUAAUUUUAGAGUAAUGUAAAUCCUAAAUAAUAAAUAACGGCAGUCAUUCGAUAAAAGAAAUAAUAUUCAAUUAAUAUAUAUAUAUAUAUAUAUAUAUAUAUUAGAUUAUCAUAUUGCUUUAAAUUUGAAUGAUAUAACACAUAAGUUUCAUUAAUCAGAUUCUUCAUGUCCAGUAUAAGUAAUGUUUUUUUAACAACGAUUAAGUAAUGUAUAUUUGUCAGGGCAAAUCUCUAAAAUAGCACCUUUCUAAGUUUAUAUCACAAAAAUAGCACUCAAAAACUAAAAUGACCAAAAUAGCACAUUUUUAAGUUUAUCCUUUGAAAAUUUUAAUUUUUUUAUUUUUCAAAAUUUGAAAUCUUAUCCCCAAAACGUCAUUUCUCAACUCUAAACCCUAAACCGUAAACUCUAAACCCUAAACCGUAAACUGUAAACCCUAAACCCUAAACUCUAAACCCUAAACUCUAAACCCUAAACCCUAAACUCUAAACCCUAAACCCUAAACCCUAAACCCUAAACUCUAAACCCUAAACCCUAAACCCUAAAUUCUAAACCCCAUCUUUUAACUCUAAACCCUAAGUUUGUGACUUUUGAUAAAACAUUGAGUGCUAUUUUUGUAACUUUUGAGUGCUAGUUUAGGAACAUAAACUUGAUUUAUUGCUAUUUUUGUCUUUUUCUCUAUUUGUUAUUCGAAAACCAANNNNNNNNNNNNNNNNNNNNNNNNNNNNNNNNNNNNNNNNNNNNNNNNNNNNNNNNNNNNNNNNNNNNNNNNNNNNNNNNNNNNNNNNNNNNNNNNNNNNAAAUGAAAAAAAAAGUAGGCACUAUAUAUAAGAGGGGGGGGGGGUUGAAUCUUUUUGUUGGUAAACGAAUUUUUCUUUGACUAAUGAAAAUAAAUAGUUUAAGGCCUCAGAAAAAAUAGAAACGAAACGUGAACCAACUAAACAUUUGCACAAAGGAGCAGUCGUAAUUAAAGGCUCACCAAUCAACUAUAUAAUCAAAUUAAUAAAACCUUACAGUUUACUUUAGUUUUUUAUUUAUUCUUAGAAACAACAGUUUGUAUUAUUUUGAGAAACAACCUUACAAUUUAUCUUCCAGCUUCAAAAAAAUAUUGUUAAUUUGCUUUAAUACAGUAGUUUAGUGCACAAACUUCUAUACAAAUACGUUAAGCACAAUCCACUAUUCCCUUUGUUUCCGAAAGAAAGAUUUUCUAGAGUAUUCACGCAUAUUAAGAAAACAAUUAAGUUUUUACAAUUAAACUUAUUAUUUAUUUUACUAUACAUUUUUCAAUAAAUAUCAACCAAUAGUAUUCAACCAAUUCAAAAUUUUCAAUUAAUGUUUCUUAAAAGUAUACAACUUUUCAACAUUUACUACUAAAAGUACUUUAAAAUUUUAGAAAAUCUAUCAUUUUGGAACAAAAAAUAAAUCUAGAAAAUCCUACUUUCAGGAACAGAGGGAGUAAAAGAUAUUGAUACCCUGCCAAAAUAAUCCAAUUAAUGCAAGGCUUCAAUCCCAUAAUCCGUUAAUGUAAGGCUUUAAAGCCACAAGAAUACAUGUACAUCUCAAACAUUCAACCAAAAAAGAUUGAUAAAGACGAUUUCCACAUUCAUUGUUUAUACCCCACUUAGCCGCGGAUACAUUCAUAGAACCGAAGAUCCGAACCAAUAAGAUUUAGUGCAGAUUUAAAUCGUAUCAAUUAUACUAGUGGAUCUUAUAUUCCAAAUACACUAAGGUGUAUCUCACAUCCUAGUGUGUGGGUGAAUCUUUGUCAUUCGUGGUGGUGCAGAAGACUUAUCUGUGCAGGUUCGGAAGCGUCACCAAAUUGGUUGUAGUGGCGAGUUCAAGCCGCUCUUUUGGUGGUUGCGGGAUUGCCAACUUGCGUUCAUGAUCGGAUAUUUGUGUGCUCAGUUUCUGUUUGUCUGUGGCCGGUUGGCGAGGCGGUAUAGCUUGCAGUGGCUCAUCCUUAGGUAUUGUUUCUUGUAACUCUUCCCUCAAUUUCUCGUCCUGUGCUUCAUCGCCAAUGGAGAUUAUAGGCCUUGACAAGCUCUCCGAGACCAGCUAUUUCAGGUGUUGAACAUGGAAGACCGACAUCCGAGGAAACAAGGUUAAACCCACCGUUUCCAGAAUCUGCGACAUUGAUUGAGAAUAAAAACUGAAUCAUUUGGAGAUUUUAGAAUAGUCCAGCGGAAUGUGUCUGUUUAGGUGGUUGAUGCGAAGUCAGUGCUAUAAUAUUUGAACUAGAUAAGCUUUGGUUGAAAUCAGAUUGUAAUCGAAAUUGUACUCCCGUUUUUGGGUUUUAUAUAAUAUUUCUAUAUUAGUAAAAAAUUGGUAUUAUAGAAAUAUAUCUUAGUGUUUAUCUCUAGUUAUUUAAGCUAUUACGUGGAAAAUAACAUUUUAAAACAAUGUUAAAAUAGUUGAAACAAAAAAUGCAUUUUUUACCAUGUAUAUUUUUUGUGCUGAAAUUUGAAUUUAAAAGAAUAAUCUACUUCUUGGUAAAAAAAUAAGAAUAAUCUACUUGAGAAAAAAUAUGAACUGUCGUGUAGUAAACCAUGCCUCCAUCGUAUGAUGUCCGCUAUUUACCCGGGACUGAUGAAUAACGAUUUUUUUUUGUCAACUAGAGGACCAUGCCACUUAUGAGUGUACAUGUAUUUUCUUGCAUUUUAAUUUGAAAUCCCUUUUUCAAAAAAAAAAAACUAGAGGACCAUGCCUCCAAGCCUCUCAUCGGUGUAGCAAACCAUGCCUCCAAGCCUCUCAUCGCUGCUACUGCACCAGACAUUUCUGAUGCUGAACGAUAAGGACCCGUUUAUCUAUCAAUUUGAACUUGGAAAAUAGCAUCCCUUUCUGAAAAAAAAAUUAUAUAUCACAUGCCAACAAAAGGGAAUGUAGGUCUUGUUCAAAGAAUGAAUGAUAACACAACAAGCAGUCUUUCUCUCUCCUUUCGCUCUGUCUUCUCUCUAGAUCUGUCACAGAGGAAGGAUUGAAAGGAGACUUCUACCGGAGUUUCCAACUCAUUUCCGGUUAGUAAGCGCGAUUCUAGGAAGCGGUGUGUCUCUUUAUACCGCUAUCGCCAGCUUCUGUUUCCGGGAAACGGUGGCUCUGAUAGCACCGAUUCCGCCAGCUUUCGUCUCCGGGAAAGCGGUGGCUCUGAUAGCACCGUUCUUUCGCCGGCUCUUCUCCGGUUUGUUCCGGUGAUAAGUUCUCGAUCUACGCUUUUGCUCUUCCCCUGUCCAAUCGACUCUCGAUCUGAAAAUCUGUAUGAUUUUUCGGAUCGAUCGAAGAUGAUUGUUGUUGUUUUUUAAAGCAUGGAUCGAUGGUGUUUGUGUUCUAUAGGUCUUCAUCGGUUUUGGGCUCCAUGGUUGAGUCGAGUCGCGCUUUUGCUCUGAUCCCGGCAGAAGCUGUUGUAUUCUUCCGGUGGUGGUCCGAUUAUUGCGGCGGCGGAGUAUGCAUGCCGAUGAAGAGCUUUGUGACGUGGUCAAGACGUGGCGGCCUGGUGACGCGUGUCCCUCGCAGGGAGGAUUUCGACACGUGUACUCUUCACGCAACUCGCGGGGAGAAAGAGGCGCCUUUGUGGGUUAGAUCGUUUGGGCUUAGGGCCCAAUAAGUUUUACGGUUUCGGUAGCCCUACUGUGUUUGGGCCUCAUAGUUGUACUCCUGUUUACGUUUUUGGGCUUGGUCUUCUGGCUUUGUCUUUAAUAAACUUUAGAUGGAAAAAAAAAAAAAAGGUCUUGUUCAAAGAUCACGAAUGUAACGUAUAUAUAUGUAUCAUUUUUUUGUCGGCAUAUUAUUAUACGUUUUGUGUUAAAGACUGGGGUCAAGCCAGAAGUGUUUUAGUGUCAAAAUAAUGCAAAAGAUAUAGUAAAAUUGUUUAAAUGACUUUUGAAAAAGGCAGUAGUACAUCUGUACAUGUGUACAGCUCCUGUAUAACACAAAGGACACGCGUUGUAGGCUUAACGCUACAUUUGCUACUAGGUACACUGCGAAACAAUAUCAGUAAAUAUAUUUAUUUUUUGUUUAAAAGGGAUCAGUAAUACUAAAUAUAUUUAUCAAGAGUGAAUUACUUUGUGAUUAUUUCAUAAGUAGUAUUAUUUAAACUAUUAGUACCAAGACCUAUCGCCAUAAACGUUUUCAGAGUAACUGUAUGAUUUUUCUUUCUUUUCUUUUGGUAAAAAAUGUAUGAUUCUUUUUGAUCGACCUACAACUAUUUCAGAUUUACCGUUCACCUAGUAUUAACUCUUAAUAACCUUUAACGUAAUUAAAUACCUCGGUAGAGGCUUCUUGAUAAAGAAAACGAUAAAACUGAUAUAACAUUACAUGAACUGAAAACACUUGCGUUACAAAAAAAAAACAAAACACACAAACAGAGACUUAUUCGAAAACAUAUUACACACACAUGUACGGUACGACAUGGUGUUGUACGGAAUAUUAGAUAGAAAGGAACAACACCAGACGAUGGAUAUGGUAGAUUUGAGUUAUGAGAAUCGAUCGAUAGAUCAGCAAUGUCUGGUGCAGUAGCAACGACGACGGAAACCACGGCAUUUACCUCCGCCAAA